This 90272-nucleotide long non-coding RNA is filed under the name Fragaria vesca (wild strawberry). RNAcentral's name for it is "long non-coding RNA (FVES_LNC000346)". Lineage: Eukaryota; Viridiplantae; Streptophyta; Magnoliopsida; Rosales; Rosaceae. The record is from RNAcentral.
GGAAUCUCCUGCGAGGUCCAUCCGUCCAUAUAUAUACGAUACCAGCAAAAAUAAAAAAAAAUUCCAAAUUAAUUGUUGUUAGUUGCUCGUUGAUUACAUUUUCCAUAUAUUGAAUAUUUCUCUAAUUUCAGAUGCAAUGCAAGCCUCCUGGUGAAGAAAUCGCCCAUGAGACAACACUGGCAAUACUACACAAGCUGUCAAAGUAUUCAUGGGAAGCAAAGGCAUCACUGACCCUGGCAGCUUUUGCUAUGGAGUUUGGUGAAUUCUGGCUCCUUGCAGAGCUUCGUGAAUCAAACCACCUUGCCAGGUCAAUUGCAAUUCUCAAACGACUCCCUGUUCUCCUCAAGCCUUCUCAGCUGCACAAGCGCAGGCAAGCAAUACUUGAGCUUAACAAUCUGAUCAAGGCCACACUGGAAGUCAUUACAUGCAUCGACCAGUUCAACAAGCUUUCCAUUUAUGACCUGAAUGAUGUCCCCGAGUUGUCGGGAACAUUGGAUCAUGUUCCGGUGGACGUAUAUUGGGCUAUCAUGACUGUUGUGGCUUGUGCCACUAAGAUCACACUACUCACUAGUGAUGAGUAAGUUCCCCGAUCUCCAUCGUUUUAACGAAUUAGCUAAUUACUAUACUCACUGUUGUGGUGUAAGCAUUGUUCCUGGAGAUUGAAUUUGUGUACCGAUUUACGAUAUUUACCCUAUUUAAUUUGCCACAUAUUGUUUCAGGGACAAAGAAUUUGACCUAUCUCCCUAUUCUCAAAAGAUCCACUUUGUCCUUAACAAGCUCAAGACGCAGCUAACAAUUUGCAGAGCACGAAUUGGUGGGUUAAUUAAUUGCAUAUUUUUUAUUAAUUGAGGUUCACAUUAGUUCUAUAUGUGUACUCUUUGAAACGAAAUUUGAAGCAAUUUUAUUGUUGUCUAAUGCAGAGUUCAUAGAAAAUUAUAAAAAGCUCAAGAAACUGUUCCGAACACCUACUGAAAUUAUGGAAAUCUUUAAGGGUUUGUUAUUUACAAAGGAUAAUGUCCAGCCACUCGUUGAUUGUUCCACUAAACAAACGGUUUGUGCAUCAUCUCUAGGGCCAUCAUUUCUCUACAAAUUGUAACAACAAUAGUGAAACUUAAUGGUGCCCAACUCUUUAACAGGUGAGCAUCGAAAUCCUAAGGAGGAAGAAUGUGCUAUUCUUCAUUUCCAGCCUCGACAUUACGGAUGACGACAUUUCGAUUCUGAAACCGGUCCACGAGUUCACAAAGAAAGACAAUCAGUAUAAGAUUGUGUGGAUACCGAUUGUGGAGCAAUGGACCGAUGAGCUGAGAAAGAAAUUUGAAAUCCUGAAGAACAAGAUGCCGUGGUAUACGGUGCAGUACUCUGGACCUAUUGCAGGCAUCAAGUUCAUCAAGGAGGAAGUGGAACUUCAAGGUAAGCCAUUACNGGUAGUGAUGAACCCACAAGGAAAGGUCGAACACUCUAACGCUCUUCACAUGAUUCGGGUGUGGGGAGUCAAGGCCUUCCCUUUCACAGAGACGAUAGAGAAAGAGCUGUCAUCAGAUUCUCAUGGAGGAAUUCACUCUAUAGUUGUUGACGGAAUUCACCCUUCUGUGCCAUCUUACGUAAUUCACCUCAACCGAUCAAAGUGCAUAUAUAAAUUCACGAGUUAUUAUUUAUAGUAUUUGCCUAUAUAUAUUACUUUUGACAGUGCAUUACUACAUCAAUAUAUACAUUACAUAAUAAUGAACUAGGAGAGUACGGUCAUCUCCAUUAUUGAUAUAUUUUCACUACAUUCACCUGAAACGAUGAGAAACUUAUUCAAUUUGUUAUCCUCAAACAGAUCAGAGAUAAUAAGUACAUCUUCUUCUAUGGCGGUAAGGACAACGAAUGGAUUCAGCAAUUCACAAAGAAAGCAACUGCCCUUGCAAACGAUCCUAUCUUGAAGGAGGCAAAGAUUUACAUAGAGUUGGUUUGCGUUGGAAAAGGCAGCAAAGGAGAAGAUGACCAUGGCAUUCUAGGCCGCUUCUGGACCGGUAUAGAAAGCUUGUUCCUCACCAAAGUCCACAAGCACGUUGAUCCGAUCGGUCAAGAAAUUCAGAAGCUUGUCUCUUACAAGAACGAAAGUGGAUGGGUGUUGCUUACCAAAGGAUCAACUUUGUUGGUCACAGGUCAUGGUAUCUCCGCAUUGAAGGUGGUAGAGGACUUUGAGAAAUGGAGGGAGCAUGUCAAGGAGAAAGGGUUUGAGUAUUGUUUCAAGGCCUAUUAUGGGAAGGUUAUUCAGGCGGGUCGACCUUGUUGCCGUCUUGACAUUCCGGGGUCUACCGGAAAGGUUCCGGAGUCGAUGAAGUGCCCUGAUUGUCACCGUAGUAUGGAGACUUUUAUCAGUUACAAGUGCUGCCACAUUGAUGGUCCAACUGCACAUCAUUGAGUGCUGGCUGAAUUGGUGUUUACGAUCAGUCCUUCAGUACGUUAUGAUGGACUGUUAUGUUAUCUUUUACUUCUGCUUGUAUGAAUAAGAUGGGCAUGGCCGAUGCAUUGUGAUGCUUGGUAUAACCCAGACUUACGAUUUGAAUUUUCCAGCUAUAAUUAUAUGGCUAGAUGUACUAUGUUUGGUGCUAUCGUACGUGUACCUUUUGAAUCAAAUAAGACCAAUAUUUUGGUGACUAAAUUGAAACCAAUUUAAUUUUUUAUUUCAGGUUAUUUUGUUAAAACAAAACAAAAAAGCUUAAAUUGAAAUAAGGGUUAGUUUAGGAUUGCUGUGACUUUUUAUAAAAAUUGAUUCUGUUGUACUAUGAAUACAAUCAGUUGAGUGAAGGAAAAUACUUGUGUGCGGACUAAUAUGUAUGUGUGCGUCCGGACUCUCUGUUAUUUACAUAUUUUCGGCAAUGUAAAUCAUAAUUUUAACUGUACAAAAGUUGGAUUAACCAAUAAAGAUUAUCUCUGCGAAAAAUCAAUGUAAACAAAAUUCGUUUGCUUAUCCGAUUGCAUUAAACAAAUGAACAGUUCUGAUGAAAGUUAGCAACCUCAUGAUUAGCUGUCAAUUUGUUUGAUUCAUUUAGCUUAACAAACGAUUUUUGUUCACUGAUUUUUUUACAUAGGUGAUCUUAAGGUGUUUGACCCGAAAGCAUGUACCAUACCCGUUUUAUCAGAACACGCGGAUCCUAUUUGACCCGAAAUGCAAAUGCCUAUUUAAGUUGAGAAACUCGAUCGUUGAAGCAACGAUCAUUUUGGAAAAACUAUUCUGGGCUUAGCUUCUGCGAAAAAGUUCUAUGCUUUACUUGAUUUCAAGGUACUCAAAUUGAUAGUUAAAAGUAUGGACCAUUGUCGAUGAUUCUUUUACAGGGAAAUCAUUAGGGAUCGAGUUUGUAUUAUAUUGUUUCUAAUACGUGUUCCUUCUUUUGACGCGAGGAAACCAAACUUGGGUUCUACUAUGAUUCUGGGAAGGAAUUAAGAUUCUGGGAAGGAACGAAAGAAGAAGGUAUAAUCGGUAAGUGCCCAGCACUACAAAAGGGUAAAAGCUGAACGAAGAAAUUUCGACGGGAUGGUGAUGUUACCAUGAAGAAAUAGCUCUAGGAGCUAAGAUACUUGUCUUGCAUUGUGGUUUCUUUUAAAAUUCAUUUAAGUCGGCUAAUUUUAUGCAUGAUUCUUUUUACAUUUUGUGCUUUCAUUGGACCUAAUGAAAUUUUGUGCUUUUAAGCCGUUCGUUUGAGUCUAGCAGGAAAACAAAGUAUUGAGUACAACUCAUACUUAAGGCAAUCCAUCUGCUUUGGCCAAGAAACUUAUUACUGCUGAUUAAUAAGUGAGAUUGAUGUGUUGAUUUAUGUUUUCUGAAUAAUAUGUGAAAUAGUCAUGCUAUCACAUAAAGGCAAUAGCAAGUAUGAUGUCCAAUAAAUAGCUAUUGAUCAAUGACUUGUUCUGUAUCUGUUGGCAUGCUCUUUAUUGAUGUUUUGGUAUAACUGAAAACUAUAUAUGACUAUUUAGAUGAACUCAUUGACAUCUUGAUAAAUGACGCAUUAAUGCCUUGACAAGAAAGCAUGGUAAGUUAGUCAUUAGAUAAUAGACCAAAUUUAUCUUGUUUUCAUGAAAGUGUGGCUGUUUUUUGAGACUGCAUCAAUUUUUUUUGAAAUUGUCCAUUGUAAUUGAAAGUUCAUCGACUCAUGUUAUUACCUACUGGAAAUUUGCAUUCUGGAUGUAUCUACUAAGGAUCAUCUUCAAACAUUUGUGUGUAUAUAUGUAUAUAUGAGUAAAUGUCUAUAAUUAUAAUGAAACUACUCCCUUUUAAACUGUGCUAGUCUGUAGAUAUGCAAAUAGCAUUCAUAUUAGAAAUUUACUAGAUAUGCAUGUGUUGGGAUUUACUUCCAAUGAUUCUUAGCAAAUAUCGGCUAUCAACAUAAAGUUAUCUUUUUAGCUAGUAGUUAAAUGUCAGCGCAAUGCAAAUACAGGAUUUCUGGUAUAACUUGUUAUUGUUUCUCUUGGUCAUUAUUCAAAUCUGUAUAUUGAGUAUUGGAACAAGUCAUGUGCUUUUCUAUAAUUGUACAGUUAAUACUACUUCAAGCUAGUGACAUUUAAUGACAGUAUUUACAUGAAAUUUUGCACAACUAAUUGAGCUUCAUAAGUAUGUGUGAUUGUCAAUGGAAAUCACGUAAAGCACUAAAGGCUACUUUUAUAUCUAUGCUAUGCUAUAAAGUUCCUAUACAGAACACAGAAAAGAGACAUGCAUAGAGCUUUAUUCGAAAUCAGACUACAGAAAUUGUUUGGAUACUAUAUGGGAUUGUAUCUAUGCAUCUACUACUAACUUGAUAUGACACAACUAAGGUAUGUUUUCAAGAACUGAUGAAAUUUUUAUCAAGUGAUGCUUAAGUGCAUCAGGGUUGUACAUGAAUUUGAUUAAAGCAUGUUGCCUUGGUAUUCUAAAUAAGGAUAUUCUGUGAUGAUCACAUGCCGGUAACUAUAGUGAUAUGUCACCAAAAUGCUUCAAUUUUGAUCUGGAAUAUCUUACAUAUGUUGAUAAUCAUUGUGUACUUGUUGUUACAAUUUGCUUGUGUAAAAUUUAGUUAACAAGAUAAAAGAUAUCUCCCAAAAUGAAUCUUGUUAAAUUUUCAUUAAAUUUUACUGUAUGCAUAGUUGGUGUGUUUCUUCAAGCCUUGUGCUCGAUGAACUACAGGAACCAACUUUGAUCUUGGAUCCUUGGGGUGUCUUGGUGGUACAUGUUGAACACAGUAAAUUGCUACUAGGAUCUCUCAUUGAUUAUAAAGGUUAAGAUCAAGAAACUUGUGUUGUACACAUUAAUUUCAUGACUGUAUCUCCCACAGGAGGUUUAAACUUUACAUGGAUUUAAUUUGCGCAUACAGGUUAUACAGCACAUCACAAAAUUGAUAAAAUGCAUUUGUUUUGCCAAGAUCUUUUCUUCUUACCAUACAUGUGUUGACUGAUCUUAACACUCUUGUUCAUUUUGGGUCUUGUGAUUAAGAAACUUCAGAAUGUCAUGCCUCCCCAAUGUGUUUUUACAUACCUGCUUCGAUUUGUUCGAUAUAUGUGUUGCAUUAAUACUUGUUUUACAGCGCUGGGAGCAUCCUGGUAUGCAUCUGUCUAUGUUUUGAGAUUUUAUUGAACUUUGUUUCAAUUCAAUUGCAAGAACCCUAGAUGAUCUCCUGGGGGGUACUUAAGCUUUAGGAUAGAUGCCCAGAUGAAACUUAUCAUAUAGAUUUAGGUGUUGGAAAACCAUUGUUGAUGAUUCUGAAUUGAGUGAAAUGUGUUUGUAGUCUAUGUAGACUGAACUCUUAUGGAAUUGUUUGUGGUGUGCCUAUACCUACUAUAUGAUGUUUGAUAACAUGUAAUUGCUUAUGUGAUUCUUGGACAUAAAAUGACUUAAAUAAAUUCUCCCUGUUUGAAAAAAUUUAUGUUUAAAGAUAACAUAAGUAAAAGACUGAGUUUUCUUAUGAGAUGAAAAUCUCAUGGAUAUCAAAACGAAGGUUAUCAGUCACUGUUUUAGAAUCAAAAUGAGUGUUUUAAAUUUCAUAAUGCACACAGCAUAGUUGUUUAUGAUACUCUAUUUGGUUAUAAAGACACUAAAACAGGAAACUUGCAUAAAGUUGUUUAGAAUGCUUUCGUAUCAUCCACAGAUGGCUUUAAACAAUGUAAUUCUAAGCAAUUUUUAUGGUUUUGUAUGUCAUGUUUGAAGUGCAUAAGGAUGUAUAGUUGGACAUUUUCUUUUGCCAUACAAGUAUUGACUUGUCUGAUUAUAAAACGUACUUUCACACAUGAUAGGACAGUAAAGGAAAAUAAGGAAUGACCAAGUGCUUUACCACACAGGUAUGUUAUUGAAAAGAAAGAUGCAUAAGGAAAAUAUCAUCUAAAUUGAUAUACAUUCUGCAUUGUUUUGUAUUGAAUGUAUAUGAACUAUUAUGAAUUGAUAUGGAUUAUAGUCUUGUUUGUGAUUCUGGUUUUGUUUUACAGUGGUUAAACUUUAGACAAAUAUUUUCUAUAUAUAUUAUAUAUAGGGGGAGAAUAUUUCACAAUUCAGUUGCAUGCUAUUUACUAUAAGAGCAUUUGUCUUUUGGAAUGAGCAUAUUCAUGAAUCACUUGAUUAUUUACACUUUGUGGCUCUCACUAUAGUCCAUUAUGGAUUUUCAGAUAGCUAGAGAACGGUGGGAGCAUUGUUUACACUAUUUAUUGUUUAUUAGUUUUCUAGACUAAAUAUCUUGAGCUUAAAAACUUGGCAUUCUGCCUCUUUUGUUGAAAUGAAUAAGUUCAGACUUUUGAUUACAGUAAGGUUGUUGAAUUAUGAAAUUCAUGUUAUGAGCAUUAACAUGCUAUAAGAACUGUGGUAUGUGAUUUUGCUUAUAAAGAAAUUAUGUAUAUAUGAAAUAUAUAUAUAUAUAUAUAUAUACAUGCCUUUUCAGAUAUGGACCUCCGUAUUUAUUCAAAAGGUACGGAUUUUCUUAAUUGACAUACUUUUCGAUCAUAUUUUCUCAUCUCAACCAUUCAUCUUUUAGGUAUAUAUGAGUACGUAGAUUAUCUCUACAAAAUUUUAGCAAAAUUGAUAAUCAUUAAGGUAUUCAAAUUUGUGAAUUACACGAACGGUUCAUGUUGAACAGAUUUGGUUCGUUCAUUGUAAUCAUAUAGUUUCGAUACCUUAACGAUUAUCAAUUUGGCUGAAAAUUUGUAGAGAUGAUCUACACAUAUAUACCUACAAUGUGAAUGGUUAAGAUGAGAAAAUAUGAUCUAAAAGUGGGUCAAUUAAGAAAAUCCGUACCUCUUGAAUAAAUACGGAUAUUUGAACCUGAUAAUAUCUAGAAUUAAAUUCAGUUUACCCCCAUGAAGUUUGGGAGUAACUUCAUGUUAAUCCCUAUACUUUCAAUUUCAUCAGUUUACCCCUCAAACUUUUGAAUUUUCCUCAAGCGUGACCAAAUGUCCUAUAUUCUGUCCAAAUCGGACGUUAACUACUGAUAAUUUUAACCAUAACUGUGAGGCCAGUAUCUAGAAUUUGGGCAAAUCGGACCUUAUAUGUCCAAAUCGAACCUUAACUGCUGAUAAUUAAAGGUCAAUUCAAACGGAAUAUGAGAAUUUGGGCACGGCAGACAUAAAUUGAAGAGUUCAAGGGGUAAACUGAUGAAAAUAAAAGUGUAGGGACUAACAUGAAGUCACCCCCAAACCACAAGGGGGUAAACUGAAUUUUAAUUNNNNNNNNNNNNNNNNNNNNUAUAUAUAUAUAUAUAUAUAUAGAGUCCGGAUCUAGAAAGGACCUCCUUAAACUCUUAAAGUGAGGAUGUUUUUAGUUCUACCAUGUAUUUUGACAAUCAAAGCCACUCAUUCCCUAGUUACUUACCCACGCGCAAAUAUGAAUCCAACAAAAAAUUAGCCAAAAUGAAAAACGUUUAACCAUUUGAUUAGCACAAUAUUCGUUUUAAUUUUAUCUAACGGCCUACAAUUGUGUACGUCAAUUUGAAUGACCAAAUGAUUAUGGAAUUAGUUGAAAUUUUGUAGACAUGUUUUUUGCAUAUGAAUCUAGAGGAUCAACGGUUGAGAUAGUUAAAUGAAGUCAUCUACUAAUGUAAAAUAGUAGAAAUCUUUAAAUUCUUAAAGUAAGGAGGUUCUCUUUAGAUCCUCCCUAUAUAGUUUUUAUCAAGAGCGAAGCUUCGCUCUGAAAUUAAAGUGUGAAGUUCUUUAUUUGACUCACUUUUUCGUCAUAUUUCCACAUUUCCACCGUUCAGUUUGUAGAAUCUAAUGCAUAGAUCACUUAUGCAAAGUUUCAUCUAAUUUGAUGAUCGUUUGGGUUUUCGUAAUCGUUAUUUACACAAACAGUUCUGGUUAGACAAAUUUAUGGUCCGUUCAUUGAUUUGAUCUAAUUUAGUACCCAAACAAUCAUCAAUCUUAAUGAAAUUUUGUAGAAAUGAUCUAUACAUUAGUAUCAAUAAUCUGAACGAUGGAGAUAUGAAAAUAUGAUGAAAAAGUGAGUCAAAUAAGAAACUUCACACUUUAAUUUCAUAGCGAAGCUUAGCUCUAGAUAGUAACUGUGUGUGUGUGUGUGUGUUGCAUCAUUAUGCCUGUUAAAGGAACACAAGAAAAAGGUGCGUCUAUUGCCACCCCACAAACCAUUUUGGUUACCCCACACGUUGUUGAUUUAUUGAAUGACUAAUAUACAUUAAUGUAAAAUUACAGCAAUGGACAAUAAGUUGUUACAAAUUACAAAUUUCCUCUUUUUAGAAAAACAUAUAUUUCAUAAACCUUAACCAGAAUUUAUCAUAUUCAAUAUUUCUAAAAAUUCGAUAUUUCUAAGAAGUCUGAAGAAGACACUAGCAUUCAACUGAGGAUGAGGUGAACUGUUUGUAUUUUUUUUUCUUCUUUUUUUUUCUUUGUUGAUGCUUCGUCUAUCCAUUUACCCAUUAUUUCUCAUAUCGAUUUUGUAUGUAAAUUUUCAUGUCUAGUCGCUCACUUAUAUAUAUUCGAUNNNNNNNNNNNNNNNNNNNNNNNNNNNNNNNNNNNNNNNNNNNNNNNNNNNNNNNNNNNNNNNNNNNNNNNNNNNNNNNNNNNNNNNNNNNNNNNNNNNNNNNNNNNNNNNNNNNNNNNNNNNNNNNNNNNNNNNNNNNNNNNNNNNNNNNNNNNNNNNNNNNNNNNNNNNNNNNNNNNNNNNNNNNNNNNNNNNNNNNNNNNNNNNNNNNNNNNNNNNNNNNNNNNNNNNNNNNNNNNNNNNNNNNNNNNNNNNNNNNNNNNNNNNNNNNNNNNNNNNNNNNNNNNNNNNNNNNNNNNNNNNNNNNNNNNNNNNNNNNNNNNNNNNNNAAAUCAUGACUUUAAGGACUAUUUAGAUUAAAAUAAAACCAUAAGGACUAUUUGGAUGAAAAAUCGUGACUGUAAGGACUAUUUAGAUUAAAAUAAAACCAUAAAGAUUAAACAGAUGUCGACUUCAAACCAUAAGGACUAUACAAUAUUUUACCCCUAAGAAAAUGAAUCGGAAUGACUAUUUGGAUGAAAAAUCAUGACUUUAAGGACUAUUCAGAUUAAAAUAAAACCAUAAGGACUAUUUAGAUGAAAAAUUGUGACUUUAAGGACAAUUCAUAUUAAAAUAAAACCACAAAGAUAAACAUAUGUUGACUUCAAACCACAAGGACUAAACAAAUUUCAAUUCUUUUUUUUUCAUCGGUGUCAGAGCUUUUUUCAAGUAGAGCUUUUUUCCAUGUGCAUCUUAUCGACGGAUACCAAUGUUGUUAAGUUUGAGAGUUUUUUUUUGUUCUUUAAUUGUGAUUUAUACUUUAAUAUGAUUUUUAUUGUUCAGUUUGUGAUUCCACUUACCCAAAUGAUAGUAAUCUUAUGGUUUUCUUCAAUUUCAUUUUGUUUUUGGAGUUCAAUGGCUAUUGGAAGAGACUGAUAUUGUGUGUAUUACAAAUCGGUGAAUAAAGUAAAUUUAAAAUUAAAAAAAUAUAUAAGCCGGGUGAGAAGAGAUCGAAUGUAGGGUGAAUAAAGUAAAUAUGAAAUUGAAAAAAAUAUAUGUAGGGCGAAAAAAGAAUUUAGGGUGAACAAAACAAAAAUGGGAAAAAUGUAUUUUCGGUAUUGUAAAUGGGUGAACAAAGUGGACUUACAAUUAAAAAUAUAUAAGUGGGGUGUGAAGAGAACGUGGGUUGAACAAAAUGGUUUGUGGGGUGGUAAUAGACGCACCCACAGGAAAAUUUUCUUUGAAAGUUUGUGUUGAGGUUCUUGCAUACAGAACCAUAGAAUGGAUUGCUUUGCUCAAGUGUUUGAUUAUCACCAUUUUCAUCAGGAAACACUUUGGCAAUUCUGUCAUCCCUGAUUGGUCAUGUAUUACAUUUAGAGUCGUGUCGGUGGUCUUUAAGUUACUGAGUUCAAUGAAUGCAAUUUUUCUGGACAUCUGGCAUUUCUCUUUUGUGAUGACAGAUUGAUAAUGUUUGUAUCAAACAUGUGAAAUUUUAAUCUCAAGUGCACAAAGGAACAGUGUUAUAUCUAAACUCAAUAUGAAUUCUUAUUACAGGCUCUAAUGGAGAAAUUUUGAAAAAUGACCUAUUGUGGUUGUUCUAGGAUAUUCUGUAUCUUUCUAGAUAUUCUUUAUGUGUGCCUUGCCUUAUGCCAAUAGGAUAUGUAGUUUGACUAGAUCUAUGUAUUCAUAUCCUAACCAUAUUGGUAUUGUGUAAUUCCCUAUAUAAAUGGCUCAUAUCAAUGAAUAAGAUGAUGAUUCUCUUGUUAUCUCUUUGUCUCUACACUUUAUCCUUCAUCACAUUAUCAUGCACUUUGUUCUAACCCUAGAACUAAUAGCCCACCAUUUUUUUUCCAAACCCUAAAAACCAAAACCGGAGGUUCUCGGCCCUGCCUCGGCCGCCGCCGCCGUUGUCGCUUCCCGGCCGUCCACUCUGCUGCUUUUUUUUCAUCCGAUCAAGCAUCCAAGUGUUUACAGUAUGUUUAUUUUACAACCCUAAAACUCUUCCAAGUUCAAUAACCUCGGGGGAGAUAAAGUGCUUUCUCCCCUUCUUCUACUCCAUUCUAUGCUUGGGUCGGUGUAUUUGCAGGUGCCAAAAAUCCCGAAAUUUUAUUCGCGGGUCAAGAGUGUGUUUGAUCACUCUUGUUUCCUUGUCCGGGUUGUGUAUGAUCAACCCCAACCUAUCACCGGAUUGUGUUUGAUCAAUCCAAGGCCUUUUUCCGAAUUGUGUUUGAUCAAUUCGUGGCUUUUCCGGAUUGUGUAUGAUCAAUCUGAAGGACAAACCAUUAAAAGCAUUGUUUGUGACCUCUAUCAAGUCUCAUAACAGCUUGGUUUUGUAUGCAAGAGCAAUGUAACAUUCUGCUCCUUUGAGUUUUGACGUACUCGAUGCCUAAGGCGAAUCUUCGCUUGGUAUCUGUGGAACCUUUCAUUGGAAAUGAUUAAACCACAUGUUUUGACCCCCAGGUUAACAAGCUUAGAUGCCGAGAUUUCACAUCUCAUGCGCUCAAAGUCUUUGACGCGCUACAUCGACAAAAGUCUUCAAUGACAAUCUGUGCAAAAAGUAAUGACCACAAAAUACUGUGGAAUGCACUCAUGAAGCGUUUCUCGAAACGUUCAUAUAACUCUACUUGUUGAGUUAUUAGUCAACUGGAUUGCUUACCACUUUAAUUGACUACAUAUUGUCGAUGAUAUUUUGUGGCAUCAUGAUCCAUAAUCUUUAGCGGAUUCGAUCAUCAUCAAGUUCUCUAGGUCCUCUAAGUUGGUUUGGAAUUACCAACGAGACUUGAUUUUGAUCAUACAAAUGGGAAUUGUAUAUACGCUAAUGUGAUAAACUUAUUUGGGAUUAUCCCCUAAUGUGGGGACAACAAUAUGGGUCAUGGCAACGGUAGAAAACGUUGUGCCGAUGUCUAGAAAAGAGGGGGAGGUGUCGCCGGCUCUAAUAGCGACACUCCCGGUCUAGACAUCAUUUUGUCAAAACUACUCACGUCAGCUCAUGACAAUGCAACCGUUGUGGAUCUUCGGAUCACUGGUUCAAGAUUGUCCAGCUCCUUCAAAUUGUGAAUGCAUACAAAAAGAUACGGAAAAUCAAUAUGAGGACAAGAACGUCAUCCUCAUGAUCGCGAAUUUCAAAGAUUCGGAUCCUGCUCUAGCUACCCAUGACUUUGACGUCAUCUGUCACAUCCCGACCCUUAUAUUUUUACCUUAUUUACUAGCCUGAUUAUAAUAAAAAUUUUACCGUCUCGAUCAUUGAGUAAAUAGUUUAAUUGGUCCCUAGAGGGGUUUCGGGGACGAUUAUGUGCGGAGAAUUAUUAGUAUGAGGAAAAUACGACGACGGUAAAAAUGGUAAAUUUUAGCUAGUAAAAGGUAAUUUUUAUUCGGGUAUUAUUUUUUCGGGGUGUUUUUAUUUUUUUGGAAGUGGGUUGAUAUGGGUUGGACCGGUGGAGGCCCAACCCAUUUUCUUUUUCCUCCUCCCUUUCUCUUUUUCCGUCUUUUCUUUUCCUCUCCCCGAGCCUCCCGCUGCCCGGUUUUCCGGCUGUCCUCCCGCCGCCGUCCGACCUCCGUUCGCCGCCGGACCGGUCCCGUUCGGUCGGUCUCCCUCCCAGCAACAUUUCUAGACCGGUGAGAGGAGCCCUAGCGCCGCCGUGAGAGAGCGGUGCCGCCCGAAAGCAAGGGCUGUCCCGAACUUCCCUUCGCNNNNNNNNNNNNNNNNNNNNGUCCUUCGUCUAUUUGAGACAUCGAUGUACUCACAUUAGCAAUAAUGAAUUCCUUGAGAAUUUUUUCGAAGUUAUGAAACUAUUCUCCUCUUAUGGUUUGUAUUGAUUUACAAACAAGAUGUACAUUUUUACAUCGUCCUUAGAAGCGUGGCAUAUUUACAAUCUCAUGGUUAGAUUGUGCCGUUUUGGUCUCUUCCAAGUGAAGAUGACUCAUGACACGACAUCCUUAAAGAGGAUCGCCCACGUGUUUCCGGUUAAGUCUUCUACCCUAUGACGGAUUUUCAAUCAUCAAUUGUUCAACUAGGCUCAUCCAAGCUCAGUGUGAUGUCUUAGAAUUGUCCGAAAUUAAGGAGAUAGUGGUUUUAAGUGUGCCUCGCACUACCGACCCUCCACGGACAUGCCUGGUCAUACUGACUUGGAGUUGCCAAAAGCUUUUGAUUUUGGAUCCCCCUACGCUAUUAAACCAAUUGCCGUCUUGUAAAAGACGUUGAAGACUUAUCAAAGCCGGAAAAUUAUCAUCAUGGUCCUCUGAGUUAGUUUAUGUUCAUGUCAAGGAGCUUUUGCUAACUAGUCAUGGAGUUUACAACCUUAGAACGACCGAAAGGACUUGGUUUUGAUCAUACACACGUCAUUUUUGGCUAAGGCAAAAGCCUACACACCACCUGCAAGCUUCACAACUUCGCACAUGUCAAUUCUGCGAAAAACAGCAAUCUGUCCCUUCUGGACAGUAUUCAUUUGAGCUUUGUGAACAGCUCUGGACGAACCAGGCAGUGAGCUUUAUACCAUUGGAAAGCUCUACGAGUAUAGUUUUCAGAACUUUUCGCGGUUCAUCCAUAUCUAUUUUAACGAAGAAGUUAUGGUUGUUUUAGUGCGCAAAGGUCAUUCUGUGCGGAAAUUUUUAUGCACUAUCGGGAUUGCAGUUUUUCGUAGCUUCUUUCAAUCCUUCUAAAUAGUUCAAGUGGAACUAUUAACUAGCCUAUCUACUCCUUCUUGUACAUAUGUCUCAUCGAGACAUUGAGUGCUUCGCAGAUAGUGGAACUAUCCACAACAUUCUAAGGAACCGGCAACUAUCUUUGGAUUUUGUGCCUUUGUAAAUCUUCUGUGACUACAAUGAUUGAAUCAUACAUGUCAUUCAAGGAUACGGUUUAGCUUGAAUCUUGAUGCCUCAUGGCACCAUGAUCAAUGUCACAGAUACCUUCUAUGCAUUGAGAGGCAAUCAAAUCAUAUUGAGCUUUAAAGACAUUCAUGUUAAUAGUUUUCAUUUGAAAACAUAUUGUGAGAAUGAACAAGAAUUCUUUUGUGUAUACCUUCUCAUGAAUGCGGACUGAAAUGCAUCUUAGAGAAAUUUAUGAGUUAAUCUAGUGGACUGUAUGUCACUACGAUUCGAAUAUCGAAUCUCAUGUUGUCGCCAAACAUGAUAUUUGGGACACCGACUCAUAUAGGCUUUGGUUUGACCAAAUUGGUCAACCUGGAAGAGAUAUAAUGGUCCAAAUUUUGAGAAAUUCUCAUGGACAUCCAUUCUUCUGCUCAAAACGAAGACAUUUGAGAUCUAGCAUCACCAUGAAGCAUGGUGGUGACCCGGGGGACAUUGACGUCACCCGAACACAACUCCAACUUCUUGGAGGUCGUCCAGUCAAUUCCUCAAGCAAUUGAGGUGCACCAGCCUUCUCUCGAUGUCGCAUUGGCCCCCUGCAAUACUCAUUACUCGUUUUGAAAGCCUAUUCUUUAGCUAAAUUAGGAGUGAGACCCUCCUACGCUAAAUGACACAAAAGAGAAUAUUCAAUUCUUACAUCAAACUAUAUAGAUAGAUACAACCAACUUGCGGACACCUUUUUAUGCUUCAUGGUGUUGGUUGAAGUGUUAACACACUGGUCACAUGUUACACUAUUAUCUACUGCUUAUGCUGCUUAUACUUCUACGGGCUCACUACCCAUUCUUUAAAGAAGUUUAUCGGGAUGUAAGUUGAAGUGCCAUGUACCCCAUGUUCACACGCAAUACGGUCUCACCGAGGUUACGACCAAGCAACUUUAGCUUGUCGCUCGAACAUUAUUGAUGCGCACCAAUCUUUCUAUUGCGUCUUGGGGCUAUGCAAUAUUUGCAUGUAGUUUUACUAUUCAUCUACAACUCACCAUCAUUGAAUAUUGUUGUACUACAGCUGGUGACUGUGUACUAGGAUUGACACGAAAUUGCAAUCCUUGAGCUUGGCAAGAUUGAAACGGAUCUCCAAUCCUUGAGCUCAGCUAGAUGUUUAUUCUAGGUGCCAAAUCGCACUGCCACCGCACACAAUGAUGGGUCAUUUGAGAUGAAUAAGUAUUUAGGUUGGAUGUGAACCUCCACCUAUAAUCCGCAUAUGUAGAAACCUUGUCAGGCGAUCUCUUUCACCACUAUAUUGCGGAUUGUCACUUUGAUGAGACAAUAUUCCCGCCGUUAGGGGGAGAUAAGAAUACAAGUGUUCAAGUGGAACGACGUGAAUUGUCGUGGUUUGUCCCCACUAAGUCUCAUCUUGAUCCCAAAUGCUUAAAGUGUUAAAGUGACGAGAUCACAUGCUGCAAAUAUGUCUGCAAGGAUUGAUGUCCCAUCAAGAGGACAUGGCGCGACCAAAAGGUGUUGGUCUUGACGCCAUCACCAUGGAUGGUGAUAUAGUGACGUCAUAUAGUGGCAAAAUUGGUGUCACAAGGCCGUGUGGCUCCCUAAAAAGAGGGAGACCCUUAGGUUUGAUACUUUCUCACACUAGGAAGAAAGCGAGCUUGGCAUAACUUGAUCCAUUGAUCAGUGAUACUCAAAUCUGUCUCAUGAAAUCUGAAUUGUGAUUAUCGUUGGGGGAUGCCUCAAUGUCAAAUCCAAUCCAUGUAGAGAUCUCUACAAGUAUUACACUAAUGUAUACGAGGACGUGGGAUAAUGAGUCUACUAUCGAACCACCCUUUGUUGAUGGAUAUCAACUUAGUUGAUUGGCCUAAUGGAAAGAUGCGAUCUAGCAUUAACAAAGAGAUAGGUCCUUGGGCAGGUGAUGCCGACACCGCAAGCUAAACCCUAUCAACUAUGUCUUUGUUAGAUAGCGUAGUGAGAACUUUAUGGCGUAAGGUCUCUCACUAUCACGCACUGGGAUCGACUAUGAUGAGAUAUGCUCUCGUAAUGGAUGUCAUUGAACUCCACUACUUUGUCAGUUUGGUAGUUUCUGAAUAACUGAACAUGCAGCCUAUGAAUGUGAUCAUAAUAACAUCUCUAUGGGAUCAGAGAUAUACAUGAAGGUCUUAAACGGACUUCAUUCAUCCGAAUCAAGUGGUUCCUAACCACAAGAGCAUGCGUUUGCUAAAUGUAUUAAAACGCACAUGGACUCUACUUGAUUUGGAAGGGAUAUGGUGAAUUAUGCCUUUGCGUGUUCAUUCCAGAUUUACAUGGAUUCUUGAUGGAUCAAGAGAUGCCAAUAUGUAUCAACAUCCGAAGAAAAAGAUCUUGGGAAGACACGGUCUCGAUAAGGCAGUCGAUGACUGUAUUGAUGAUGAUGUUCCAUCAAUCGGCUUAGACGCUCUAACGAAAGUGAGGCCUACAUAUACUCCCAUGAUUAGUCAAGGUCUUUGCUCUAAAGAGAGAUCCAUUAUUUUGUCUAAAGAAAAAUGACAAAUAUGUGUUAAGAGAUGGAGUUCUCAUCUAAGUACAAUAAAACGCAUCAAUGUACUCAACACAAUACGAAAGACUUGACAUCUCAUUCGCUAUGAAAAGUUGUAAAGCUAAAUGUAGCUAUGCGCCCACGCAACGCCAAUGUAAUGGCAGUAACUCUUUUUUCAAUACUUAAUGGUAUGAAAGGUUAAGGCUUAUUCUAUCCCUUCAUAAGAAAGACACAUCAAAAGCGAAAUCAGAAUCUGCCAAGUUUUGUAGGUCAACUUCCACGGGACCUACAUGAAAUCUAACUCACUGGAAAAUUGUGAAAUUGGUACCAUUGGAAAGGUCUAUGUGUCUACUUUCCAGGGACACCAACCAUUUGAUCAUACCUAUCAUAUUGAGUGAGUUAUGGCCAUUUUCGUAAAGUAGGACGAAUCUGUCCGAGAAUCUGAUUUUGGCAAAACAGUCAACUUCGACGGGACUUUGUGAAUAGCUCCUGACGAACCAGAACGUGUGUAAUAUACGGUUGGAAAGCUCCAUGAGUCUAGUUUCCAAAACCGUUUACGGUUCAUUCAUAUAUAUAUCGUAGAGGAAGUUACGGCUAUUCUAGUAACUAAAGGUCAUGCUACGCGGAAAUCUAAUUUACUGCACGAACUUAUGUCUUGAGUUCACAAGCGGCCUUCUCCUCAAGAUCUAAGUGUAAAAGAUCAUUUGAUGACAAUACGGCAUGAUUUAGUUAAUCAUUGCCUAAUACCACAUUUGAAAACAUGUUAAAAAGCAUUGACAUGCUAAGUUGUUGAAACUUCCGUGAUUAGUAAAAAUUAGGAAGAACCCUAUGAUUGAUGUAAAGAUCAGGGGGAGGUGCGAACUUCAGGGGGAGUUUAGCACAUACAUUCAUGUCGCUAUAAAAUGUGAAGGGUGCGUUGUACUCUUUUUCUCCUACGAUCAAGGUUAAGCUUUUGUCCCAUAGGGUUUUUAUGACUUGACGAGGUUUUUGAUGAGGCAACAGAUAUUCUUUAUGUGUGCCUUGCCUUAUGUCAAUAGGAUAUGUAGUUUGACUAGAUCUAUGUAUUCAUAUCCUAACCAUAUUGGUAUUAUGUAAUUCCCUAUAUAAAGGGCUCCUAUCAAUGAAUAAGAUGAUGAUUCUCUUGCUAUCUCCUUGUCUCUACACUUUAUCCUAAACCUAAACCAUAAACCCUAAACCCUAAACCCUAAACCCUAAACCCUUAGAGCUAACUUAGGUGACGAAAAUACAUUUCGUCAUGUAAGUGAUGGGUUAGGUAACGAAAUAUAUUUUCGUCACCAAAGUUUUGAGCAUUUAGGUGACGAAAAUACAUUUCGUCAUGUAAGUGAUAGGUUAGGUGACAAAAUAUAUUUUUGUCACCAAAGUUUUGAGCACUUAGGUGACGAAAAUGCAUUUCGUCGCCUAACAACUUACUUUUGUGACGAAAAUAAAUUCGUCGUCUAACACCUUUGCUUAGGUGACGAAACAUAAAGUUGUGUGUCUUUUUGAACCAACUAUGGGGUAGAAGUAAAAUUUAGAAAACCCAUCAUACUAUAUGAUCAGUGUACUUAAAUACGGCUAUGAAAAAAAAUCCACCAGUUUUCGAAAACAUUAAGGUCUCGAUCCACGCGGUUAACAUUAAAUUAACGGCACUUAUUACACGAAAACGCUUUUACCUACUCCUAUACGACCUAGUUUGAUUGAUUCUUUCACACACAAAACUCUCACAUUGAUGAGAUGUAAUGACCCAUGUAAAAAUUUGGGGACGUUCACCUCUUGACGAUAGAGCUCCACAUAGAGAAACAUAAGCGUAUAUAGGGUUAACCGCUUGUAUCGGGGACCAAACGUUACCAGAAAUAUAUGAUUUUUCAACCAUAGUCGUAUUUCACCAUACCGAUGACAUCCUAUUUCAAAAGAUUUUUGAAAAUAUUGCUUUACAAAUAUCUACACUUGCAUGUAACCUACUAAACAAGUUAGACCACAUUAGUAGACAUGUUGUGGUUCCGAUGGCUAAAUUUUACAAAAUGAAAAUUCAACUGUCUGAUAUGAUCAGUGUACUUAAAUACGGCUAUGAAAAAAAAUCCAUCAGUUUUCGAAAAUGUUUAGGUCUCGAUCCACGCGGUCAACAUUAAAUUAACGCUACUUAUUUUACACGAAAACACUCUUACCUACCCCUAUAUGACCUAGUUUGAUUGAUUAUUUCACACACAAAACUCUCACAUUGAUGAGAUUAACCACUCAUGUAAAAAUUUGGGUACGUUCACCUCUCGAUGAUAGGGCUCCACAUAAGGGAACAUAAGCGUAUAUAAGGUUGACUGCUUGUAUCGGGGACUAAACGUUACCGGAAAUAUGUGAUUUUUCAACCGUAGUCGUAUUUCACUAUACCGAUGACAUCCUGUUUCACAAGAUUUUUGAAAAUAUUGCUUCAUUUUUUCUAACAAGAUCACAUUCUAUCAAAACCUUUUUCUUUUUAGGAAAUAAAUAAAUGUGUUGAAAUUAAAAUAAGACGACGAAAUAUAUUUAUUUCAUCAACUAAGUCCCAAAGUUUGAAAAUUUUUGGUUCACUGAGAUGACGAAAAUUUAUGUCUUCGUCACCUAACUACUUAAUAUUUGGCGGGUCGAAAAUUCCGUCAAUUUUUUAGGCCAAAUUUUGUAUUUGACUUAAGUGACGAAACGGCUUCAUUCGUGGGCUGAGUUUGUUUUUGUAAACCCAAAUACAGGGCAACAAGUCCCAUACUCCUAUUAACUCUGAAAUCCCUAAAUCGAUCGUAUCGAUUCCAACUUUCCAAGCCGUCUCCGCCCACAUCGCCGUCGCGUCCACAUUGUCGUCUCUUCCCUUGCUCCAUUGAUCCCAUUCGGCCUCUCCCGCGCUGAUCUCGUCUUAUUCAUCUCCUCAUGGCCAAUUUCUUUGUGAAUUUGGAUUGAUUAGUUCAACGAAGGAGGAGAAUCGAAGCCGAGUAGCUUUCGAAUUUGCAGAGAUUAUUCUAAGUUAAUCAGCAACGCCUUCCAAAACAUGAGGUGAGAGACCUCUAACCUCUUCUACUCGUUGAGUUUCAUAUCUAGGUGUAUUAAUUUUUAGAUUUUGAUCAUGUUCUGAACAAAUUGGUUUUUGGGUGUUAUCGGUUAUCGGCAGAGUUAUCGUCCUCGGCGGAGCUCCUAAGUUCUUCUUCCAUGUCUAGAAAGAGUAUUGGCAUCUUGUCAAGUUUGAUCAAUUGCUGAGAAGGUUGAAUUCGUGAGUUCGAGUAGUUUUUGCCACCACUGCGCCACCGUUUGUGGUGAAGGCCUAAGUUCCUUCUUCAGCUUGAUUUGCAUUAUGAAUUGUGUACUGAUGUUUAAUUAUGACUUAAAUCACAGAAGCUGUAUGUUUGAUGAUUUGGGUCAAGUUUCUGUUAAGGACUUUUGGGGUUGCUUCAUUAUGGAUGCAUGAACAGAGCAGGGGAUUGCUGUACAAUCUACAUCCAGAAUUAAUACUGAGUCUGGGGUAUCACUGUGUUCACCACUGAAUCUAAUUAAGGUGAAGGUGAGCUUCAAAUUUAUAAUCAUGCAUGAGCUACAAGUGUUUAAUAUAAUACUAUUAAGUAUUGAUUCGGGAAUUUGGAAAUGGAUUAUGUGAAUGGUAAUGGUUGAUUGAGUAACAUAGAAUGUCAUAUUGGGAAGGAAGAAUGUUUUAGAUUAAUCACAAGGGUGUGAUUGGUGAGACCAUGAGAGCUUGAAUAUAUUCAUGUUUGACAUUCUGUAUGAGUGGCUGGGCAUAGUUGUGCCUUUUUUAUUUGUUAAAUUGUUAUCAUUGGAGGAAUGGAGUUGAACUUCAGUAUUUAAAUUUGGUCUAUUGAAGAUGACAUACUAGUCAUCAAGAAUGAUACUGAAAUGGUAGUAAUGAUCUUCUUUGAGCUAUAUGACUAAGUUGGUAAGUUGCAACUUGGUAUUCAUGACUGGUCGGUAUGAACAUGUACCUAAAAGGUCUCAUGGAAUUUGAAUGAUAAUUAUAAAUUGGGAAUGUGGUAAUAGGGAAUUAAAAAUCAAAUUGGGAGUGUUAAGGACUUUCAAUAUGGUUAGUUUUCAUUAACUUGCAAAAACAUGGUUAAAAAUCAAUUUGAAUGCCUAAAAAGGAUUAUUAUUCUUCAAAAUUUGAGUAAAUUUUGGAUAUUGGUUUCUGGGUUUUGAGCUUUAGCAUUUAGGGUGAUGAGUAGGUUCAAUAUGAAACUAUUUUAACUCUGUGUAGGAGGCUUAUUGUAUACUGAGAGUUGAUGCGACUGACUUUAACUAUGUGAAAUUAGUAAAAAGAAUAAAGUUGAGUCCUUGGCAUCAGUAUUUUAACUCUAGAGCAUCUUAAAUUGAGUCCUUGGCAUCAGUUUAGCUGCUACUAACCCUCUUCUUACGAUAAUAUGAAUGAUUCUGUGUUAUGUAUAUGUACAUUGUACAAUCACCAAUUAACUAUGUAUGACUGACCAAGAAUGCCUCAGGAACUCACCCUAGCCUGCACUUUCCCAUCAACUCCAACCAUAUCCUUCCUUUUCGUACUGGGUCAUCACUUUUGUUCCUCUCCUUCUUCCAUGCCUAUAUUUUUUUCCUAACACAUACUGCUCAUUUCUUUGUUCUUUUCUCUUCCAAACCUGUAUAUUUUGUAUGGCUUCUCCCCUCUUAUUUCAUUUGUUUUGCACAGUAGCCAGUGUGUUUAGUUAGUACGAUUAAAACCGAUUAAUUAUUGUAUUGUUUUUGCAUUUUCAUUAUGUUUAGUUACAUGUGUCUUUGGCUAACUAAUACUAGUUGGUGUGUUGUUUUUCUUCUGUUGUGCUUCCCUAAUGAAUUGGUUCUUGCUUUGCAUACAGAUCAUGAUCAUGUCUUCAACAGUGUGAGCAGUUUCUCUUCACCAAAUUCGGCGUAUGCCAGCCAACAGUCCCACCCCAGGAGUAGCCUAAUGAUGAUGAUCAUGAUGAUGGAGGCAAUGAUUCAAUUAACAUUGCUUCAUAGUCACUUUCAUAGUUACUAGUUUAUUUUCUAAUAUAUAUUUUGUAUAUAUGAACAAGUCUAUAUUUUCAAGUACUACUCUUGAGUUUGUAUAUGAACUUGAUUAGGAAUAUAUAUAUAUAUAUUUGCUACUGCCCCAGGUGCUUUGGCCAAUAGUGGGUUUUUGAAAUAUUGAGUUCUUUUUUUUUUUAAUUUAUUUAUGUUAAUAUUAAAUGUGAUAUUAAUAAUUUUUAAUGAUUAAAUUUAUUAAAAAUAAAUAGCACUAAGGUGACGAAAGUUAAACUUUCGUGGCCUUAGCCGGAUGAAAGAAUUGUCAGCAAACUGACUGUUUUCGUAGUGUAGUGUUUUGGUAACGAUGAAUUUCAUCAACUUAGCUGGUCACACUACGUCACAAUAGAUCAUAGACCAUGAAUUAUAUUUCGUUUCUCAAGUACUAUGGCGACGAAAUACUUUUCGUCAGCUAACCAACUUGGUGACGAAAUAACUUUCGUCAGCUAACCAACCUGGUGACGAAAUUUUUUCGUCAUCUAAGUAACUUGGUGACGAAAAAGUUUUCGUCAUCUAAGUAAUGACUAAAAUGAUGAAAUACAUAUUUUCGUCACCUAAGUGCUCACACCACCGCCCUUAGGUGACGAAAUUUUCGUCGUUUUAGUGCUUACAUGACGACAGAAGCUCUUAGGUGACAAAAAUAUUUUGUCACCUAAGAACUUUUUUCUAGUAGUGGUUAAACACUCUUCCUUGACUAUCACUCAUUUAUGAUGUUCUUUUACGUAUUUCAAUAUAUUUAUAUCGUUAAUCGAAUAUCUCUCACCUCUCUUUUUCUUCUUUUCCAAAUCCAGAACCAAUCUUUGAUCUUCCGGUCUCUCUUCUCUGCACUUUUUCUCUAACAAUGUUGAGUUUCUCUUGGACCAUUAGUUCAUUACUGAAUUCAAUUAAUAUACAAUCCAAGUGGGGUUUUAGUAUCAACAUAACCCCUUCUAAAGCCAUAAUUAUUUUAUUUACUGUAGGGUUGUUCAUAUAUCAUUUCAAGGUAAGAUUUUUAACAAAAAAUAGUGACGAUUCUUAUAUGACCUAUAUUCAUUGUUGCUCAAUCAAAAUAAAAAAAAUUAGAUAGCAGAAACAACUCAAAAACCUUUAAAACAAUAACCAUGGACUGAGAAUGAAACCUUAGACCAUAAUUAGCACAAUUGAAUAUGAUUGGAACGUAUUCUAAACUAGUGUUGACGGUUGAGUAAGUUCUUGACUUUCUUGUGGUUGGAAGGUCAGUAAAUGUUUUCAUUUGUGAAGUGCAGAAGAAGGAUAAUGACGUGAGAAAAAGAUGAGAAAAACUGGAAUUGGUGAAGCAUCAUUUAAUAUAACAAGGAUAAUUGCGACUUUUCCUCAUUUUAAGUGGUUAUUUCUCAAAAAAAUUUAAAAUUAAGGUUAUAAAUCAAUUCGAGUGUUUAAAUAUGGUUGUUUUUCAAAAUUUCUCGCUCUAAUGCUAGUCCAAGUGGGAGAAUGUUAGAAUGGACUUAGCAUUUUGAGUCCUAAAGCAUGACAACUUCCAUAAUAUAUGCAGAGUAAAUAUUGUGGGAUUAAAAGCACAUUAUCAUGAUAUAUUUAUCUAAAUGAAAUGGUUAGAUAAGUAAUGAAAUACAAUCGAAUUAUCUUGUUAAACAAGAUAAUAGAGAUGGACUAAUAUUGUUGUUUUCUAAUGGAACUCAAACUCUUGGAUGGACAGAGUUGAGCUAUCCAACAUUAUCAUGAUAUAUUUAUCUAAAUGAAAUGAUUAGAUAAGUAAUGAAAUACAAUCGAAUUGUCUUGUUAAAUAAGAUAAUAGAGAUGGACUAAUAUUGUUGUUUUCUAAUGGAACUCAAACUCUUUGAUGGACAGAGUUGAGUUAUCCAAAGUGUAGUAUAUAAAGAGGUCCCUAUGCACACUCUAAACUACGUCAAUACGAGUCUCUCUCCAUCUGAGCAUGGUAACUGAGUGCUGCAUAGAGGAUCCCUUAUCCUUGGAGCUCUUGGUCUACAUCAACGACUACGGUAAACAUGUUGUAUAUCCUCAUCCUUGUUCUAUGACCUUGUAUGAGUUGUAUCUAUAUACGUGUUUAUGCUUAAGUGUUUUUCUCUUUGUGGUUGUAGUAUAACAGCCAAAUAUUUUGGGGUGCACUACUAGAAUAAAGGACUUAGGCGACGAAAACACAACGACAAAAACAUUUUCGUCGUCUAGGUAUGCAGUUAGGCGUCGAAAACUUCAUUCGUCACCUAAAAUAACUUAGGUGACGAACCAAAUAAUGAUUCGUCGCCUUAGAUUACCAAGGAGACAAAAAAAGGACUUAUACUAUUUUCGUCGCCUUAAUAGAUAUUCAGGCGACGAAGAUGAUUUCGCCGCCUAAAAUAUGAACCACUUAGGCGACGAACAUAUUAUUUCGCCGCAUAAGUUUAUCUUAGGCGAUGAAAGUGGUUACUUAUGCGACGAAAAAGUUUCGUCGCCUAAGUAAACUCACUUAAUCUCCAUUCAGUUUCUAGAUCUGAAACAGAUGGGAAAAAAGGGGAACUUGACAAGAUAGCCAUGUCUUGUUGUCAUUAUCUGAUUUUCUCAUUCUCAUUUAAAUAAUUUAGGAUAUAAUUUAUGUAGCCAAUUUUUAUCUUGAUAUAAUAUAACUACUGUUAUGUAUUUUUAUUUGAAACAUAUAUAUUUAUGUUUUUCCAAUGAUCACUUCAUUUAUGUUUUUAUUUGGUAUAACUUGUUUAAUAGGUUACAUGCAAGUGUAUAUUUUUGUGAACCAACUAUAUAUAAGAAGCAAUAUUUUCAAAAAUCUUGUGAAAUAGGAUGUGAUCGGUAUGAUGAAAUACGGUUAUGAUUGAAAAAUCAUAUAUUUCCAGUAACAUUUGGUCCCCGAUAGAAGCGGUCAACCCCAUUUACGCUUAUGCUUUUAUAUGAGGAGCCUUAUCGUCGUGAGGUGAACGUCCCUAAAUUUUUACAUAGGUGGUUAGAUCUCAUCAAUGUGAGAGUUUUGUGUGUGGAAGAAUCAACCAAACUAGGCCAUAUUGGGGUAUGUAAGAGCGUUUUCAUGUAAUAAGUGACGUUGGUUUAGGUUUGACUGUGUAGAUCGAGACCAAAAACCUUAUCCAAAACAUGUGAUAUUUUUUUCCAUAGCUGUAUUUAAGUAUACUAAUUAUAUCAUACGGUUGAAUUUUUAUUUUAUGAAAUUUAACUAUCGGAACCACAACGUGUCUAUUAAUGUAUUAUAACUUAUUUAGUAGGUUAUAUACAAGUGUACAUUUUUGUGAACCAACUAUAUAUAGGAAGCAAUAUUUUUUAAAAUCUUGUGAAAUAUGAUGUGAUCGGUAUGAUGAAAUACGGCUAUGAUUGAAAAAUCACAUAUUUUCUGGUAACGUUUGGUCCCCGAUAGAAGCGGUCAACCCCAUUUACGCUUAUGCUUCUAUAUAGGGAGCCUAAUCAUCGGGAGGUGAACGUCCUUAAAUUUUUACAUAGGUGGUUAGAUCUCAUCAAUGUGAGAGUUUUGUGUGUGGAAGAAUCAACCAAACUAGGCCAUAUAGGAGUAUGUAAGAGAGUUUUCCUGUAAUAAGUGGCGUUGGUUUAGGUUUGACCGUGUGGAUCGAGACCAAAACCUUAUCGAAAACAGAUGAAUUUUGUUCCAUAGCUGUAUUUAAGUAUAUUGAUCAUAUCGUACGGUUGAAUUUUUAUUUGUGAAAUUUAACCAUCGGAACCACAACGUGUCUACUAAUGUAAUAUAACUUGUUUAGUAGGUUAUAUGCAAGUGUAAAUCUUUGUGAACCAACUAUAUAUAAGAAGCAAUAUUUUCAAAAAUCAUGUGAAAUAGGAUGUGAUCGGUAUGAUGAAACACGGCUAUGGUUGAAAAAUCACAUAUUUCGGGUAACGUUUGGUCCCCAAUAGAAACGGUCAACCCCAUUUAUGCUUAUGUUUCCCUAUGGGGAGUCUUAUCGUUGAGAGGUGAACGUCCCUAAAUUUUUACUUUGGUGAUUAGAUCUCAUCAAUGUGAGAGUUUUGUGUGUGGAAGGAUCAAUCAAAUUAGGCCAUAUAGGGACAUGUAAGAGCCUUUUUGUGUGUUGUAGAGUAGCUCUGACGACGAAACUGAUAAUUUAGUCGCCUUAGUAACUAAAUUUGGGCGGGUAGAUAAAAAAUUUGGUCUACUUUAGCGGUGAAAUAUUUCACCUUCGUCGCUUAAGUCUCUAAAUUCGGCGGCAGCAUUUUGCGCUCAAAAUUUGGCCUAAAAUUUGGACCCAUUUUUCAAAACUAGUUUGGGCUGGCAGGGGACAAAAUUUUCGUCUGAUGGUCGCCUAGUGUAGAUUACUAAACCAAAAACUCACCCAAAAUCCCGUAGUGUCGACAGACGCCUCCCAAUUUUCUUCCUCUGCUAUCGAACCCUGCAAACCCUCCCAAUUCCUAAUCGAUCUCCACCCAAUCCCUAAUCAAUCUCCACCCUCAUCUCUCCUCCCAUCUGCGCCUCUCUCUCAUCUCUCCUCCGUAUUCAAUCUCCACCCUCAAACUCUCUCGAGUCUCCCCUCAUCUGCGCCUCUCUCUCAUCCCACCACAAACCUAAACCGAUCCAUAAGAAGGUGAGGGUUUAUGGUUUUUUUUUCAGUUGCUUUUUGGGUUUCAAACUCAAAAUUCCCAAGAAGUAGCUUUGGGUUUGUAAAUACUUCGGUGGAUUUUGGGUUUCUGAAAUUGGAUUUUGGAUUUUGUAGGUUGAGGCUGAGGAGCAGCUUGACAUUUUCGUGGCUUUUUUGGUUUCUGCUGUUCCCUUCUUUGCAAUGAGAUUAAGGUAUAAAAGAGAGGAAUCAGUACCAGCUUUCCUAGGAUUUUAGUUUCAGGGUUUAUUUUCUUGUUUUAUUGUUUAUGGCUUUUUGUGUUCACUGUAUUUGCCUCUGACCCCAUUUGAUCUUAUUGUACUUUGAGGUUAAAUCUAAUCUGUUGAAUCAUUGUGUUCUGCAAAAUUGGGUUUUCUAUAGUUGUGAUUCUGAUCUGGUGGGAUUUGUUAACAUGGUUAUUGUCCUUUUCCCUCAAGCCACUGUCUUUGAUCUAAACUCCCCUGGUUUUGUUGUUGAGGAGAAUCUUAAAGACAUGUAGCUGGAUCUCAAAUUUGGCGAGUACUGAGAAUGGCGAUAAAAAUUUAUUACUGCAGAUUAUGCAUUCCAUCUCAUAAACAAAAUUACUACAUGUUUCACUGAUGUUAGGUUCUUUGUUUCUUCUAGGAUUGGAUAGUUAUCUACGUGUUUGGAAUGUAAAGACGCGGGAACUACUCUCUGCGGUAUGUGUUUGGCUUUUAUUGUUUUUAUGUGACAAAAUUCCCCGAGUGAAAGUAACAGUUGUUGCUAUCUGUUGAAUAAAACUCUUGACAAUGUCUGAUCCGGUUGGAUUUUAUUAUUUCCUAAUUCUUAUAAUGGAAUCAUGUAUGUGAAUCUGUAAUUGUGAGUAUGAGAUUUUCAUUGGUAGACUCCAAUUUGUAAAUAUUGUCAAGAGACUUAUAAUAAAGUGGCUAGACCUAACUUAAAGCUCAAGAAUUCUUAGACAUGAACUGGCUGUUUGGGCACCCUUAGGACUUCGUGUAUAUAGUUAUGCUCUCCUGCAUACAAACAUUGUGAUAUAUAAUUAUCUAUCUAGUAUAAUCAUAGCUCAAGCUGUAAUUGAUUUUGAAAUGUGGUCAGGUGAGUAAUGAUUGAUGUGCACUGCCGCUUUUGGAAUUGUUUAAGGUUAAUUCUCUAGCUUUUUGUCUAAGCUGGUUUUUAGGAUUUAAAUUUGAAUCUAGUGCAUCGGCUCCAUAUCUAUUUCUCUGUUAUCCCUUUUAUGGUUACUGUAGUGUGUGUAUCUACUUGAUGGAACAUUCUGGUAUUUUAUUCAAGAGAUGAGGUUUUCAAAUUUCUUGAAUGACUAUAGAUCCUGAUCUGGGCACAUUCAAAGAUUUGUUAGACUAGUCUUUUCAGCUCAAAGCACUCUUUCUUAGUACCUCUCUGUUUUGAUGUGUUACAAACAAAUUUGGGGUUUUCUUGGACAUGCUUUAGAUUUGAUGUAUUUCCAGUUAAAUGUGUGCAGAUACACAUUUUCGCGGCCAAUAUAAUUUGUUAAGCUUUCUUGUUUAUUUUCCUAGUUCUUUACACUUGCCUCUUUCUUGUGCUUAUUUUCUUCAGGACUCUUGGCCAAUGUAAAUUUAGAAGAACGACCAAAACCAAGCAGCCUCAAGAAAACAGUACUCAUAAGCAAAAAUGCACUGCCCAAAUGGGAAAUCAAUGGAUUUGUGGAGUACAUCUCCGGCGGGCCUCAACCAGGCAGCAUGUAAUUUGCCGUACGUGUUCUUUUCUGUGUUUGCUUAUUCAUUUACUUCAUUUAUAUGACACUUACUGUACUGUACUGGACACUUGCUUUCAGUUAUUGUCGUUGUGUGUUGCUUUGUGUUUAUAUGUUGUUGUGUGUUGCAACAUCUAAGUGUUGUUGUGAAUUGAUGAAAUCCCAUAUGUUAUAGCUAAGUAUUGGUGUGUGUUGAUGUGUUGAAAUAAAGGGGCUUAGGAGAGUUGAAAUUGUGGGCAAGGAAUGAGCAACAAGGCCUUCUUGUCGCAAUGAUAUAGUUCUUGAGGAGAUUUGGGAGCAUGCCCGACAAGCCCAAGAGGAGGCACGACAUGCUUAGGAGGAGGCACAAAAAGCCCGGGAGCAGGCCAGAGUAGCCCAGGAGAAGAUCCUUGAUUAUGAGCGCCGUAUACAGAUGUUGAAGAAGUGUGCAGUCGCAGCCGAGCCGACAAGAAGGCCAACAGUCUAAGGUUGAUGGUUGAAGCUAGGUCCAUAGCUUUUUGCUUUUAUGGAACCCUUGAUAUUUGCUUCUUUUGUUAAACAUUGUCUAUAUAGGAUUGUAAGAGGCUAGGAUAUUAGGGAGGGUUUAAACUAUGAACUUUGAACUUGCUCUUUUGUUUGUGUAUAUAAUACCUCCUGGAAGUUUACUAGUUUUUCAGUUUGAACUUCUUUUGUUAUGAUUUUGAUUUGCAUCACAGGUUUUUAACUUUGAAUGUGAAUUUGAAAAUAUGCACAUAUAAUUACUGUGUGCAUAUCAGUAAUACUUAGAUUUUUUUAAUAAUAUAUAAUUAUAAUUUAAAAACAUAUAUAUAAAAUGUUCAAUUAAGUCUUAUGCGGCGAAAAAUGAGGAACCGUCGCCGGGGUUGGAUCCUCGCCUUAAACAUGGCGACGAUUAAUAAAUGGUCGCGUAAAAGGAAACUAAGGCGACUAUAAUUUCCCUUCGUCACCAAGUGUAGGCGACAAUAAUUUCGACGCCUAAAUAUGUCUGUUUUCCUCACCUUAGACUUAUGCGGCGAUAAAUAAAUAGUCGUCUAAGUAUCUAUUUAGGCGACCAUUAUUUUUUAUUCGUCGUCUAAGUUCUUACGGGUCCAUGCUAAGGCGAGGACUGUUAGGCGACGAAGCUUUCGUCGUGUGAGAACUUAGGCGACGAAAAUGGGCAUUUAGGCGACGAAAACUGUUUGUCGCUUAAGUCUUUUAUUCUAGUAGUGGUGGUGAAAUAUCUUCUCGAGCUUCUUGUUUUUCUUUCCGUAUAGGAAAUUAAUAUUAAUUCUUGUAUAUAUUAAUUCGAUCUUGAUUUGCAUGGCAAUGCCACUAUAUUAGCAGUAAGAUUAUUGGUCACUUAAGAUUAUUGGUCACUUUAGAAUCGACUAAAUUGGUUUUACUCAUAUAUAUCGUAACUUUCCCAUCAAUGAAAUUAAUCAAUUGCAAUUUGUUUACUUAAAAAAUUGUCAACAUUCGGGUGUUGGUGACUACUGCUAUAAAAGUGUUGUACUCGACGACAGCGACAAAUGAUGCUUUUUAGAUGACCGUGGCUGGUUGUUCGACGACAUAGUUGAUAGGAUUUCGAUCAUCACAUGGUAGUUCAUGUAUAGGUUUGGCUUUUGGGUUCCAAUUACUUGGAUUCAUUGUUUCGUUUGCUUCCAUAAUAGUAAGGGAUGCUGGAAAUUUAGGUAUCAAAGAACUAAGACAGACAUAACUCCUUAUAUAUUAAAUAUACAGUCGGGAUCAGAGGUAGACGUCCGCACACUCUUAAAGUGAGGACGUGCCUCCGUUCUCCACCGUACGGCUCCGACGACGCAGCGCCUCCACCCCAGCUGUCUCUAGCAGCGUCCCCGAUCACUUUUCCUCCCCGGCGAGUCCGCUGAAUUCCAGUUUAAAGGCGAGAUCGAUUUUGUUGGAAGUUUUGGGUGAUCUCGCCGGAAAACUGGAAUUCGGCUGACUCGCCGAGGAGGAAAAGUGAUCAGGGACGCUGCUGGAAGCCGCUGGGGUGGAGGCACGCCUUCGUCGGAGCCAUACGGAGGAGAACGGAGGGACGUCCGCACUUUAAGGGCUGUGCAGACGUCUUCUUUAGAUCCUCUCUGAUUAAAUAUAUAUAUAUACAUGUCCGUUCUGGUGCGGACGUUCGCACUCGGCUUAAAGUGCGGACGUCCGCACUCGAACGUUUCUGUGUGUGUAUAUAUAUAUAUAUUAUCUCAAUGAAGUUGCCUAAGCCUAACUAAUUUUCUAACAACAAUUCAUCAAUCAUGCACCAGAGUCCAGUGGGACUAGAUUUUCGGUGAGGAAACGGUGUGAUAUUGAUGAAAAAAAUCUCUAUAGCUUCACCUCAAUCAACAUGCGUGACACUCGUUCAUUUCAAGAACCUGGAGAUCAUAUAUAUGUCCUAAUAACAAGUUACCUUGUUGACUUAAUCGGAAUAGAACCUUUCCAACAUACAUUUUCUUCAUUACCUUAGCAAGGGAAUGUUAAGGACUAUGAUCUUAUGAGGGUCACUUAAAUAUUAUUUGAAACUUUUUUUUUUUUUUAAAUACUGACAAGGAUUAGGCGAAAUCAGCUCCUCUGUAGCAGUCUGGUGGGUGACAAAGCACCCACUCUACCCCAAAGGAGACUGCUACAACCGGGAAGCCACCACCCGUCCCUUAUCAGAAAUUUUAUUUAAAAUAAUAAAAAAAUUACAUGAAAAGAGGAAUGGGGGACUAGGCCAAAACCAUUCCAAUUACAAACCAAAACAACAUACAAAAAGACAUUGUUUCUACCCAUAAAAAACCAGGCAAUCUUCCCACUAUGAAAACCGAUAAUUAGGGAUACCCAAAUAAUCCGCUUGCAAGAAACCAUGAAGCUCAGUAGGAGGAUUAUCAUACCAAGUAAAUGAAGCAUUUGACAACCCCAAGUUUGCCAUCUUGUCAGCUACCAUAUAUUUCCUUCUCUAAAAAUAUGACUGCAACGGAAGUUCAUUUGACGAAUUAUAGAAAGAUAGUUAUUCCAACGAACUCUUAAGUUCCACGGAGGAGAAAAAGACCUGGAAGAGAAGCAAGCUACCACACUAACAAAGUCACUUUCCAACCAUAAGUAGACCCACCCUUUAUCAUGAGCAAUUUCAAUUGCCAAGAUAACAGCAUAAAGUUCAGAAUAAAAGGAACACUACCAGAAGAAAAACUUUAGCCGACGAAAAUAAAAAAACCAGGCCGACGAAUUAUUUUUUCGUCGGCUAAUUAAAAAUUUUCGUCGGCUAUAGUCAACUUUAGCCGACGAAAUUUUUAAAAGUUUAGCAGACGAAAAAUAUAAUUUCGUCGGCUAAAGUGCCUUAUAUUUGCAGAUCUGGACAACAACUCAUCUGGGAAAAAAAAACUAUAUGUAGAACCUUCAAACGCAAAAAAGUCGUGAAAUAAGAUAUGACCAGAAUGGUGAAAUACGUCUACAGUUGAAAAAACACAGUAUUCUGGUAAAGUCUCGGUGCCGAUAGUUGCGGUCAAUGCAAUUAACCCUUAUUAUUCACUAUGCUGCAGAUUUGGUUUUUGGUGUCCGAUUGACUAUUGUGAUACCUUUUCGGAAGCGUAACGGCUCUACGAGUCAAACUCAUCGCUAUUGCCAUGAAGUAUGAGCCUUUUUGGCCAUCCGAGUCCGUUUAGGGCUUCAAAAUGCAGUUUUCUUAUUUCCGAUUAGAGUUGACCGUUUCGAUCGAGCCCUUAACGUUGUCGAAUCCAGUUGAAUUUUUAACCAUAGACAUCUUUCGUCAUAAUGAUCAUAUCUGACAGUCGAAUUUUGGUUUGUAAAUUUUAGUCAUCGGAAUCACAACGUGUCUACUAUUUACUGUUAUUAUUCCCCAUAGGGAGCCCUAUCGUUGAAAGGUAAAUAUCUCAAAAUUUUUAUAUGGGCAGUUGUGUCUCAUCUACGUGAGAGUUUUUUGUGCGGAAGGUUUGACCAAACUACGUAACAUAGAGGGAGAUAUGAGCGUUUUCGUGUGAUAAGUGACGAUGGAUUAGGGUUGACAGUUUUGAUCGAGCCCUUAACGUUGUCGGAUUCAGUUGAAUUUUUUAUCAUAGACAUCUUUCGUCAUAAUGAUCAUAUCUAACGGUCGAAUUUUGGUUUGUGAAUUUUAGUCAUCGGAAUCACAACGUGUCUACUAAUGUUGUAUAAUUUAUUUAGUAGGUUAUACAACUUUGUGAACCAACUCUACAUAGGAAGCAAAAUUAUCAAAAAUCUCGUGAAAUAAGAUGUGUUCAGAAUGGUGAAAUACGGCUAUGGUUCAAAAAUCACGUAAAUCGGGUAAAGUCUCGAAGCCGAUAGUAGCGGUCAACCCUAUUUAGCGUUAUUAUUCCCUAUGGGGAGCCCUAUCGUCGAAAGGUAAAUGUCUCAAAAUUUUUAUAUAGGCGGUUGCGUCUCAUCUACGUGAAUACGUGAAAGUUUUUCGUGUGGAAGGUUUAACCAAACUACGUAAUAUAGAGGGAGAUAUGAGCGUUUUCGUGAAUUUAUAGACUUUAGCCGACGAGAUAUUAAAAAAGUCAUCGGCUAAGGUCAAAAAUUUUUGGGCUGUAAACCAAUUUGGAGGAAAAUUUUCAAAGGACUUUAGCCGACGAAAAUAUAUGAAAAGUCGUCGGCUAAAGUCGAAAAAAUUUCAAAAUUUUCAACCAAAAUUUUUUGGCGGUCAACCAAAAUUUUUCAAAAUUUUCAAAAGAGUUUAGCCGACGAAAAUAAAGAAUUUCGUUGGCUAAAGUUCUUUAUAUAGGAGUUUUACCGAAGGUGGAUGGUAAGAAGUCUAUUUCGCCUGCCAGAUUUUCUUCUCGGCCUAGCUCUGCCGUCAAGCCACCGAAGACCGCCACACUUGUCCCAAAAGUUUCGUCGUCGUCGUCUCUACUUCAUUGCUGGACAGGUGGUGCAUCGAGUGGCGCCGCCGUGAGGGAUAAAUCGAGCUCCAAAACUCCGCCGGUUCGGAUUCGGUGUCGAUCGAAUUUCUCCUUCCUCAGGUCACCAUUUGGUGAGUUCUAUAUAUGGAUAAGUUGAGUUUGAUUAGUACUACAUUCCCCUAGAAUUUGGUAGCUCGAUUCGGUGUGUGUGAGGAGAAUCGAAGAUUUGAAGUUUUUAGGGUUUAAAAUUGGGGAUUUUUAUAUUUUGAUUCAAUUGACCUGUUUAGGCUUAGAAUUGGGCUUCGACUUCUUCUAGAAAGUUGUUCUAAAUGUUGAGAGGAAGAUUCUGUCAAAUUUUGGUGGUGAUUGAAGGUGGCCGAAAAUUUCUGUAGUUUUUUUUUCAAAAACCAGCAACUUUAGCCGACGAUAUUUAAAUACUAUAUUCGUCGGCUAUAGUAUUUUUAAUUUUUUUUUAUAAGGUUUAGCCGACGAAAUAUGGUAUGUUUCGUCGGCUAUAGUUAAUUUUUAAAAUUUUUUAUAAGGUUUAGUCGACGAAAUAGACUAUAUUUCGUUGGCUAUAGUUAUUUUUUAAUUUUUUUUAUAAGGUUUAGCCGACGAAUAUCUUAAUUGUUUCGUCGGCUAAAGUUUGGGAAAAAACCCGACGACAUGUUUUUCGUCGGCUAAACUGUGGGACUAUAGCCGACGAAAUUUUUUUUUCGUCGGCUAAAGUCAUCGCCGACGACCUUUUCCCGACGAAAUCUUAGCCGUCGAAUUAAAUUAACAGGCCGACGAAAUUUUUUCGUCGGCUAAAGUGCUUGUCCUGGUAGUGUUUCCUACAUACAUUUUCUUCAUUACCUUAGCAAGGGAAUGUUAAUUAAGGACUAUGAUCUUAUGAGGGUCAUUAAUUACCUUACAUUUUCUCAGUUAUUUGAAACAUAUAUCUAUUGUUUGGAGACAAAUUUAAGUAGCAUGUGGUUUGUACGUAAGCGUAUGAUCUCUUACUAAGUCUUUUUGUUCGUGUAGUAUUGUGACGUACGUAAUGACAUCAACCAACGUGUAACACAAAGUGAUCGAGAGUAGAUAUCGAUCGAGAUCUAGAAAAAUAAUCGAUGAAACUUGUCUUGUUCAGUUCACUGCUUAACGAAAAGCAAAACCCUAAUUGUCUAUUUUAAGUACAAGUUUGAACAUGAAAUUAAUAGUUUGAGAUAUGAUCUUGAAGGGUGGAACUACUUUUGUCAUCUGGAUUCUUCUUUUAAGCAGUAUAUAUUCUUGUAGUAAAACCCAAAUUAAGUCAUAUGAAUAAGAACUAUUGUCUACACUCGUAGAAGCUCAUUCAUAAUUGUGCAUAUUUCUCCCAAACAGUCCUUAUUCACAUUAAUUUCUGUCUCCUCACAAAUAAUAUACAAGUAACAAGAGGAAUAAAAAUCCAGUAGCAAUGGAGGGAUUGGAGGGCAUCGAUCCAGACCACAAAUCAUUGGCCGGGAAAAAAAAAGCUAGGGUUUUCCAUCCCACGCAAAACACAUUGAGGAAUGUAAUGCCAAACCCCGUAAGGUUGCAGCAUCUUUUUCCCCAGUAAAGACUAAAACAUGCCAGCUACUAGUAAAGGCUCAAUAUGUGAGACUGGGAAUAUGGAAAUCAAUCAGAUGAUCGCUAUUGAGAAUCUGAGAUGAUCGAUUAUGAAAUGGUUGCACGGUUCCCAAACAACUGGAACAUUUUCUUUGUAGUUUAGCCUUUACUGAAUAGACGUACUGGACCAGUUUGCACUUGGUUUUCUAGUUAGCUAGUAGUUGAAGACAAUAGUUCAUAAAACCAGUCAUUGUUUUGCUCCUGCAGAAAUGGCACUACAUGCAUGUGAAUAUCUUUGGAAUCUUUUUAUCGAUCAUUACUACCUCCAGCAUAUAUAUAACAAAGGCAAGGGUUUCGUUAUUCGUAGUGUACACUAAUAGAAAUUUCCCCAUUGGGGACUGAUAGGAUUAAGUCCCUAUUGUGGACAAUGCACACUGAUAUAUAAGAGCGUAAAAUGCUAUUAGCACCCCUACAACCACUCUUAAGGGAUCAGUUCCCUCUAUAGCAGGUGCUAUUGGAGCAUUAGACACUGAUGAAACAUCAGUGUAAAGUUAUAUGAAAAGUUAAAAGUCUACUGGUGUCAUUGCUGCCGACGACUUUAAUUACCAGAAGAGUGCGAAUGAAGAACUGAGAUUCAGUAACAAGGAAUUUAGGAACUCAUCGAAAAGAAAAAGGAAUUUAGGAACUUGUCCUUACCACCAUCAUGAACUGAUAUUAGUUAGACAAGAAGGGAAGAUAUAUAGAGUGACAUGUGCUAAGCAAGACCUAACAUUUCGAUUCUACAAUCUAAUAAACCAGAAAGUUCGGCUGCACCAGCACCGCACCAGCACCACAAUUUAUAUCCAAAUGUUAAUGAACACUAGUCUCAACAUCGAUCUGCAAAGUGUGCCGAGUUUUUUGUCAAUUAAAACAACCAAAUGGUGUAGAAGUAGCUAAAUUUUACAUUAGGUAAAGAUUGUAAGAACAAAAUACAUUAUUGUCCCACGUUCUUCAUUUGGUUUCCUUUUCGUACGUAGUAGAACUUUUGAAGCUUGUCAUCUAUCUUUGAAGGAGUGGUGGAGCUAGCAGUAGAAGACUGGUUACACAGUAGGCUGGUACUUGUUUUUAUAUAUAGAUUCUUGCACAUUAUAACACAGUAGACCCUUUGCUGUUUCUCACCGUACGUUAGUCCAUCAUACAUUUGAUUAAGCACAUCUAGCAGAAUUUACUCAAUUUUGUUUUCAUGCAAUGCUAGAAUAAUAGAGUGAACUAGCGAGAAUAAAAUGGAAAGAAUUAUUUAUUAUAAAAUAAUUGAGUAGCCUCCUGCUACUGUGAGAUAGCUAAACUACAUAUUAUCUAUACCUCUUCAUCCAACAUUUAUAACAGAAUUAUUCUAUGCAAGGUGCCAUUUCGGGUUACCCCAAUCUCUAGUUCUUCGUCUUUUUCUAGCUCAACGUCGAGCUGCAUGCUGAGAUAAGUACACCCUGUGGCUUCUGUCGCGCGAUCGAGAAGAAGAAGAAGUAAUCUGUCGAGCGAGAAAUGGGAAAAACCUCUGGUUUCGAAAAGGAAGGAAAGAAGAAAGGAAAAUGGUCUGGUACCAGAUUCUCAAGGACUACGUCAAGAACCACGGUACAGGCAAAUGGGGCAAAAUAGCAAAGGAGAUUGGCAAGUUCAUAAUUUCCUUCAUAUAUACCUACUUUCGACAUACAUCGUUGUGCUUAAUCAAUAAUGUAAUCGCCGUUGUUUCUGAAAUUUUCAAUUAAUUCAAUUAAUUACCGACGGCCCUGUGUAGCUUACGCGGAAUUCGCAUGCAUGUAUUGGAAGCCAAAAUUACAAAUUUACGCCAGUAGCGAAUGGAUUAAUUGGUAAAUUGGUUGCUCAAUUAAUCAUUGGUUAAUUAACUGCGUGUGCAGGUCUGGGGAGAUGUGGGAAGAGUGUGAGACUGAGAUGGUUGAAUUAUCUAAGGCCCGAUAUCAAGCAUGGCAACAUUAGGGAAGAUGAAGAAGAUCUAAUUAUCAGGAUGCACAAGCUUGUAGGCAAAAGGUACUAAUAUAAUAAAUUUCUUCCUCUUAUCAUGAAAGUCCCGCAGAUCUAAUUUUAAAUUUAAGCUUAGUAUUCGUAAUUACUUACGAACAUUUGCAUAUUUGAUCAAUAUUUGGUUUCAUUUUUUUUUUUUUAAUUUUUUUAGAAUUCAAAGAAAAAAUACUUGCCUCAUUUCAGAGCUUAAUACAAAGUAGACUUGUGCAGGUGGUCAUUGAUAGCAGGAAGAAUUCCGGGUCGAACUGACAAUGAAAUAAAGAACUACUGGAUCUCCACUCUAAGUAAGAAGCUGGCAGAAGAAAAAAGAAAGAAACCAGAAGUGCCGAGAAACGAGAUUGCCAAGGAGAGCUUGCCAUCCCCCAUUGAGGUCGACGAUGGUCAUCCACAUCCGACCAUAUGCAAUGAAGUUCCUGGAGGAGGAGGAGGAUUGAUGUGUUUUGCCAGUAAUGUUAAUGUAGAAGAAGAUCAUCAGCAUCAGAGUUCUGAUACCGAUAACAGUACUACAAUGAGUGCCAGAGUGGGAGUCCGAAUCAGAGGCGUGGCAAACAAUGUUCAACCAACCGGGGACGAUCUCAGUGAUGACGCUAUGCCCUGGAACGAUUGGAUAAUGGAUCUGAACGAAGGGCAACUCGACCUAUCUGAAUUUCUCCAAACUGAUUUUUCGAACUUUUGGGAAGAAUCAGAUAUGUUCAUGAACUUUGAAGUCGGAGGUUGCAGCACCAUUAACCAUGAGUGGCCGAAUAAUUAGGGUGGUUAAAUAUCUUCCCGAGCUUCUUGUUUUUCUUUCCGUAUCGGAAAUAUUGAUUCUUGCAUAUAUUCAUUCUUGAUUUGCAUGGCAAUGCGGCCACUAUAUUAGUAAUAAGAUUAUUGAUCACUUUAGAAUCAACUAAUUAAAAGUUUUACUCAUAUAUAUUGUAAUUUUCCUAUCAAUGAGAUUAAUCAAUUGCAAUUUGUUUACUUCAAACAGUGUCAACAUUCGGGUGCUGGUGACUCUACUGCUAUGGUGCUUUUCAGAUGACCGUGGCUGGUUGUUCGACAUAGUUGAUAGGGUUUUUGGGUUUACUUGGAUUCAUUGUUUCGUAUGCUUCCAUAAUAGUAAGGGAUGCUGGAAAUUUAGGUAUCAAUCAAAGAACUAAGACAGACAUAACUCCUUAUGAAUUAUUUCAAUAUAAUGUUGCCUACCUAAUUUUCUAACUUCACCAAUCAUGCACCAGAAUCCAGUACUGGCCGGGUCAAGAUUUUCAGUGGGGAAAACGGUGUGAUGUUGAUNNNNNNNNNNNNNNNNNNNNGUUAGAAAGGGAUGAUUCUAUCUUUGGCUAAAAACCAAAAGGGAUUGAGAAUUGGUGGUUUACGAAUCUGGGUAGUUAUUAAUUCUUGAAGAUUUGUAAUUCUGGGACAAGUUCAAAUUGAGGGCCCUUCUUGAGCUGAUACGGCAGCCUUGAAUUUUCAGAGGAAGACGAACUGAACCUGUUUUUUUUUUCUUUUUUCUUUUUUUUUUGUGUGGCUGAAAACUCUGUUUUAAUCUCAGCCCUCCAACAAUGUUAAAACAAAUCAGACGGCUAUGACCCUAUCCCUUGAAAAGACCCAAAAAAAAAGGAUCCCUCAUUAAGGUAUAUGUAUGUAUGUAUGUAUGUAUAUCCCUAAUAAUAAGAAGCUACCUUGUUGAAUUGAUUGGAACAGAUCACCUUUCCUCACAUUUUCUUCAUUACCUUAGCAAGGGAAUGUUAAGGACUAUGAUCUUAUGAGGGUCACGUAAUUAUUAUUUGAAAUUAUUUAAUCUUCUUCUAAUUCAUCAAAUUUAUGUAUGCUCAAUAAUGUGCUCAAAACAAAAACAAAAACAAAAACUAGAAUUUGUCAAAGACAGAAAGCUAGCGAUGUGAAACCACAUGUCAUCCACAUAUAUCUAUUGUUUGGAGACAAAUUUAAGUAGUGUGGUUUGUACGUACGUAAGCGAUGUUACGUAAGCGAUAGACAAAUUUGAUCUAUUCUUUUUGUUUGUGUAGUGAUGUUACGUACGUAAUGACAUCAACCAACAUGUAACACAAAGUGAUAUAUCGAUCGAGAGCUAGAAAAAUAACUGAUGAAACUUUGUCAUGUUCUCUUCAUUGCUUAACUAAAACCAAAACCCUAAUUGUCUUUUUUACGUAGAAUUUUGAACAUGAAAUUAAUGGUUUGAGAUAUGAUCUUGAAGGGUGCAUGGAACCACUUUUGUCAUCCGCAUUCUUCUUUUAAGUAGUAUUAAUCUUGUAGUAAAACCCAAAUUAAGUCAUAUGAAUAAGCUCGUAGAAGUUCAUUCAUAAUUGUGCAUAUUUCUGAAAAUGACUGCAUAAAUUAAUGCAACUUUUGAAGUUUUCUCCCAAACAGUCCCCAUUCACAUUAAUUUCUGUACGUCUCCUCACAAAUAAUAUACAAGUAAACAGAUAGCGUGAGGAAUAAAAAUCCAAUAGCAAUGGAGGAGGGGAUUGGAGGGCAUCGAUCCAGACCACAACUCAAUGGCCUGAAAAAAACGAAGGAAAAAUGGGUUUUCCAUCCCAUGCAAAACACAUUGAGGCCAACACGCGUAAGGUUGCAGCAUCUUUUUCCCCAGGAAAAGACUAAAACAUGCCAGCUACUAGUAAAGGCUCAACAUGUGAAUGUGUGAAUAUGGAAACCAAUCAGAUGAUCGAUAUCGAGAAUCUGAGAUAAUGAAAUGGUUGCAUGGUUCCCAAACAACUGGAGCAUUUGCUUGUUCUUUAGCACAUACUGAAUAGUGAUAGGGGCUUAACCCUACCAAUGGAAUCGAGAAAGGGAGGAGCUAAAACUAACAGAAAAUGGAAAGGAAAUUGCAAUUUUUGAUAUUCGAUGGCUGCCUGAAACCCUAGAACAGCCUUAAAUAGGUACAAAAGAGAGAUGAGAUCUUGACACCUGUCAAGCAUCUAUCGGAUCAAAACAGUAAACCUAGCUUAACUAAUUAACCAAACUGACCAACUGAUUACAAUCAAAACAACAUCAAUUAGCUUCAAUUGACUACUUGUGGACUCCUACUCGGCCCAACUCAAGCAACAACCAUAUCUACGGCCCACUAGGAAACCAGCAGCAGAGACUUGCAACAUUCCAUCCCGGUUCCACCACAAACUUGUCCACAAGUUUGAACUGCUCAAAAUUUAAAGUCUGGAUAACGCUGCAUAAUAUCCUUAGCGAAUUCCCAAGUAGCCUCUUCUCUAGCCGUCCCCAUCCAAUGAACAAGCCACUAAGUUGCUGCUGCCCCCUUGUGUUUGAUCAUCCUUGUUAUUAAAACAGCCUCAGGGACCCAUUUAAGAGUAGACGAAUCCCUGACAUCUGGAAGGGUAGCCUCAGCUGUGACAGCAUGCCCAAUUCUCUUUUUGAGGAGGGAAACGUGAAAGAGGUUAUGGAUUUUUGCUGUAGCUAGAAGUGCCAACUUGUAUGCCACUGCUCCGAUCUUCUCCAGUACCUGAAAAGGACCAUAGUACUUUGAUGCCAACUUAUGAAACGCACUGGUGCUGACUGAAGUCUGUUUAUAAGGCUGGAGUUUCACAUAGACCCAGUCCCCAACUUCGAAUGAUCUCUCUGUGCGAUGCUUAUCAUAGUAUGCCUUCAUCCGGUUCUGAGCUUGAUGGAGAUUUCGUUUGAUCAACGCUAAGAGCUCGUCUCUACUUUGGAGUUGUGCAUCCACGUCUGCCACAGCAGUAGAACCAGGUGUGUACGGUUUAAUGGCAGAGGGAGCAUAGCCAAACAAAGCUUCGAAAGGUGUCAUUUUCAGAGCUGAGUGGUAGGCACUGUUAUACCACCAUUCAGCCCAAGGGAGGGCAGCUACCCAUUCAUGAGGUUUGUUUCCAGCAACACAGCGUAGAUACUGCUCCAAUGUCCGAUUGAGGUUCUCGGUUUGACCGUCCGUUUGGGGGUGAUAUGCUGUUGACUUGUUCAAAGUAGUACCUUGCAGUCUGAAAAACUCCUCCCAAAAUAAGCUCAUGAAAAUGGGGUCACGAUCUGAGAUAAUAGCAUCUGGCAUACCAUGUAAACGGAAUACUUCUGUAACAAAGAUCCCUGCAAGCGCCACUGCAGUGUAUGGAUGAGAAAGAGGUAUAAAAUGAGCCACUUUGCUAAACUUGUCCACCACAACCCAGAUGACAGUUUUUCCUUGUGAUUUUGGCAAAGCCUCGAUGAAAUCCAUUGAAAUAACGCUCCAUGCUCUCUCAGGGACUGGAAUUGGUCGCAGCAGCCUCGGAGGUCUAAUAGACUCAUAGUGGUUUUGCUGACAUAUAUCACAAUUAGCUACAAAUAGCUUCACAUCCCUUUGUAGUCCUGACCACGCAAAAUUUUUUCUCACCCUCAUGUAAGUGCGAGUCCUACCAGCAUGCCCUCCCACCAAACCACAAUGGAACUCUUGGAUCACCUUCUGCCUCCAAUUGUCAAUAUUUGGUACAAACACUCUUCCUUUAUACAUCAACUGAGAAUUAUGCAGUGAGAAGUGUUUCUUGCUGUGGGGUGAUUCUUGGAGAGUUCGAAUCAACUCCACCAAGGUAGCAUCAGUAAGACAUGCCUUCUGUAUCUCACUCACAAACUCAUGAGUUGGUAUAGACACUCCCAUAAUAGCAUUAAGAGCUGCAGAUCGAGACAAGGCAUCUGGUGCAGCGUUGUUUUUUCCCGUUUGUAGUGGAUGGAGUAGUCAUACCCGAGGAGUUUCAGCAACCUUUUUUGUUGAGAGGGUGUGGUUACUCGCUGGUUGAGGAAAUGCUCAAUAGUCUUGUGGUCGGUGUAAAUGGUGAAAUGAUGGCCUAGAAGGUAUGGUCGCCAAUGCUCAACAGCAGUCACUACAGCCAACAUCUCUUUGUCAUAAACCGAAAGAGAGAGGUGUCUUUGGGAGAGAGCCUUACUCAUAAAGGCAAUAGGAUGCCCUUCUUGACACAACACUGCCCCAACUCCCACAUCCGAAGCAUCACACUCGAUAGUAAAGGGUUUUGAGAAAUCAGAAAAAGCUAGUACAAGAGUUGAAGUGAGAGCUGCUUUUAAUUCCUCGAAGGCCCUCGUUGCUCCCUCAUCCCACUUAAAUCCAUCUUUCUUAAGUAGACUGGUGAGAGGCUUUGCAAUCAGACCAAAACCCUUAACAUAUUUGCGGUAGUAACCGGCAAGACCAAGGAAACCACACAGCUGCUUGAGAGUCUUGGGUGUUGGCCAAUUCUUCACACAUUCUAUCUUUGAGGGAUCAACAGACACACCUUUGCCACUAAUAACAUGCCCCAGGUACUCUACUUGGGAGACACCAAAACUGCACUUGCUUUCUUUAACAACCGAAGAAUGCUGUUGUAAAAUUUGAAACACCAUUUUCAAAUGUUGUAAAUGGGCUGAGAGGGAAAGACUAAAGAUGAGGAUGUCAUCUAAGAAUACCAGAACACAUCUCCGCAAGAGUGCUCAUAAGACAUCAUUCAUCAAGGACUGAAAUGUUGAGGGGGCGUUGGUGAGGCCGAAAGGCAUCACCAAAAAUUCGUAGUGACCGGUAUGAGUCCGGAAGGCAGUUUUAGGAAUAUCAGUCUCAGCCAUCCGAAUUUGGUGAUAACCUGCCCUCAAGUCCAACUUUGUGUAUAUCGUUGAACCAUGAACUUCAUCGAUCAACUCAUCCACCACAGGGAUAGGGUACUUGUCUUUAACUGUGGCAGCAUUUAGAGCUCUAUAGUCGAUACAAAGUCUCCAUGAACCAUCCUUCUUUUUUACCAGCAACACAGGAGAAGAGUAGGGGCUUGUGCUCGGCCUGAUCACACCAUUGGCUAGCAUUUCUUGCACUAUCUUCUCUAUUUAUGUUUUCUGGAAACGAUAAGGUCUCACGCUAAUGGGGGGGAGUGUUGGGCACUAGCUCAAUCUUAUGAUCUUGUGCUCUAGAGGGAGGGAGGCUGCGGUGGGGGGGGGGGGGGGGGGGGGGUGCGCAAAAACAUUUGCAUAUUUGGCCAACAAAGACUUGAUGGUAGGAUGGACUUCUGGAUUUUUCCGUUCAGCAGCCAAAGAGUGUACUUGAACAAGGACUGCAUCUUUCUCUUUCCUCAAUAACUUCGUCAUAGUUUUACAACUUACAACCAAAGCUUCUGGUGUUGUCACUACAAAAAAGAAUUCAUUUAGCCACCGAAAAUCGCCACGGCUCGGAUUUGCCGUGGCCAUUGAUCCUAAAUUUGCGACGGCGAAGCGACGGUAAACAUACCGUCGCUAAAUAAAAACCAGUUUGCGACGGCAACAUCUUGCCGUGGCUAAAUAAUGCAAAAUUCGCGACAGCAAACUAGCGCCGUCGCAUAUGUUUUUAUCAACGGCGACGACAGGUGAGUGCCGUGGCAAAAAAACCAAUUUUAUUUCUGAUUUGCUGCUACGGUUGCUUUCGUCGUCGCCUGUGUUCUUUCACUGUUAAUGGAAGGCGCCAAUUAUCCCGCUUUCCAUUUUGACAAAAAACAUCAAUUUUACAUAACCCUCAUUUUUACUCUCUCUUCAGACAAAACCCCCAUCCCACAAACCUAAUUCCUGUCUUCUAGAAAUCGCCGGUCCUAACCCCAUAACCCCUAUUUUGUCAAAUAUGUUGAAUGAAAAUUGGGGUUGGUCGUGAGAAACACAAAUCAUCGACUGUGGAAGGAGAGCUUGUCGACGGUGGUUGUGGUCAUCGGGAGGAGAGGUUUUCGGUUUUCAUCUGACCGGUGGCGGUACAAGACUGUAUUGAAUUGGCGGCGGCGGGUUUGCACUGGUGGCGGGUUUGCGCUGGCAGUGGCUUCUUCGGUCAAGUCGUGUCGAAUCUCUAGAGGUCGACGGCGGCGGCUUCUUCGGUCAACCCUAAUCGCCCAUCUUUUCCCUGCUCUUCCCUGCUCGAGCUCGCAGAAGGUACUCUCUUCCCUGCUCGAGCUCGCGCAUCUCUUCCAUGCUCUUCCCUGCUCGAGCUCGCAGAAGGUACUCUUUUCCCUGCUCGAGCUCGCAGAAGGUACUCUCUUCCCUGCUCGAGCUCGCCCAUCUCUUCCAUGCUCUUCCCUGCUCGAGCUCGCCCAUCUCUUCACUGAUUUUUUCGAUGCGUUUUGUGGUUUUGUGAAUUGGGUUUGAGUUGGUUUUGUUUUGGAUUUUUUGAUAGGUUCCAGAGGGGUCUGAAGCGCAAGCCCAUUUAAUGAUCAAGAAGCUUCGCAAAGCGGUGAGUUUUACUGUUAUUGGUUUGAUUGGUUAUGGUGAAUGAAAUAUGUUGUUGUGAUAGAUUGGUCACAUUAUCGUUCAAGUAUUGAAAUUUUUGACUCAUUGAGCAGUUUGUUUGGAGCUUACCAUUCUAUUCGCAAGUUUAUAUUAGAAUUUGUUCAUUGAGCAAUAUAUAUGUACCGACGAUAUAGGAAACUUUUGAAGUUUUGGAGUUGUCAUUGAUUGACUGUAUUAUAUUUAUACCCUCUAAGAUUAGUCUGUUGAUGGUAGGAAGAUAAGGUGCGUGUAAGACAGUUUAUGCCUUCUUUAGUUUCCUCAGAGUUGAGGAAGCUAGCUAAUUGCCUAUCCUCAGAAUGUUAUUUAAUUCCUGGCAACACUACUGUUGUACAACAUAUUCCAAUUGUUUGUUUAGUUGAAUGAUAUGUUCUGUGGUGGCAUUCAUUGUUGUUGGUAUUGAAACCCCUAUGUGUAUUGGUUAAUGACUUUGUAGAGGAACGGUUUGUGUUUUUGUUUAUCCUCAGUUAAAGAGAAAUUGAGCAGUAGAAUGUGUGAGAAACUUGACUGUAACAAAAUCAACAGAACUAGAGAAUACUUCGGAAGUCCGAAUUACCCUAUACUCUUAAACUCUCACCAAAUGCCACUAAGAAACCAAAUAGGUCACAUGAAGCCGAGGCCCCGUUUUCAUAGUUUCACUCUUCAUUACAUGAUCAAGUACUUUUUCAUAGUCUUUUUAUUUCAUAGUAUAUGUGGGACAAGUAAAAAUGGGAGUUCAUAACUGAAUGUGGUUGAAGUUUUGUUUUCAUUUUCACGCUUUUCUAUUUGUAGUUUUGUUCAUUCCGUCUUUUCUCUCUUUCCUCAAUUUAGUCUCUGUUAUUACUCUCAAUUUAGUCUCUGAAAACUGAGUCAGUAAAUUAAGUGGUCCACUAACAAUCUCCCAGACCUUCUCAUACUAGUUGUUCUUGAGAACUGGUGAUAUAUUGUUCUUGAGAACUAGUGAUAUGAUUUUUUUUUUUCGUUUUUGUUAAUUAGCUUGGGCUGUUAUACACCAGAUGGGUUGAAUGAAUAUUUAAUGAGAUUUGCUGCUGAGUUUGAUUAUUAAUGUCGAGUGAUUUGUGUCUUUAGGUGUUGUAGUAACAGAAUUUAGUUUGACAAUUUGAAACAUGAACACUGCCAGUAAUUCAUUGUUCUGAACUUGUCACUUCAGUGUGGUGAUAUUACAAUUUGUCCACCUUUUCUAUUAUGGAUAGGAACUCUGUUUUAUAUGAUUGAGAAGUUUUAUGAUACAUUUACAUUGAUACUCCCACCAAAGAUUCUCUUGACACACGACUGAUUGCCAAAUCUAUGUUUGAAAGACCUUUAUAUAUAUGUGUAUUUUAUGCAAUGGCAUUACUUAAGUAGAUUAUCAUUAAUUUCAGUUAGAGUUGUAGGCUUACAGGGAGAGGAACUGUUGAAUUUACCAUUGAAAAAGGUGACAGUUCAACAUUUGCUCCAGAAGCUGGUGGUGAACCAAGAAAGACAGCCAGUAUUCAGGUAUAAUGAAUACUAUCUAUCUAUCUAUCUCUCUCUCUCUCUCUCUCUCUCUCUCUCUCUCUCACACAAAAAUUUGAUAUUUCCAAAUGUAAAAUGUAUGCAUGGCACCCAAAUUUACUUUGAAAAUAUUUAAUGUCCAAAACUGAUCAGUAACUUGUGUACAGGUUGUUAUAGAUAGUUAUUCAGCACCAUUAACAGCGGGUAAUUUCGCAAAACUGGUUAGGUAGUUGAACACUAGAACCUCACAUUGGCUUCAUGCAAUUAUCUACAUUUGUGAAUAGAUGUGCUUAUCAGUGCUUUACACCUCUAAAUUUUCAUCCUCACUGGUUCAUCCAUAUGCUAUAAGGAUAACUGGGUAUUCUGUGAAAAAAUUAUGUUAAAGUUUGAAGUCUUUUUGAGUAUCUGAUAUCUUUUUAUAGUGCUUACUUUUGUCAAUUUGGUCAGUGUUGUAAUGUUAGUUACUAUUGGUUUGAGGUUGAGGUAGACUGGAAUAAUUACUGUAUUUUUUUUUACUGCGGCAGGGGAGUGUGGAGUGGGGGAGCACAAGAGUAAAGUUGCAGGGAAGAUGCAUGGAUGUGGACAUGAUGGUCAUGUUGCCAUGCUUCUUGGAGCUGCUAGUUUACUUCAAGAGUAUCGCCACAAAUUACAGGUCUCUUUCCUGGUUUGAAUUCUAUGCAUUGUGUUUAGAAGAGUGGUUUCAUUGUAAAGUUGGGUUUUUAGGUUUGUUAUUCCAUGUGUUGCAUCAGUUCUUGUUCUUAUGGACUUCUGUUACUUUAUAUAGCAAUUGUAGGUUUGAAAGUAGUUGUCUUUAAACAAAACAUCAAGGCUAAAAUGUAAAUAUUUAAAACUAUAUAUGGUCAGAUUUGGAAAGUUCCAGCGUAUGAGCGUGGAGGUGAGGUUAGGGAGAUUAUUAGGCCUUGGGGUUGUCUACAAUGGGCUCCUGGUCUAGCUGUCUAUUAGAAUUAUAUGUCAACUUGUUAUGUCAUCUAUCUGACUGCGAACAACCUUUAACUAAUAAAAAAGACAAAGAGCGAUAGAAAAUGACCUUUCAUACUGAAAUUUGCAGAGUUUUGGAGUCCAUAUUGGAACUACAUUUUGAUGUGGCCAGCUAUAAAAGUUGAUACACUAGCUUAAUCUAUAGAUUGCAAAGUGUGUGCAUUCUCUAAGUAGGCUUCUUGANNNNNNNNNNNNNNNNNNNNGAAUGGCUGCGAGUGGAUUUUUUGAAGCCUUGAUAAGUGGGAAGGGGGGUCGUGCUGCAAUUCCACAGCACACAAUAGAUCCUAUCUUGGCUGCUUCCAAUGUUAUUGUUAGUCUGCAGCAUCUUGUUUCACGUAAAGCUGACCCCUUAGAUUCACAGGUUUGCUCGCUUUCUCUCUAUUCUCAUAAUAAGGUCAUUGUCAAGUCUAUGUUCCCCUCCUAUUGCAGCUUGAUUAUUCAAAUACAUGUAUCUGUAAGUUCACAUGUGUUAGCGUUAGUCUACAACAUCUUUCACUCAGCACAUAGUAUGUGAAAUAUUAAUCCCCUUAGUUUCUUCAUGUGUGUGGGGAAAUGGUACUAUACAGAACAAACAUGAUAAGUAUUGGAAAUUGCCCUUUUUUUUUAUUAUGAAUAUUUUUGAAGUAUGGUUUAGUAUGAAUUAGGGUGAAAGUGCUUGAUUUACUUGAAUCUAGAUAUGGUUUUAAGCAUUAGGGUCAAUGCUUGAGCAUGCAAUAGGUUUUUGUUUUCACCUUUCACUUCAAAUCAGACAACUAAUUGUAGAAAAUGGUCUCAUUUAUGCAAUAGGUACCAGCUGAUGCAACAAGUGGCCAUAAGGCUAGGAGGGAGUCCAUAUGAGAGGGAGAUCCUGAGGCCACUACCCAUUUUGAUUCAACUUCUGAUGAUGUCACUGGUCACCAUGAUCCUCCUGCAUGAUUUAGGUUUAUGUCAUAUUGUUGUGUUUUAGAAUGUGUUAGAACAAAAUUAUGUUGGAAUAUUAUUGUCCCUUUAUGAAGCUCUUUUUAUUGUUGUAGCAGUUUGUUGGUUUGGUUUAGGUUCCAUCAUGUGGAAUAAUGUUUAUGUUAGAUAAUUUGGUUAUGAAAUGAAUUUUGGUCAUUGUGUUGUAUUUUGUUGGAAUGAAUGAUAGUUGAUGGUGGUGUUAGUACCUUGUUGAUUAUGGUUGUUGCUAUUGUGGAUUGAAUGAGAUUUGAAUUUGCAGCUUUCUGGUAAAAAUGAGAUUUGAAACAGUUGUGGUAACAAUUUCUGCAGUUGGCGACGGCAGAGUCCCGUCGCAAAUGGUUUUGGUGGGAAAAUUCAAAAAUUUUAGUUCAGAUCUGAAAUUUUUAAAAUAUCACAGUGACGGCGAUUGCCGUCGCCAAUAUUGGUAUUUGUGACGGCAAGUUCAGUAGCCAAUUUCCGUCGCUAAUUAAGCGACGGUCUUUACAGUCGCUAUUUGCCGUCGCAAACAUGGUUGUGACGGCUCACUGCCGUCGCCAAAAGCAACGGCCACACCCUCAACGGCGACGGGAAAAAUGCCGUCGCCACGCCGUCGCCGUUGGUCUUUUGCGACGGCAGAAUGACUUUUGGCGACGGCAUUUUGCCGUGGCUAACUGAAUUAAUUUUUGUAGUGUGUUAGUCCCUGCAAACAGAAUGUAUGCCCUCCAAUCUGAAACUUCAUCAUCAUAGUCUCAAAAUUCCACAAUAUAUCCCCAAGAGUUUUGAGCCAACUUGCCCCCAUUACAACCCAUUACAACUUCACAACCUGAUAUAGGUAGAACAUAGAAGGAAGUGGUUAGGGUUAAACCUUGCAAUGUAAUUUCAACCUUUACCUGCCCCUUAGUGUACAUAAUCGAUCGCUUCACUAGCAAGCCGGACUCUUAGAGGACUAAUUUUUUGGACCUCAUGCUUCGAUGCCUUGAGCGCUGCAGGGUGCACAAAGUUGUGUGAUGCCCCCGAAUCAAUUAGGACAUGCACUGCCUUGUUCAGAAUUUUCCCUUUGAGUUGCAUGGUUGAAGUGGCACUACCAUCUCCCAUAGCUCUGAGCUCCACCUCAUCAUUAUCUUCCACAUUAUCCAAUUGGUCCAAAUCAUCAAUGAUAGGAGGAGGUAACACGUUAGGAGGGAGUUGUGGAACUUCAUCUUGUAAUACCUCAAUAACCAUGAUGGCCUGUCCUCGCCGACAAUUGUGUCCCGGUCGGAAGAGCUCAUCACAGAAAAAACAUUGGUUCCGGGAUCUACGCUCCUGGUAUUCAGCUUGUGUGAGUCACCUAUUUCCUCCAAUAUUCCUUGCAGCCCCUGGAUUGGCUAAAGCAGGCAUAUUCUGAGCUCUCAGUUGUGGCGGAGGAGGGCCUUGAGCACGCGGGGGAGCUACUGGAGGCAUAAGAGCUUGUCGCCUUGGUAACCCUGUGACUCUUUGAAAUCUCUGCUAGGUAUCCCCUCCCUCAAACAGUUUUGCCAAUUCACACGCUAUAUAGAGUGUGGAAGGUCUAUGUGCCUUGACACCCGUUCUGAUGUAGGGCUUCAAACCCUCAAUAAAAAAUGACAGCAGUGCCUGUGGUGUGAACCCCUGGUGCACGCCUUGACAGCUUAGUAAACUGAUCCAUAUACAUAUCCACAGACCCUACUUGAGAAAUGCGAGCAAGAGCAGCCUGGUAUUCACCGAAAUUAUGCACACUGAACUCACGCAUUAGUAACUCGGCUAAACCACUCCAAGAGUUUGGAAAUUCAUGUUUGAACAUGAACCAGUGAUCAGCAGCUUUAUCCACUAAAUGCAAGGCUGCUAUAGCUACCUUCUUCUCGUCUGGCACUUGAUAGAACUCAAAAAAUUGUUCGGCCUUGUGCAACCAUUCAACAGGAUCUCCACCCCCAAAGGUCGUGAAAUCUAACUUCAUUUGUCUCAUGGAGGGAAGACUGGGAUCAUGGCUUGAGAAAUUUGGGUUACCUUGGUGGAAACUUUGUUGUUGAUUAUGUGUGUGAGAGGGACUACCAUUGCCAUGGUGUUGGGAAUGGGGGUUUUGAAUGGUUGUGGUAGUGGUAGCAUAGGUAGGGUGAGAUUGAGAAUGGCUUUUUAUGUUUGGAGACUGGUGCAUUUGGGAAUGGGGUGUGUUGCUGGUUGUGGGGAAGGGGGGUGGGCCAAAAGUUGCAGCAGUGUUGUAAACAUCAUGUGAGUAAUGACGUGAAUGGGAUCUGUUGUGUAGAAGCACACAUGGGUUGGGACACCAAAGGAGCACCAAGGUGUUGUUGUGCCUCAUUAUGCAAACCCCUACCAUGGUGGUUAAAAGAGUGAGCUCCUCCAUCAGUGUGUUGAAAAAAUUGAGUCAGGGGUUGCUUUCCAUUGUUUUGACCACUCGAUUCUCCUCUAGCAUGAUUAGACAAACUCAGAGGGUCACCAACAGUAAGUUGCAUCAAGGGUUGGGAAGAGGACUCAAGAGCUGUGUCACACUCACUCAUGAAACCAAGAAGCACAUCAUUAUCUCCAAGGUUCAAAGGAUGGCGUGCCUUGGAUACACUGCCUGCAGAGUUGAGCAGAGACAUAGCUGUUGAGAUGCCAUCAGUCGACGACGGAGUGGUCCCUCUUUCAACUAACGUCGGAGACCCAGAGGUUAAUGGAAGCGACCCAAAGCGCAGCAUCGGAUUCGCCUAUAAUGAUUGUACUUCAUAGUUGUAUCAGUGGCUGCCUCUAGCUCAGCGGUCUUCCAGUUUUAUCUGUUAGGUUCUAGUUGCAUGCAAUGUUUCUUGUUGUAAUGUUUUGGUUUACUAGUCGAAAAAAAGAAGAAGGAAGAAACAAAAAAGGGUAAGCUGACUCAGUACCAUUUGAUCUAAUGACAUAGUCUCCUCUUAAUAAGUGGGAGGUUGUGAGUUUGACUCACGAAGUUGUAUUAUGUGAUAAAAAAAAAGGGUAAGCACUUGUGUAAUUCUAAUUAGAUGGGGUGGUUAAUUAGUUUAGUUGAAACUUGAAAACCAAUGCUUUUACUAAAUCUUUCUACUUAAUCAUAUGCGUACUGCGAGCGUGUAUCAUGUAUGUGAUGUAUAUAUGUCAUCUAUGACAGUUUGUUUUUGGUUCUUGUAGUAUGUAACAUCAAACAACGUGCAAUACAAGAGUAGACAACAAAAAUAAUUGAUGAAACUUGUCUUGUUCACUUGAGUGCUUGAAAAUCGAUCAAAACCCUAACCUUGUCUUUUCCGUCGACGGCGAGAUAAGUGGUUUCUAUUAGAAAGCUGUUUAUAUCAGCAGAAGACAAACUCGUUCAGACCAGAUAAGAUUCUGUGAUCCCCAUUUGGGAAGGUGUAGGGCAUGUACUUGAAAAUUACACCAUAUGCAGUAGUGCCCGGGCCUUCUUCUACAGUUCUACGUACGUAUUUUCAUUUCAGAAUUCACAUGAUGCAUACAUGGGAUAUGGGAGUCAGAGAAAUUAUCCUUUUACCUACGUACUCGAUCUGUUGGCUUGCAUGCCUCUCCAGAAUUUAAUAGCAAAAUUGUGAGCUCUUAUUAACAACUUACUGAGAGUGAAAGAGAGGGAAAGAACAAGAUGAGUAUGAUUUUGCAGGAAGUGUUCCACAUUUUAUAUUCUUUCCUUUGAAGAAUGUAAUCGAUUCUUCCUUUUGAUUCUGGGUUGUUGGAGAAAUUUUAGUCAUCAUCAUCACCAUGUACGUUCUUCUCCUAAGUCUUAAGUACACUCUUGUAAGUUGUAAUUAUAGCUAGAUGGGGUGCGGGGUUUAUUAGUUAACUUGAGGCAAAUGUUUGUACUAAAUCUUCGUAGAUACGUAUGUCGUUGCUGACACAAAACAACAUGCAUGCCACACAGAGUGAGAUCAUGAAGAGACGUCCGAUUCCAACAAAAUGAUAUAGGAGCGAAACUUUUCUUGUUCACUUCAUUGCUCAAAAAUCAAAAUCCUAGCCAUAUAUAUUCGGUCGACUGCGAUGUAAGCGGUUAGUGUUAUAUAUAAAGCUCUUAUAUCAAAUUAUCUUUGAAGCAGGAGAUCGACAUGCAAAGCCAUUCAGACCAAAGAUUAGUGAUAAAGUUAUCAUGGAUUCCCAAGUAUCACAUCAGCAAAUGUAUCAUAGAUCAAUCUAAGAAUGAAAAUUAACAUGAUAUUAACAUGCACGUUAAUAUAUGACCUAAAGUGGAACCACAUUUUUCUUUGAUUAUUCUUGCAUGUAAGACCCGAGAUAUGAAGGAUGAGAACUUUUCUUAACAUUCAUUAAAACUAAAUCACAAUGCAUUCUGAACAUGAUUGCACAAAUAUAACUUAUUGAUGUUUUGUUCCUAAAAACUAUAGGCAUUCACAUUUACUUUUACGAACGGAAAACGCUAUCACGCAUAACUAAAACUCCAAGAGGAACGAAUUUUCUUUCUUAAGCCAUGAAAUCAUUCCGUCUCAUAAAUGCUUUUUUCCAGUAGGCGAUAUGGAUCCAGACCACCGGAAAAUAAAAGGCGGUGGAUUAUUCACACUGAAAAGAAAAAGAAAAGGAAAGAAGAGGUUUUCACAUCCACGCGAAACAUAUGGAGGGAACAGGGAAGUAGUGCCAAACUAUAUGGAUAACGCUGCGUGAAGUCGCUUGUCCAUCUUGUACGUUACACUGUUUUUUUUUCUCCCAGUAAAGGCUAGAACAUGCAUAUAUGUGCCUGUAUAGAACCGAAAGAGCAAAGGCUGAACAUGCAUGUGAAUCCAAGAUAUUGAAGAUCAUGGAGCAUUCGCUUGGAGUUUUGUAAGUUAUUGAAGAUACGCACUGGACCAGUUUCCAGUAUUAUUGUAUAUCUUUAGCAAAGUUGAAGACAAUACUUAAAAUCACUCGUUGUUUUCACACCUGCAGAAAUCCCAGUACAAAACCCAAAGAAUCAGUAGUAACUGUAAGAUAGCUCUAGCAAUUGUAUAACAUAACAAGUCACAAGAUAUAUAUAAAAGAGAGCUUGCUAAUUAACUAACAAAAAAAAUAAAAAUUAGAACCUAUGUGCUAGAUUAGUUUCAUUUUCUUUUUUAAAAUAACGGUCUCAAGAUGAAUAGUUGAUUCAUAUUAUUCAUACUGGGCUCCGAAUGAUAGAAAUUAAGAUUUAUUGAAUUCAAAGAGCAUAAACAUAAAGAAAACACAAAAAGUGCUUUGGACUACAACACUAGUUUGUGAUACUCUCAUUAUUUGAAAUCAAACUCUUCUAUCAUGAAAAACAAGCCGGCCUGUUGUAAAUGUGAGAUUUACCCCUUUUUUGAAGCUUCUCUCUCAGUUUGAAAAAAAAGCAUCUUCAAGAGGAGGGAAUGAGGGAUAUACUUCCAUUAGGUUCACGUGUGUAUUUCUGUGGCAAUGUGAACCCUACACGUGGCAUGAUCUUGUAGAAACGGAGCCGAUUCUGAUAUCUAAAUAGCUAUAAAUAGGGCGCAUUGCAAGAGCAAAAACACCAACAGCAAACAGAAGCCAUAAGCCAUAAGUUACAUAUCCUUGUUCGAUCUCUGCCUUUUAGCCACUAUCAUCAUGCUUGGCCUAGUAAACAAGGUGGCCUCAGUAAUCCACCACCCUCAUAGCCCGUUUGCCAAGUCUGACAAGAAGAUCUUGGAUGAUAUUUACACUACUCAUGUCCAUGCUGAUGAUUCAUUCGACGACGAUUCUCUUUUCAUCAUUGUUGAGAGUAUCCUCAAGCGUGCAACCCAAACUGUCGAUAAAAUUGUGCAGGUACAAAUCACACAUAACAUGUAACACGAUUACAUAUGCCUUGGUCGAUUUUUGCAUACGUACAAUAUAUAUUUACGCAAGAAUGACCAAGCUAGGAUGUUCUUAAUUUGCCUAAGAGAAGCUGUCUUUUUCUGUUGUUGGUAGUGACUAGCUGCAUGCUACAUUCUUGUGGUUGUUGCAGGGUACCCAAGUGCAUGUGGAAGACAUAGAGGAGCAAACUCCCAAAGCCAACUUCAGUGUACCAUUGUGCACGCUUAAGGGAAUCUCCUGCGAGGUCCAUCCGUCCAUAUAUAUACGAUACCAGCAAAAAUUAAAAAAAUUCCAAAUUAAUUGUUGUUAAUUGCUCGUUGAUUACAUUUUCCAUAUAUAUAUUGAAUAUUUCUCUAAUUUCAGAUGCAAUGCAAGCCUCCUGGUGAAGAAAUCGCCCAUGAGACAACACUGGCAAUACUACACAAGCUGUCAAAGUAUUCAUGGGAAGCAAAGGCAUCACUGACCCUAGCAGCUUUUGCUAUGGAGUUUGGUGAAUUCUGGCUCCUUGCAGAGCUUCGUGAAUCAAACCACCUUGCCAGGUCAAUUGCAAUUCUCAAACGACUCCCUGUUCUCCUCAAGCCUUCUCAGCUGCACAAGCGCAGGCAAGCAAUACUUGAGCUUAACAAUCUGAUCAAGGCCACACUGGAAGUCAUUACAUGCAUCGACCAGUUCAACAAGAUUUCCAUUUAUGACCUGAAAGAUGUCCCCGAGUUGUCGGGAACAUUGGAUCAUGUUCCGGUGGACGUAUAUUGGGCUAUCAUGACUGUUGUGGCUUGUGCCACUAAGAUCACACUACUCACUAGUGAUGAGUAAGUUCCUCGAUCUCCAUCGUUUUAAAGAAUUAGCUAAUUACUAUACUCACUGUUGUGGUGUAAGCAUUGUUCCUGGAGAUUGAAUUUGUGUACCGAUUUACGAUAUUUACCCUAUUUAAUUUGCCAUGCACAUAUUGUUUCAGGGACAAAGAAUUUGACCUAUCUCCCUAUUCUCAAAAGAUCCACUUUGUCCUUAACAAGCUCAAGACACAGCUAACAAUUUGCAGAGCACGAAUUGGUGGGUUAAUUAAUUGCAUAUUUUUUAUUAAUUGAGGUUUACAUUAGUUCUAUAUGUGUACUCAUUGAAACGAAAUUUGAAGCAAUUUUAUUGUUGUCUAAUGCAGAGUUCAUAGAAAAUUAUAAAAAGCUCAAGAAACUGUUCCGAACACCUACUGAAAUUAUGGAAAUCUUUAAGGGUUUGUUAUUUACAAAGGAUAAUGUCCAGCCACUCGUUGAUUGUUCCACUAAACAAACGGUUUGUGAAUCAUCUAUAGUUCAUUUCUCUACAAAUUGUAACAACAAUAGUGAAACUUAAUCGUGCCUAACUCUUUAACAGGUGAGCAUCGAAAUCCUAAGGAGGAAGAAUGUGCUAUUCUUCAUUUCCAGCCUCGACAUUACGGAUGACGACAUUUCGAUUCUGAAACCGGUCCACGAGUUCACAAAGAAAGACAAUCAGUAUAAGAUUGUGUGGAUACCGAUUGUGGAGCAAUGGACCGAUGAGCUGAGAAAGAAAUUUGAAAUCCUGAAGAACAAGAUGCCGUGGUAUACGGUGCAGUACUCUGGACCUAUUGCAGGCAUCAAGUUCAUCAAGGAGGAGUGGAACUUCAAGGGUAAGCCAUUACUGGUAGUGAUGAACCCACAAGGAAAGGUCGAACACACUAACGCUCUUCACAUGAUUCGGGUGUGGGGAGUCAAGGCCUUCCCUUUCACAGAGACGAUAGAGAAAGAGCUGUCAUCAGAUUCUCAUGGAGGAAUUCACUCUAUAGUUGUUGACGGAAUUCACCCUUCUGUGCCAUCUUACGUAAUUCACCUCAACCGAUCAAAGCGCAUAUAUAAAUUCACGAGUUAUUAUUUAUAGUAUUGCCUAUAUAUAUAUUACUUUUGACAGUGCAUUACUACAUCAAUACAUACAUUACAUAAUAAUGAACUAGGAGAGUAGGGUCAUCUCCAUUAUUGACAUAUUUUCACUACAUUCACCUGAAACGAUGAGAAACUUAUUCAAUUUGUUAUCCUCAAACAGAUCAGAGAUAAUAAGUACAUCUUCUUCUAUGGCGGUAAGGACAACGAAUGGAUUCAGCAAUUCACAAAGAAAGCAACUGCCCUUGCAAACGAUCCUAUCUUGAAGGAAGCAAAGAUUUACAUAGAGUUGGUUUGCGUUGGAAAAGGCAGCGAAGGAGAAGAUGACCAUGGCAUUCUAGGCCGCUUCUGGACCGGUAUAGAAAGUUUGUUCCUCACCAAAGUCCACAAGCACGUUGAUCCGAUCGGUCAAGAAAUUCAGAAGCUUGUCUCUUACAAGAACGAAAGUGGAUGGGUGUUGCUUACCAAAGGAUCAACUUUGUUGGUCACAGGUCAUGGUAUCUCCGCAUUGAAGGUGGUAGAAGACUUUGAGAAAUGGAGGGAGCAUGUCAAGGAGAAAGGGUUUGAGUUUUGUUUCAAGGCCUAUUAUGGGAAGGUUAUUCAGGCUGGUCGACCUUGUUGCCGUCUUGACAUUCCGGGGUCUACCGGAAAGGUUCCGGAGUCGAUGAAGUGCCCUGAUUGUCACCGUAGUAUGGAGACUUUUAUCAGUUACAAGUGCUGCCACAUUGAUGGUCCAACUGCACAUCAUUGAGUCCUGGAUGAAUUGGUGUUUACGAUCAGUCCUUCAGUACGUUAUGAUGGACACUGUUAUGUUAUCUUUUACUUCUGCUUGUAUGAAUAAGAUGGGCAUGGCCGAUGCAUUGUGAUGCUAGGUAUAACCCAGACUUACGAUUUGAAUUUUCCAGCUAUAACUAUAUGGCUACAUGUACUAUGUUGGGUGCUAUCGUACCUUUUGAAUCAAAUAAGACCAAUAUUGGUGACUAUAUUGAAACCAAUUUAAUUUUUUUUUUCAGUUUAUUUUGUUAAAAUAAAAAAGCAUAAAUUGAAAUAAGGGCUAGUUUGGGAUUGCUGUGAUUUUUUAUAAAAAUUGUUUAUGUUGUACUAUGAAUACAAUCAGCUGUGAGUGAAGGAAAUACUUGCGUCCGGACUAGUAUGUACGUGUGCGUCCGGAUUCUCUGUUAUUUACAUACUUUCGGCAAUGUAAAUCAUAAUUUUAACCGUUCAAAAAUUGGAUUAACCAAUAAAGAUCAUUUCUGCAAAAAAUCAAUGUAAACAAAAUUCGUUUGCUCACCCAAUUGUAUUAAACAAAUGAACAGUUCUGGUAAAAGUUAUCAGCCUCAUGAUUAUCCGUCAAUUUGUUUGAUUCAUUCGACUUAGCAAACGAUUUUUGUUUACACUGAUUUUUUGCAUAGGUGUUUUUUUUUUGAAUAAUUGAAUUUUAUUACUAAAUACGAUUCAAAUUGUACAUGAGGGCAUCCAGUAUAAAGUAUGGAGCAUGAGAAAACUACUCAAGGUGGAUAUUAGACUCAAAACCAUAGUUAGCUAGUCUGUGUGCUACCAAAUUGGUCUGCCUGGGAGCAAAAUGCAAACUAAAACCUUUGUUUGCAGCUAGAGUCUCUUUGAUCUCCAAAAUAAGACCACUGAGAGGGGAUAAAUCAUCCUCAGGAGAGUUGAGAGUAGUCACCGCUACCAAACAAUCACUCUCCACAAUAGCAUCAGCAAUAUGCAUAGCUUGAAGAACAUCUGUCCCAUACCUUAUAGCUUCCAAUUCAAAAUGAAGAGAUGAACUAACAUGUUCCAUGCGGUGUGCAAAACCAUCUAAGAACUGACUCUGAGAGUCUCGAAGCACACCUCAAAACCACCUUGAGUGACAUCAGGAAGGAAGGAACCAUCCACAUUGAGUUUCACAACUGACCCCAAAGGAGGUUGCCACUGUUUUCUCAGUUUCUGUCGAGUAGAAGCUGUUGUACCAGAAGAGACUGAUUGUGCUUUAAGGUAUUCCUCAUACCAUGACAUGGCAGCUAUAACAACUUGAUCAGGAUUCUUGCCAUUAUCUCUCCAUAAUAUCUCAUUCCGGUUUCGCCAAAUACUCCCAAGGAGGAUUAGAAACGUCACUACGCCAAAAAAGAGUUUUUACGGCCGACAAUGCGUGCCGUAAAAGUCUUUUUACGGUGUACAAAAGUAGGCAGUAAAAGCUCAGGUCGUAAAAGACCAAUAUCUUUUACGACGUGCAAAAAUACUUCAUAAAAAAACAAUUAACACGCCGUAAAAGUGAUUCCAUAAAUGUUAUUUAGGUCAUUUAUGACCCUCUUUUGCUCACCGUAAGAAUAUUUAAAGGCGUACACAGCAUGCCGUGAAAGAGUGACUAAACUCCUAAUUAAGGCACACACUGCAGGCCGUAAAUAAGGUAUGUUCAAAUAAAAAAAAAUACUUCUUACUCAAAUGUCAUACUCAAAUUACCAUCAAUAUAACUAAUGUCAUUUACAAAGUAACAAUUCAUAAUGUAUUAAUAUAACUCACUAGUCAAUGACCAGCCGCGCCCUGCUGCAGCCUUUUUUAUGGUCUGUUUCUUGAGUAAUAUUUCUUUCCGUAUAGAAUGCUUAACCUAUGAAGAAUUUGUAUACCUAAGAGCAUCUACUCCUCUUUCAAGCACUGGAUCAAGUUCAACACAUGCAUUCGUCAUGACCUCUUUCCUCCCAUGUUCGGCACUGCCAACUCUUUUACAUGCAGACUCACUUGUGUGAGUACUGGGGCUUGUAACUGAGAAAACUUCAUUCUCACCCACACUACUCUGACUGAGGGGUGAAGGAGGAAAUCUCUCUAAUUCUUCUUUUUCUUGUCAUAUGGCACCUAUAACCACAAUAAGGAGAUCGAAUUAAAGAUAAACUCUUAUGAUCCAAUAAUGCUACUACUAUACAACCGCGAAGGUAUAGAAUCAGGCCCUCACCCAACACCUCCAUCCUGGUCAUCAAAUUAUUAGCCAAAGGCAAAAGCUAUUCUCUUACUCUUUCUAUUGAAAUAUCCAAAAUAGUCUACAUUGACUUGUAAGGAUAACAAUGCACAACAUGUAUGCAAUUACAAAAUCCUAACAUUGUAGUGAGGUAUAAUGAGAUGUUGUGCAUAUCUAUUUGCUUGAUUAUCUUUAAAGGAUCUAAAAGUUGGCUUCCAGUUGUUUUUUAAACAACUUUCAGUGAACUGUCCAAUUAGAGAAAUGAUCAGAUCAAGCAUGUCAUCAUGCUACGUACACGCAACACCUAAACCAAACACAAUAAUCCACCAAUGAGCAUCCUAAACCAAAACAUAACGCAAAUUAACAGCAAAAUAGUUUGAAAAUAAAACCCACAGGGAUUCAAGUUAUGACAUUCGACAAACUUAUCGUGUCUUCAAAUUAUUGUUUCACAUAAAUUUAGUUUCAAAUACAACUCAUUUGCCAAACUUAGUAUGAACCGAUGAUUAGCUCAUAUCAUGCAUAUUAUUGGCUAGAACUGUUGGACAAACAUGAAGCAAAUAAUCGGCCAACAUUCAAACAUUCAUAGUCAUGCUAAAUAAGACUUAUCAGAACCCAGUAUGGAAAAAGAUUGAAAUAUCAAAUGCUUUUUCCCGAAAAGAGUAAAUUCUUAAAGAUCGUACCUUAAAACCAUCCAACCUGGAGGCCUCAGAAUCCACCACACAAAAAACUCCAAUUGGCUGAUCAAGAAAUUGCUCAAUAAGACACCAACUUGAACUUGGGAAUACAAAUUGGUAAUACACAAUCAGAAAGCAUAAGCAAAAACGCUUUUGGGCUCCACCUGAACUCGAUGAGGUCGCCAGAAGCUCAAGAACACUAUCGCCAGAAAACUUCAACGGGAACCCAGAAAUAUGCAGAAAAAUAAAGAAAUAGGAUUAGGGCUCUAACACGGAAAUUGAAGCUCAAGGAAGAGUGAAAACGAGAGGGAAGUGAUGGGGUUUACCUUCACCAAGCAUGGGCUCGCCGGAGAGAAAGAGAUUCGGCCAUAAAUCAUAUUUGGGGGUUAGAGUUUGGACUUCAAUCUAAAAAGUCUAUGGUUCUAAGUCGAAUUGGUGGGUAGCUAGGGGAAGGUGGAGAAGAGGAAGAUGAACAUUUUGGUGAUGAUCUUGCGGCAUGCGGUGGCCGGAAACAGCUACGCCAUGCCAGAGAUGGCGGAGGCAGGCGGAGAGGGAGAGAGAGCGGUCUGGGCUCGAGUUUGGGUUCUGACCAAAAUCAACAUGUAAUUACAGGUCUCUUCCCUUUUAUACUUGAUGGGAUCUUUAUUAAUUUUCUUUCGCAACAAAAAAAAAUGUGGGAAGUUUAAGUUUUGGUGAAAAAAUUGAGCGGGAGCUGAAAAGAAAAAUUCGAGUUUGAGGUGUAGUCAGCUCACACCAAUUACGGCGUGCAACUAUUGCACGCAGUAAAUACCUUAUACUUAUUAACGGCGCGCAAUGAAUGAAUGUCAUAAAUACAUCUUUAUUUACGGCGUGCUUUUAUUGUAAGCCGUAAAUAACUCGAGCCACAAUCUCAAUUACGGCACACUUCCGAAGCACACCAUAAAUAACUCUACAUAACAUUAUAUUUAUGGCAUGCUAUAAAUGCACGCCAUAAAUGACCCAUUUUUACGGCACGCAUUGACGUACGCCAUAAAUUUUAGGCGGUAAAAGCCCUGAAUUCUUGUAAUGCUUGGAAAACAGAUUUGGAGUUAAAGAAGAAGCUCUCUCCAGUAUCCAAUCUUUCCAAGUAAGAGAAGGGUGAGGAAAAGAGAAGGGAGGCUUACCAAAAAUGUAUUUCAAGAGAAAACAAGUGCAAAAGAGAUGAUCAAAGGACUCCACAGAUUGUUGACAAACAACACAGUUUAAAUCCCCAGUAAAUCCCUUCUGAUUUAAAGCCGACCUGGUUGGGAGAAGAUUAUGCACUGCUCGCCAUCCAAAAAUAGUGACCUUAUUAGGCACUUUAGCUUUCCAGAAUGCUUUUCAAAUUGGUAAAUAAGGAUCAACAUUUGAGCCAGUUGCAAUACAUAUACCAAGAUACAUGUUUCUAGCUACAAUAUAUGCUGAUUUCACAAAGAGAAAGCCUUUCUUGUCGAAUUUCCAAGAGAGUUUGUUCUAUGAAAAUCUUCUACUGAGGGGAAUAGCAAGAACUACAUCAGCCACUUCAGGGGGAAAGCACAUUCGGACAACAUGUAAAUGCCAAGACCAUGAAGACUCAUCAAUUAAAUCUGAUACUAGCUCAAAAAUAGUACGCUCAGGUUUAGAUAGUGAGGAGGCCGAAAAACCUGAAAUCCAGUCCGCAGUCCAGAUAUUGACUGAAGAACCAUUACCAAUGCACCAUUGAAGGCCAGCUUGUAGAACAUGCCAGCCUUCCAUGAUACUUCUCCAUGCAUAUGAAGGUCUUUCACCCAUAUCGGCUUCAAGAAAAGAGGUGUGUGGAUGAUAGAUGGCUUUGAAGAGUUGAGCAGCUAAGGAGUUCGGAUUUGUAAGAAGCCUCCAACCUUGCUUAGCUAACAUAGCUAGGUUAUGUGAAAACAAAUGUUUAAACCCCAUCCCACCUUGAUCUUUGGGAAGACACAUCUGAUCCCAAGACCGCUAAUGAAUUUUCUUUUUUUUUUCUGCAGUACUUCCCUAGAAAAACUCACAACAAAGUUGUUGAAGAUCCUCACAGAGAGUCUUGGGAAGAGCAUAACAGUUCAUCACAUAAUUCGGAAAAGGCUAACCAACUACCUUGAUUAAAAGUUCUUUACCUCCUAAACUGAGAAGCUUCUCUCUCCAACUGAUAAGCUUCUUACUUAACUUUUCCUUAAGAAAAUUAAAUAUGGCUGUCUUAUUUUGUCCAACUUGAAUAGGGAGGCCUAAGUAAAGACCAUGCUCCUCUACACAUUCAACCCCCAGAAUGGAAGCUAAUAUAUUCUUCUUCUCAGGUUGCACAUUGCCGCUGAAAACGACAUUUGAUUUCUACAGAUUAAUAUGUUGACCAGAUGCCCUUGCAUAGGUAGACAAAAUAUGUUUAUAAGCUUGACAUUCUUAUAUAGAAGCUUCACCAAAGAGAAAGCUAUCGUCUGUAAAAAGUAAGUGGUGAAUGGUGGGGGCUGUAGGAGAAACCGAAAUCCUUGGAUUAAACCCUGCCUCUAAGAUGCAGAUAUAUAGGAGGACAGUCCUUCUGCAGCCAAAAUGAAUAGAUAUGGAGAUAGAGGAUCGCCUUGACGAAUCCCUCUAGUAGGUAAGAUAAAACCAGUAGGAGUACCAUAUAUCAGAAUUGAGUAACUAACCAAUUUAACUGUCGCCAAGACAAUGUUAACCCAGGUGUGGCAAAAGCCCAGCUUCAGAAGGAUUACUUCCAAAAAAACUCCACUCUAACGUAUCAUAGGCCUUUGAAAUAUCAAGUUUCAAUGAGAAGAAACCUUGUAACUGCCGGCGAAGCUUUUUCAUGAAACGAGCAAUUUCAGUAGCUACUAGAGUAUUAUCCGAGAUUAAGCGACCCGAUACGAAUGCGCUUUGAAGAGGAGAGAUCACUUGUGGGAGGAUGUGUUUCAGUCUGUUUGCAUAGGUGAUCUUUAUUCGUUAAUCCAACUUUUGAACGGUUAAGAUUAUGAUUUAUAUUGCCGAAAGUGUGUAAAUAACAGAGAGUCCGAACGCACACGUACAUACUAGUCCGAACGCAAGUAUUUUCCGUGAAGAAUUAAAACAGUUUUCUGUUUGGUGAAUGUUACUUUUAAAACUGGUAUCAAAACAUAAAGUACCAUUUUUUGUGUUUUUAUUGACAACAAUUUCUAAAAGCAACCUCAAGGCUGUUUUCCACUUAUUUGUAAUUUUCAAAUAAAGAUGCUUCUGUUUAGUUUACCAAACACAAUAAAAUUUAGAAGUUUAGAUAAAAACUUAUUUUUUUUAAAAGCGAAGCUGUACCAAACUAAGUCUUAGAGUACUUUUUAGUUUCGAUUGUUCAAUAUUAGUGGUGAUGUUGUAUGAAGGGUGCGAUUCAUCUAUGGAUUUAAGUGGCCUUUGAACAUGUCUCUUGCAACAGGAUAUAUGGCAUUCAAGUUACAGCCGUGGCGAAUGGUUUGGGAUGGGUGAUGAUAUCAUAAUUAUUUCUUGCUUCCUAUUAGUUAUAAACUAUGUUAUCUACAUUUCAAAAAACUAAUAAAAAAAAAAAAAAUAAGUCAUCAAAGUGAUAAUAUUAGUUUUCAAAGUUGUAAAUGAGUCCUUAAAGUUGUAAAUAUUAUUAGUUACCACAUGAGUCCUUAAAGUAAUAAUACUAAUCCUUAAAGUAUUAUUCAUGUAUUCCCUAUUAUAAGAGACGAUAAGUGUGCUUCUACCCUCCCAUAUACUUGGACACCAACUGUUUCCAGAGAGAUAUCGAGUACGACUUGUAAUCGGUCGAAAAUAGGAAAAACUUCUGGUUUCGAAAAGGACGGAAAGAAGAAACGAAAGUGGUCCGCUUGUGAAGACCAGAUCCUCAGUGACUACGUCAAGAAGCACGGUCCAGGCAAAUGGGGCAAAAUAGCAAAAGAGAUUGGCAAGUUCAUACCUUCAUAUUUACUUUCGACAUACAACCUUGUGAUUUUAUGAAAUUAAUCAAUUAAUUCACUUAAUUAACGACGACCCUGUGUAGCUUAGGUGUGAUUCGCAUGCAUGGAUUGGAAGCCAAAAUUACAAAGUUACACCAGUGGCGAAUGGAUUAAUUGGUUGCUUAUUAAUCAGCACUUAACUACGUGUGCAGGUCUGGGGAGAUGUGGAAAGAGUGUGAGCUAGACUAAGAUUGUUGAAUUACCUAAGGCCCGAUAUCAAGCAUGGCAACAUUAGGGAAGAUGAAGAAGAUCUUAUUAUCAGGAUGCACAAGCUCGUAGGCAGAAGGUCCUUAUAUAUUAGGUUUUUCUAUUUUAGUUUUGAGAACUCAAAGAAAUUAAAUCUACUUGCUUCAUUUCAGAGAUUAAUACAAAGUAGACGUGUGCAGGUGGUCAUUGAUAGCAGGAAGGAUUCCGGGUCGAACUGACAAUGAAACAAAGAACUACUGGAUCUCCACUCUAAGUAAGAAGCUGGCAGAAGAAAAAAGAAAGAAACCAGAAGUGCCGAGAAACGAGAUUGCCAAGGAGAACUUACCAUCCCCCGUUGAGGACGAUGGUCAUCCACAUCCGACCAAAUGCCAAUAAUGUUAAUGUAGAAGAUCAUUAGCAUCGACGUCGUUAUACCAAUAACAGUACUACAAUAAGUGCCAGGAAACGAGAUUGCCAAGGAGAACUUACCAUCCCCCGUUGAGGACGAUGGUCAUCCACAUCCAACCAAAUGCCAAUAAUGUUGAUGUAGAAGAUCAUUAGCAUCGACGUCGUUAUACCAAUAACAGUACUACAAUAAGUGCCGGAGUGGGGGAGUCGGAAACAAUGUUCAACCAACUGGGGACUAUCUCAAUGAUGACGCUAUGCCCUAGAACGAUUGGAUAAUGGAUCUGAACGAAGGGCAACUCGACGUAUCUGAAUUUCUCCAAACUGACUUUUCAAACUUUUGGGAAGAAUCAGAUAUGUUCAUGAACAUUGAACUCGGAGGUUGCAGCACCAUUAACCAUGAGUGGCCAAUGUUGGAAUGAACUUAGCAUUUUGAGUCCUAAGGCAUAACAACUUCUAUAAUAUAUGCAGAAUAAACAUUGUGAGAUUAAAUUUAUCUAAAUGAAAUGGUUAGAUAAGUAAUGAAAUACAAUCGAAUUAUCUUGUUAAACAAGAUAAUAUAGAUGUACUAAUAUUGUUGUUUUCUAAUGGAACUCAAACUCUUUGACGGACAGAAUUUGAGCUAUCUAAAAUGCAGUAUAUAAGGAGGUCUCUAUGCACACUCUAAACUACGCCAAUACGAGUCUCUCUCCAUCUGAGCUUGGUAACUGAGUGCUGCAUAGAAGAUCUCUUAUCUUUGGAGCUCUUGGCCUACAUCAGCAACUACGGUAAACAUGUUGUAUAUCCUCAUCCUUGUUCUAUGACCUUGUAUGAGUUGUAUCUAUAUAUGUGUUUAUGCUUAAGUGUUUUGCUCUUGUGGUUGUAUUAUAACAGCCAAAUACUUGAGGUGGUUAAAUAUCUUCCCGAGCUUCUUGUUUUUCUUUCCGUACGUAUAGGAAAUAUUGAUUCUUGCAUAUAUUAAUUCGACUGUGAUUUGCAUGGCAAUGCCACUAUAGUAAUAAGAUUAUUGGUCACUUUAGAAUCGAAUAAAUUGGUUUUACUCAUAUAUAUCGUAAUUUUCCUAUCAAUGAAAUUAAUCAAUUGCAAUUUGUUUACUUCAAAAAUUGUCAACAUUCGGGUGUUGGUGACUACUGCUAUAAAAGUGUUGUACUAGACAACAGCGACAAAUUAUGCUUUUCAGAUGACCGUGGCUGGUUGUUUGACGACAUAGUUGAUAGGAUUUCGAUCAUCACAUGGUAGUUCAUGUAUAGGUUUGGCUUUUGGGUUCCUUACUUGGAUUCAUUGUUUCGUAUGCUUCCAUAAUAGUAAGGGGAUGCUGGAAAUUUAGGUAUCAAAGAACCAAGACAGACAUAACUCCAAUUUUCCUUAUAUAUAUAUAUAUAUAUAUAUAUAUAUAUAUAUAGUACNNNNNNNNNNNNNNNNNNNNNNNNNNNNNNNNNNNNNNNNNNNNNNNNNNNNNNNNNNNNNNNNNNNNNNNNNNNNNNNNNNNNNNNNNNNNNNNNNNNNNNNNNNNNNNNNNNNNNNNNNNNNNNNNNNNNNNNNNNNNNNNNNNNNNNNNNNNNNNNNNNNNNNNNNNNNNNNNNNNNNNNNNNNNNNNNNNNNNNNNNNNNNNNNNNNNNNNNNNNNNNNNNNNNNNNNNNNNNNNNNNNNNNNNNNNNNNNNNNNNNNNNNNNNNNNNNNNNNNNNNNNNNNNNNNNNNNNNNNNNNNNNNNNNNNNNNNNNNNNNNNNNNNNNNNNNNNNNNNNNNNNNNNNNNNNNNNNNNNNNNNNNNNNNNNNNNNNNNNNNNNNNNNNNNNNNNNNNNNNNNNNNNNNNNNNNNNNNNNNNNNNNNNNNNNNNNNNNNNNNNNNNNNNNNNNNNNNNNNNNNNNNNNNNNNNNNNNNNNNNNNNNNNNNNNNNNNNNNNNNNNNNNNNNNNNNNNNNNNNNNNNNNNNNNNNNNNNNNNNNNNNNNNNNNNNNNNNNNNNNNNNNNNNNNNNNNNNNNNNNNNNNNNNNNNNNNNNNNNNNNNNNNNNNNNNNNNNNNNNNNNNNNNNNNNNNNNNNNNNNNNNNNNNNNNNNNNNNNNNNNNNNNNNNNNNNNNNNNNNNNNNNNNNNNNNNNNNNNNNNNNNNNNNNNNNNNNNNNNNNNNNNNNNNNNNNNNNNNNNNNNNNNNNNNNNNNNNNNNNNNNNNNNNNNNNNNNNNNNNNNNNNNNNNNNNNNNNNNNNNNNNNNNNNNNNNNNNNNNNNNNNNNNNNNNNNNNNNNNNNNNNNNNNNNNNNNNNNNNNNNNNNNNNNNNNNNNNNNNNNNNNNNNNNNNNNNNNNNNNNNNNNNNNNNNNNNNNNNNNNNNNNNNNNNNNNNNNNNNNNNNNNNNNNNNNNNNNNNNNNNNNNNNNNNNNNNNNNNNNNNNNNNNNNNNNNNNNNNNNNNNNNNNNNNNNNNNNNNNNNNNNNNNNNNNNNNNNNNNNNNNNNNNNNNNNNNNNNNNNNNNNNNNNNNNNNNNNNNNNNNNNNNNNNNNNNNNNNNNNNNNNNNNNNNNNNNNNNNNNNNNNNNUUUGUGAAUUUUAGUCAUCGGAAUCACAACGUGUCUACUAAUGUUGUAUAACUUGUUUAGUAGGUUAUACAACUUUGUGAACCAACUCUAUAUAGGAAGCAAAAUUAUCAAAAAUCUCGUGAAAUAAGAUGUGUUCAGAAUGGUGAAAUACGCUAUGGUUCAAAAAUCACGUAAAUUGGGUAAAGUCUCGGUGCCGAUAGUAGCGGUCAACCCUAUUUACCGUUAUUAUUCCUAUAUGGAGCCCUAUCGUCGGAAGGCAAAUGUCUCAAAAUUUUUAUAUAGGCGGUUGUGUCUCAUCUACGUGAAAGUUUUUCGUGUGGAAGGUUUGACCAAACUACUUAAUAUAGAGGGAGAUAUGAGCGUUUUCGUGAAUUUAUAGACUUUAGCCGACGAUAUAUUAAAAAAGUCGUCGGCUAAGGUCAAAAAUUUUUGGGAGGAAAAUUUUCAAAGGACUUUAGCCGACGAAAAUAUAUGAAAAGUCGUCGGCUAAAGUCGAAAAAUUUUCAAAAUUUUUUGGCGGUCAACCAAAAUUUUCAAAAUUUUCAAAAGAGUUUAGCCGACGAAAAUAAAGAAUUUUGUCGGCUAGAGUUCUUUAUAUAGGAGUUUUACCGAAGGUGGAUGGUAAGAAGUCUAUUUCGCCUGCCAGAUUUUCUUCUCGGCCUAGCUCCGCCGUCAAGCCACCGGAGACCGCCACACUUGUCCCAAAAGCUUCGCUGUCGUCUCUACUUCAUUGCUGGACAGGUGGUGCAUCGAGUGGCGCCGCCGUGAGAGAUAAAUCGAGCUCCAAAACUCCGCCGGUUCGGAUUCGGUGUCGAUCGAAUUUCUCCUUCCUUAGGUCACCAUUUGGUGAGUUCUAUAUAUGGAUAAGUUGAGUUUGAUUAGUACUACAUUCCCCUAGAAUUUGGUAGCUCGAUUCGGUAUGUGUGAGGAGAAUCGAAGAUUUGAAGUUUUUAGGGUUUAAAAUUGGGGAUUUUUAUAUUUUGAUUCAAUUAACCUAUUUAGGCUUAGAAUUGGGCUUCGACUUCUUCUAGAAAGUUGUUCGAAAUGUUGAGAGGAAGAUUCUGUCAAAUUUUGGUGGUGAUUGGAGGUGACCGAAAGUUUUUGCAGUUUUUUUUUCAAAAACCAGCAACUUUAGCCGACGAUAUUUAAAGGUUUAGCCGACGAUAUUUAAAGGUUUAUUCGUCGGCUAUAGUAUUUUUAAAUUUUUUUAUAAGGUUUAGCCGACGAAUUAUGGCAUAUUUCGUCGGCUAUAGUUAUUUUUUAAAUUUUUUUAUAAGGUUAGCCGACAAAACAGACUAUAUUUCGUCGGCUAUAGUUAUUUUUUAAAAUUUUUUAUAAGGUUUAGCCGACGAAACAGACUAUAUUUCGUCGGCAGUAGUUAUUUUUUUAAAUUUUUUUUUUAUAAGGUUUAGCCGACGAAACAUACUAUAUUUCGUCGGCUAUAGUCUGGGAAAAAAUUUUUAUUACAGACUUUAGCUAACGAAUAUCUUAAUUGUUUCGUCGGUUAAAGUCUGGGAAAAAAACCGACGACAUGUUUUUCGUCGGCUAAACUGCGGGACUAUGGCCGACGAAAUUUUUUUUUUCGUCGGCUAAAGUCAUCACUGACGACCUUUUCCCGACGAAAUCUUAGCCGACGAUGGCUCGUCGGCUAAGAUCUUAGCCGACGAAUUAAGCUAACAAGCCGACGAAAAUUUUUCGUCGGCUAAAGUGCUUGUCCUGGUAGUGGAAGUAUUCCAUCCAAGCGAAUGACAAAAACUCCCUAAAAACCCACCUGAGGCAUCACGAAACACACCCCCCCAAGCUGCUGGACCUUGAUUGCCUUUUGCUAAAUCGUCUGUGUUAACUUUGAUCCAAGGAAAAAACGGAGGCUGCCAUAAGACAUGUUGAAUUCUAUGAGCCUUACCACCUUUAGGAGCAACUCCAAGAGAGGCCAAUAAACGGGCAUCAAGAACACCCUUAUAGUGACCAGGAGCAAAAAGGCUAAUUUGACGAAUCCAUGCCAUAAUAGAGCAACACAUUGUAUAGAAAUUAGGGGAUCGAUUAUCAAACCUUAGCUUAUUCCGAGCCUUCCAUAGAGCCAUGAAAGUAAAUAUGCCAGCUGCUAGCCACAAAUUAAAAAGCUGCGAGGAGAAAGGCUUUCGACAAUAGCUCUUCCAAAAAUCUAUCAGGGAGUUGACACUACCAGAAGAAAGGCUUUAGCCGACGAAAAUAAAAAAACCAGGCCAACGUAAUUUUUUUUUCGUCGGCUAAAGUCCACUUUAGCCGACGUAAUUUUUUUUCGUCGGCUAUGGUCAACUUUAGCCGAGGAAAGUAAUAUUUCAUCGGCUGAAUAAUUUUUUUCGUCGGCUAUAGUCUGUGAACUUUAGCCGACGAAAUUUUUAAAAGUUUAACCGACGAAGAAAAUUCGUCGGCUAAAGUGGACUUUAGCCGACUAAAUUUUUAAACUUUAGCCGACGAAAUUUUUAAAAGUUUAGCCGACGAAAAAAUAUAAUUUCGUCGGCUAAAGUGCCUUAUAUUUGCAGAUCUAGACAACAACUCAUCUGAGAAAAAAAAACUAUACGUAGAACCUUCAAACGCAAAAAAGUCGUGAAAUAAGAUAUGACCAGAACGCUGAAAUACGACUACGGUUGAAAAAUCACAGUAUUCCGGUAAAGUCUCGGUGCCGAUAGUUGACUUACCCUUACUAUUCACUAUGUUGCAGAUUUGGCGUUUGGUGUCUGAUUGACUAUUGUGAUACCUUUUCGGAAGCGUAACGGCGGUACGAGUCAGAAUCAUUGCUAAUGCCAUGAUGUAUAGGCUUUUUUGGCCAUCCGAGUCCGUUUAGGGCUUGAAAUGCAGUUUUCUUAUUUUUCGAUUUAGAGUUGACCGUUUCGAUCGAGCCCUUAACGUUGUCGAAUCCAGUUGAAUUUUUUACCAUAGACAUCUUUCGUCAUAAUGAUCAUAUCUGACGGUCGNNNNNNNNNNNNNNNNNNNNNNNNNNNNNNNNNNNNNNNNNNNNNNNNNNNNNNNNNNNNNNNNNNNNNNNNNNNNNNNNNNNNNNNNNNNNNNNNNNNNNNNNNNNNNNNNNNNNNNNNNNNNNNNNNNNNNNNNNNNNNNNNNNNNNNNNNNNNNNNNNNNNNNNNNNNNNNNNNNNNNNNNNNNNNNNNNNNNNNNNNNNNNNNNNNNNNNNNNNNNNNNNNNNNNNNNNNNNNNNNNNNNNNNNNNNNNNNNNNNNNNNNNNNNNNNNNNNNNNNNNNNNNNNNNNNNNNNNNNNNNNNNNNNNNNNNNNNNNNNNNNNNNNNNNNNNNNNNNNNNNNNNNNNNNNNNNNNNNNNNNNNNNNNNNNNNNNNNNNNNNNNNNNNNNNNNNNNNNNNNNNNNNNNNNNNNNNNNNNNNNNNNNNNNNNNNNNNNNNNNNNNNNNNNNNNNNNNNNNNNNNNNNNNNNNNNNNNNNNNNNNNNNNNNNNNNNNNNNNNNNNNNNNNNNNNNNNNNNNNNNNNNNNNNNNNNNNNNNNNNNNNNNNNNNNNNNNNNNNNNNNNNNNNNNNNNNNNNNNNNNNNNNNNNNNNNNNNNNNNNNNNNNNNNNNNNNNNNNNNNNNNNNNNNNNNNNNNNNNNNNNNNNNNNNNNNNNNNNNNNNNNNNNNNNNNNNNNNNNNNNNNNNNNNNNNNNNNNNNNNNNNNNNNNNNNNNNNNNNNNNNNNNNNNNNNNNNNNNNNNNNNNNNNNNNNNNNNNNNNNNNNNNNNNNNNNNNNNNNNNNNNNNNNNNNNNNNNNNNNNNNNNNNNNNNNNNNNNNNNNNNNNNNNNNNNNNNNNNNNNNNNNNNNNNNNNNNNNNNNNNNNNNNNNNNNNNNNNNNNNNNNNNNNNNNNNNNNNNNNNNNNNNNNNNNNNNNNNNNNNNNNNNNNNNNNNNNNNNNNNNNNNNNNNNNNNNNNNNNNNNNNNNNNNNNNNNNNNNNNNNNNNNNNNNNNNNNNNNNNNNNNNNNNNNNNNNNNNNNNNNNNNNNNNNNNNNNNNNNNNNNNNNNNNNNNNNNNNNNNNNNNNNNNNNNNNNNNNNNNNNNNNNNNNNNNNNNNNNNNNNNNNNNNNNNNNNNNNNNNNNNNNNNNNNNNNNNNNNNNNNNNNNNNNNNNNNNNNNNNNNNNNNNNNNNNNNNNNNNNNNNNNNNNNNNNNNNNNNNNNNNNNNNNNNNNNNNNNNNNNNNNNNNNNNNNNNNNNNNNNNNNNNNNNNNNNNNNNNNNNNNNNNNNNNNNNNNNNNNNNNNNNNNNNNNNNNNNNNNNNNNNNNNNNNNNNNNNNNNNNNNNNNNNNNNNNNNNNNNNNNNNNNNNNNNNNNNNNNNNNNNNNNNNNNNNNNNNNNNNNNNNNNNNNNNNNNNNNNNNNNNNNNNNNNNNNNNNNNNNNNNNNNNNNNNNNNNNNNNNNNNNNNNNNNNNNNNNNNNNNNNNNNNNNNNNNNNNNNNNNNNNNNNNNNNNNNNNNNNNNNNNNNNNNNNNNNNNNNNNNNNNNNNNNNNNNNNNNNNNNNNNNNNNNNNNNNNNNNNNNNNNNNNNNNNNNNNNNNNNNNNNNNNNNNNNNNNNNNNNNNNNNNNNNNNNNNNNNNNNNNNNNNNNNNNNNNNNNNNNNNNNNNNNNNNNNNNNNNNNNNNNNNNNNNNNNNNNNNNNNNNNNNNNNNNNNNNNNNNNNNNNNNNNNNNNNNNNNNNNNNNNNNNNNNNNNNNNNNNNNNNNNNNNNNNNNNNNNNNNNNNNNNNNNNNNNNNNNNNNNNNNNNNNNNNNNNNNNNNNNNNNNNNNNNNNNNNNNNNNNNNNNNNNNNNNNNNNNNNNNNNNNNNNNNNNNNNNNNNNNNNNNNNNNNNNNNNNNNNNNNNNNNNNNNNNNNNNNNNNNNNNNNNNNNNNNNNNNNNNNNNNNNNNNNNNNNNNNNNNNNNNNNNNNNNNNNNNNNNNNNNNNNNNNNNNNNNNNNNNNNNNNNNNNNNNNNNNNNNNNNNNNNNNNNNNNNNNNNNNNNNNNNNNNNNNNNNNNNNNNNNNNNNNNNNNNNNNNNNNNNNNNNNNNNNNNNNNNNNNNNNNNNNNNNNNNNNNNNNNNNNNNNNNNNNNNNNNNNNNNNNNNNNNNNNNNNNNNNNNNNNNNNNNNNNNNNNNNNNNNNNNNNNNNNNNNNNNNNNNNNNNNNNNNNNNNNNNNNNNNNNNNNNNNNNNNNNNNNNNNNNNNNNNNNNNNNNNNNNNNNNNNNNNNNNNNNNNNNNNNNNNNNNNNNNNNNNNNNNNNNNNNNNNNNNNNNNNNNNNNNNNNNNNNNNNNNNNNNNNNNNNNNNNNNNNNNNNNNNNNNNNNNNNNNNNNNNNNNNNNNNNNNNNNNNNNNNNNNNNNNNNNNNNNNNNNNNNNNNNNNNNNNNNNNNNNNNNNNNNNNNNNNNNNNNNNNNNNNNNNNNNNNNNNNNNNNNNNNNNNNNNNNNNNNNNNNNNNNNNNNNNNNNNNNNNNNNNNNNNNNNNNNNNNNNNNNNNNNNNNNNNNNNNNNNNNNNNNNNNNNNNNNNNNNNNNNNNNNNNNNNNNNNNNNNNNNNNNNNNNNNNNNNNNNNNNNNNNNNNNNNNNNNNNNNNNNNNNNNNNNNNNNNNNNNNNNNNNNNNNNNNNNNNNNNNNUAACCAUCGACAAUUUUGUCUAAAACCAGAAGCAACCGACCAAAAACCUGGCCAAAUUGAGGAUUUGCAAUAGCCCAGCUUGCAGGCAGAUAGAAUAGGAUACCUUGACCGUACGUAAUCCCCCCAUUGAUAAUGAGAAGAGAAAGAAUCCCAAGCAAACUUUAGGAUAGCAACUGAAUUAAGAGAGGAAAGAUCAUGAAUACCAAGCCCACCUUCCAGCUUUGGGGCACAAACCUGAGCCUAACGAAUAGUGACGAUUUUCCGAGUCCCUAUAUUACCAGACAAAAUAAAGUUUCGUGCCCAUGAAGUUAGCUUCUUCACCAAAUACACCGGCCACUGAUACACAGAAAAACUAUGAAGCAACAUACUUUGAAAAACUGAUUGCACCAAUUGAGUCCGACCAGCCAUAGAAAGAAGCCGUCCCUGCCAACCCAUAAGUCUUGAUUUUGCUUUAUCAGCAAUAACUUGAAGAUGACACCUCCGAGGCUUGCCACAAAAAAUUGGGACACCCAAAUAAAUAAAAGGCAAUCGACCUGCAUGGAACCCCAAUAUUCGUUGAAUUGUCGCUUGCCUAUGAUGAUACUUGGCACCAAGGUAAAAAGUAUUUUUCGCCGCAUUAAUAUAUUGACCAGAAGCUGCACUAUAACGGUAAAAAAACCUUCUCAAAUGGCUAAGAGAUAAUUUAUCCCCACGACAAAAAACAAUAAGGUCAUCUGCAUAUAAAACAUGAGAAGGGGGAGUGCAGGUUCUAGGAAAAGAUAUAGGCUUCAAUCGACCCGAACCAAGUAACAUAGAUAAACCACAGCUGAGAGCUUCAUCGGCAAGACAAAAUAAUAAUGGAGAAAGAGGAUCCCCUUGCCUCGCACCACGAGAACAAGAGAAAAACCCAUGAGGAGAACCAUUAAUUAAGAUUGAUAACCUUGCCGACUUAAGAAUAGUAAUAAUCCAACUGGUGAAAAUAUUAGAGAACCCAAAAUUCUUGAGGACUCUAUGUAGAAAAUCCCAAUGCAGCGUAUCAAAUGCCUUAGCAAUAUCCACUUUGAUUCCCACAUUACCACCGUAGGCCUUGCGAUCAAGGAGAUUAAAGCAUUCAGACACUGUGCCAAUGCAACUAGUAAUCCGCCUACCUGGAAUAAAAGCACAUUGCGCUGGAGAUAUUAUACGAUCAGCAAUUGGUCCCAAACGAGAAGCCAAGAUCUUUGGAAUUAUCUUGAAAAGAAAGUUGGCUAAGGCAAUCGGCCUAAAUUGAGUAAUUUCAUGGGCAUCCUGAACUUUUGGAAGAAGAACCAAGAAGUUGCAAUUGAUGUUAGGAAGCAGCCAAUUUUGCAUAAAAAAAUUGCCUCACACAUGCAACAACAUCCGAACCGACAAUAUCCCAACAAGAUUGAUAAAAACAACCUGGAAAUCCAUCAGGGCCUGGUGCACUGGAAGCAUCCAUAGCAAAGACAGCAUUUUUGAUUUCUUCAGUAUAAGGGAUUACUGUAAGCCAAUCAUUUUCUGCAUUGGUGACCAAAGAAGGAAUAACAUAGCAUACCUCAUCUAGAUUCCUUGGAGUAGAGGAGGAAGAAUAAAGAUUUUGAUAAAACCCCACUACAUGAGCUGCAAUAUCUGAGGGUUCAAAAAGAAUCCUUUCUCCAUCAUGAAUUGAAGACAUUCAGGCACUAGUAGAACGAACCUUGGCAUAGGCAUGGAAAAAUGAAGUACUACGAUCCCCAUCCGUGAGCCAUUUUACUCGAGCUCUAUCCUUCCAAUAGCUUUCUUACAUCUUGACCGCAUUCAAAACACGAAAUUUUGCAUCAACCUCAUCUUCAAAUUUUUGGUUAGUCAUACCAUGAAUAGCAAUGUCCUGCUGAAUUGCAGAUAAAGCUUCACGAGCCUUAUUAACAUUCUGAUGGACAUCCCCAAAUACCAUUUUAUUCCAAUUUCGCAAGCAAGAUUUCAAGGCCUUCAAUUUUUGCACAGUGACAUACAUCGGGCAGCCCCAAAACUUACUAGAAGUCCAACAUGUAGCUACUGUGUCACGAAAAGUAGGGUGAUUCAACCACAUGGACUGGAACCGAAAAGGCUUUGGACCACUUGGGGAGAGCUUUGAAGCAGAGAAAAUUAAAGGAGUGUGAUCAGAAACUACCCGAGGUAGGGCAAUACAACUAGAAUAAGGCCAUGCUUCAAACCAACUAGUAUUGCAAAAGGAUCUGUCUAAUCGAAGCUCCACAUGCACCCUAGUUCCACAACCAUUUGUCCAAGUAAAACGGGCACCUACAGUGUCCAAAUGGACAAAAUCACAAGCAUCUGACAUAUUCUGGAACUCCAAGCAAGAAAUACGAUAUGGAGGAGGACCCCCUGACUUCUCAUGAGCUCCCAACACAGAAUUAAAGUCACCAAUUGCCAUCCAGGGGAUAGUGGUUUGAGCACUAAUAACUGAGAAGUCAUGCCAUAAAUCCCUGCGCUUAAUGUAAGAAGUAGAAGCAUAAACAAAAGAAAAUUGACUAAGCUCAUUAUCAAAAGAAACCUGAAUAGUAACUUGUUGCUUCGUGUUAGAUAUGAUCAUUGGACUAGGAACAUGACGACCUCUUAGCAACCAAAGAUUUGGAAGCCUGGAUCCUCGAUCAUUAACCGUAACAAAGUCCAAAUUUAAAGCAGACCAGAAUGCUGAAGAGAUUGAGUCAAAGGCUACCAUCGGCUCAGAAAUACAAACCAGAUCAAGUCUUUGAGUACGACAAAUAUUUAAAAGUUCAGAUUGAGAGUCAGAGUUACCGACUCCCCUAAUAUUCCAAUAAAGAACCUUCAUUAUGCAUACUUUUGAUUUUUUUUCCAGUCCCUUUUUGGAUAAGGACCCUCACUAGCAGCAGCAACAACAACAUGCUUGGCUUGUUGUUUCUGUUUUUUCUUCUGUGAUUUUGAAAGAGCCUUAACAAAAUCGUCCUCCACUAGAACUCCUUUCUCAACAUGGCUAGUUAUUAAAGAAACAUCCUUUGCUAAAACACCCACAUGCUCAAAACCAGGGGGGACUGCACCUGUGGAAACCUCAGUUUGAUUAUUUAAUUGGUCCUCCACUACCGUGUCAUGCCAACUUUGACUCUGUGGAGAAUUAUAAGUCCUCUCUAAGCUAUGAUUAUUAUGACCACUAUCAUCCUCAUAUAUUUCCUCAACGCUAGAAUCAUCAAUAUCAUCAUAAUCCUCAUCAUCCUCAUCAACCUCAUUAGCAUGGCCAGCAAAAACAUUCAUACUUAUAUUACCAGCCACCAGAUGAGUAUUGUGCACAUUCUCAAUCACAAAGCCAUCACCUUUCUCGUGAGCAUUUUCAACCAUUACUUCUGUAACAUUCUCAUGAAGGACUGAAAACUUAUUUCCAUUAAGCACCGAAUCAUCGACACGAUUGGAAGAGGGUUCCGUGGGUUCAUUGAUAACCAAACCAGCAAUACGAUCCAGCUCGUUGUCCACCACCUCCUUUAAAGCUUGGUCAACAAAUUGUGUAAUCCUUACAUCUGAAACUGACUUUGUAGGAAGAGAUUGCUGCGCCGAGGGUUUGUACGUUUUUCACUCUGUACUCUUGACGAAUGACCUAUUUAGGGUGCUUGGAGCCCUCCACCACCCUUUUAUAGUGCAUAGGAUCAUCUUUAGCUGACUCCUUGUUACGGUGUUUGCAACGAUCAAUGGUGUGCCCGACCAUACCACAAUUAUCACACAUAUUCUCAUACACAACAUCAAUGGGAAAACAAUGUGUUUCUCUCUCAACCAUCAAUGAAAACGGUAAAUUACCUGCCAGAUCAACAUCGACAAGAACUCUAGCAAAAAAGCCAAAUUCUCUUUCUUUGGUAGCUUUAUCCAAUUGCAAUGGAGUUCCCACACCUCUAGCUAUCUCCAUAAGAUGUUGCGGAUGCCAGUAGUCCUGGCUUAAACCAUACAGCCUCACCCAAAUUUGGGAGUGAGUUUGACGCAGAGCAUCACCAGGCUUGAAAUCAGGCUGCCACUGUGAUAGCCGGAACAAACCGCUAGCAAGAGUGCAAGUGCCUCCACCCCAAACAUAUAUAUCUAUUGUUUGGAAACAAAUUUAAAUAGUGCAUGUGGUUGUACGUAAGCGUAUGAUCUCUUACUAAGUCUUUUUGUUCGUGUAGUAUUGUGACGUACGUAAUGACAUCAACCAACAUGUAACACAAAGUGAUCGAGAGUAGAUAUCGAUCGAGAGCUAGAAAAAUAAUCGAUGAAACUUGUCUUGUUCACUUCAUUGCUUAACUAAAAGAAAAACCCUAAUUGUCUUUUUUAAGUACAAGUUUGAACAUGAAAUUAAUAGUUUGAGGUAUGAUCUUGAAGGGUGGAACUACUUUUGUCAUCUGCAUUCUUCUUUUAAGCAGUAUAUAUUCUUGUACGUAGUAAAACCCAAAUUAAGUCAUAUGAAUAAGAACUAUUUGUCUACAUUCGUAGAAGCUCAUUCAUAAUUGUGCAUAUUUCCCCAAACAGUCCCUAUUCACAUUAAUUUCUGUCUCCUCACAAAUAACAUACAAGUAACAAGAGGAAUAAAAAUCCAGUAGCAAUGGAGGGAUUGGAGGGCAUCGAUCCAGACCACAAAUCAAUGGCCGGGAAAAAAAAAAGCUAGGGUUUUCCAUCCCACGCAAAACACAUUGAAGAAUGUAAUGCCAAACCCCGUAAGGUUGCAGGGUCUUUUUCCCCAGUAAAGACUAAAACAUGCCAGCUACUAGUAAAGGCUCAAUAUAUGAGACUGGGAAUAUGGAAAUCAAUCAGAUGAUCGCUAUUGAGAAUCUGAGAUGAUCGAUUAUGAAAUGGUUGCACGGUUCCCAAACAACUGGAACAUUUUCUUUGUAGUUUAGCCUUUACUGAAUAGACGUACUGGACCAGUUUGCACUUGGUUUUCUAGUUAGCUAGUAGUUGAAGACAAUAGUUCAUAAAACCAGUCAUUGUUUUGCUCCUGCAGAAAUGGCACUACAUGCAUGUGAAUAUCUUUGGAAUCUUUUUAUGGAUCAUUACUACCUCCAGCAUAUAUAUAACAAAGGCAAGGGUUUCGUUAUUCGUAGUGUACACUAAUAAAAAUUUCCCCAUUGGUGACUGAUAGGUUUAAGUCCCUAUUGUGGACAAUGCACACUGAUAAGAGUGUAAAAUGCUAUUAUCACCCCUACAGCCACUCUUAAGGGAUCAGUCCCCUCUAUAGCAGGUGCUAUUAGGUCAUUAGACACUGAUAAAACAUCAGUGUAAAGUUAUAUGAAAAGUUAAAAAGUCUACUGGUGUCAUUGCUGCCGACGACGUUAAUUACCAGAAGAGUGCGAAUGAAGAAAUGAGAUUCAGUAACAAGGAAUUUAGGAACGCAUCCAAAAGACAAAAGGAAUUUAGGAACUUGUCCUUACCACCAUCAUGAACUGAUAUUAGUUAGACAAGAAGGGAAGAUAUCUAGAGUGACAUGUGCUAAGCAAGACCUAACAUUUGGAUUCUACAAUCUAAUAAACCAGAAAGUUCUGCUGCACAAGCACCACAAUUUAUAUCCAAAUGUUAAUGAACACUAGUCUCACCAUCGAUCUGCAAAGUGUGCCGAGUUUUUUGUCAAUUAAAACAACCAAAUGGUGUAGAAGUAGCUAAAUUUUACAUUAGGUAAGAUUGUAAGAACAAAAUACAUUAUUGUCCUACGUUCUUCAUUUGGUUUCCUUUUCGUACGUAGUUGAACUGUUGAAGCUUGUCAUCUAUCUGUGAAGGAGUGGUGGAGCUAGCAGUAGAAGACUGGUUAUACAGUAGGCUGGUACUUGUUUUUAUAUAUAGAUUCUUGCACAUUAUAACACGUACAGUAGACCCUUUGCUGUUUCUCACCGUACGUUAGUCCAUCAGGCAUUUGAUUAAGCACAUCUAGCAGAAUUUACUCAAUUUUGUUUUCAUGCAAUGCUAGAAUAGAGUGAACUAGAGAGAAUAAAAUGGAAAGAAUUAUUUAUUAUAAAAUAAUUGAGUAGCCUCCUGCUACUGUGAGAUACCUAAACUACAUAUUAUCUAUAUCUCUUCAUCCAACAUUUAUAACAGAAUUAUUCUAUGCAAGGUGCCAUUUCGGGUUACCCCGAUCUCUAGUUCUUCGUCUUUUUCUAGCUCAACGUCCAGCUGCAUGCUGAGAUAAGUACACCCUGUGGCUUCUGUCGAGCGAUCGAGAAGAAGAAGUAAUCUGUCGAGCGAGAAAUGGGAAAAACCUCUGGUUUCGAAAAGGAAGGAAAGAAGAAAGGAAAAUGGUCUGCUGGCGAAGACCAGAUUCUCAAGGACUACGUCAAGAAGCACGGUCCAGGCAAAUGGGGCAAAAUAGCAAAGGAGAUUGGCAAGUUCAUAAUUUCCUUCAUAUAUAUUUACUUUCGACAUACAUCGUUGUGCUUAAUCAAUAAUUGUAAUCGCCAUUGUUUCUGAAAUUUUCAAUUAAUUCAAUUAAUUACCGACGGCCUUGUGUAGCUUACGCGGAAUUUGCAUGCAUGUAUUGGAAGCCAAAAUUACAAAUUUACACCAGUAGCGAAUGGAUUAAUUGGUAAAUUGGUUGCUUAAUUAAUCAUUGAUUAAUUAACUGCGUGUGCAGGUCUGGGGAGAUGUGGGAAGAGUGUGAGACUGAGAUGGUUCAAUUAUCUAAGGCCCGAUAUCAAGCAUGGCAACAUUAGGGAAGAUGAAGAAGAUCUAAUUAUCAGGAUGCACAAGCUUAUAGGCAAAAGGUACUAAUAUAAUAAAUUUCUUCCUCUUAUCAUGCAAGUCCCGCAGAUCUAAUUUUAAAUUUAAGCUUAGUAUUCGUAAUUACUUACGAACAUUUGCAUAUUUGAUCAAUAUUAGGUUUCAUUUUUAUUUUUUUAUUUUUUAGAAUUCAAAGAAAAUCUACUUGCCUCAUUUCAGAGCUUAAUAGAAAGUAGACUUGUGCAGGUGGUCAUUGAUAGCAGGAAGGAUUCCGGGUCGAACUGACAAUGAAAUAAAGAACUACUGGAUCUCCACUCUAAGUAAGAAGCUGGCAGAAGAAAAAAGAAAGAAACCAGAAGUGCCGAGAAACGGGAUUGCCAAGGAGAGCUUGCCAGCCCCCAUUGAGAUCGACGAUGGUCAUCCACAUCCGACCAAAUGCAAUGAAGUUCCGGGAGGAGGAGGAUUGGUGUGUUUUGCCAGUAAUGUUAAUGUAGAAGAAGAUCAUCAGCAUCAGAGUCGUGAUACCGAUAACAGUACUACAAUGAGUGCCGGAGUGGGAGUCCAAAUCAGAGGCGUGGCAAACAAUGUUCAACCAACCGGGGACGAUCUCAAUGAUGACGCUAUGCCCUGGAACGAUUGGAUAACGGAUCUGAACGAAGGGCAACUUGACCUAUCUGAAUUUCUCCAAACUGACUUUUCGAACUUUUGGGAAGAAUCAGAUAUGUUGAUGAACUUUGAAGUCGGAGGUUGCAGCACCAUUAACCAUGAGUGGCCAAAUAAUUGCGUGGUUAAAUAUCAUCCCGAGCUUCUUGUUUUUCUUUCUGUAUCGGAAAUAUUGAUUCUUGCAUAUAUUCAUUCUUGAUUUGCAUGGCAAUGCCGGCCACUAUAUUUGUAAUAAGAUUAUUGAUCACUUUAGAAUCAACUAAUUAAAAGUUUUACUCAUAUAUAUUGUAAUUUUCCUAUCAAUGAAAUUAAUCAAUUGCAAUUUGUUUACUUCAAAAAGUGUCAACAUUCACCGUGGCUGGUUGUUCGACAUAGUUGAUAGGGUUUUUGGGUUUAUUGGAUUCAUUGUUUCGUAUGCUUCCAUAGUAGUAAGGAUGCUGGAAAUUUAGGUAUCAUCAAAGAACUAAGACAGACAUAACUCCUUAUGAACUAAGACAGACAUAACUCCUUAUGAAUUUAGGCUUCAAUAUGUUGCCUAACUAAUUUUCUAACUUCAUCAAUCAUGCACCAGAAUCCAGUACUGGCCGGGUCAAGAUUUUCAGUGAGGAAACGGUGUGAUAAUGAUGAAAAAAAUCUCUAGCGGGGAAUCAUAUCAAGAACCUGGAAAUCAUAUAUAUCUCCCUAAUAAUAAGAAGCUACCUUGUUGAAUUGAUUGGAACAGAACCUUUCCUCACAUUUUCUCGAUUCAUUACCUUAGCGGGGAAUGUUAAGGACUAUGAUCUUAUGAGGGUCACUUAAUUAUUAUUUGAAAUUAUUUAAUCUUCUAAUUCAUCAAAUUUUUGUAUGCUCAAUUAUGUGCUCAAAACAAAAACAAAAACAAAACAAAAAAAAAAACUAGAAUUUGUCAAUGACAGAAAGCUAGCGAUGUGAAACCACAUGUCAUCCACAUAUAUCUAUUGUUUGGAGACAAAUUUAAGUAGUGUGGUUUGUACGUACGUAAGCAUAUGAGCUAUUCUCUUUGUUUGUGUAGUGAUGUUACGUACGUAAUUAAUGACAUCAACCAACGUGUAACACAAAAUGUUCGAGAGUCGAUAUCGAUCGACAGCUAGAAAAAUAACUGAUGAAACUGGUCAUGUUCACUUCAUUGCUUAACUAAAACCAAAACCCUAAUCGUCUUUUAAGUACAAUUUUGAACAUGAAAUUAAUAGUUUGAGAUAUGAUCUUGAAGGGGGGAACCACUUUUGUCAUCCGGAUUCUUCUUUUAAGAAGUAUUAAUCUUGUAGUAAAACCCAAAUUAAGUCAUAUGAAUAAGCUCGUAGAAGUUCAUUCAUAAUUGUGCAUAUUUCUGAAAAAGACUGCAUAAAUUAAUCUAACUUUUGAAGUUUUCUCCGAAACAGUCCCCAUUCUCAUUAAUUUCUGUACGUCUCCUCAAAUAAUAUACAAGUAAACAGAUAGCGUGAGGAAUAAAAAUCCAAUAGCAAUGGAGGGGAUUGGAAGGCAUCGAUCCAGACCACAACUCAAUGGCCGGAAAAAAAACGAAGGAAAAAUGGGGUUUUCCAUGCCACGCAAAACACAUUGAGGCCAACACCCGUAAGGUUGCAGCAUCUUUUUCCCCAGUGAAAGACUAAACCAUGCCAGCUACUAGUAAAGGCUCAACAUGUGAAUAUGGAAACCAAUCAGAUGAUCGGAAACCAAUCAGAUGAUCGAUAUCGAGAAUCUGAGAUAAUGAAAUGGUUGCAUGGUUCCCAAACAACUGGAGCAUUUGCUUGUUCUUUAGCACAUACUGAAUAGACGUACUGGACCACUCUGCACUUAGUUGAAGACAAUUAAAAGCAGUCAUUGUUUCGCACCUGCAGAAAUGGGCAAAUGGCACUACAUGCAUAUGCAAAUAUCUAUGGAAUCUCUUCAUCGAUCACUACUUCCAGCAUAUAUACAUAUAUAUAUAUAUAACUUUUCUCAGGUGCGGACAUCCGUACCGUUUUACGGUGCGGAUUUUCGUCCUUUCACCACCGUACGGCGUCGGCGAGGGCGCGCCUCCACCCCAGCCGACUCCAGCAGCUUCCCCGACCACUUUCCAUCCCCGAUGAGUCCGCCGAAUUCCAAUUUUCCGACCAGAUUGACUUUGUUUGAAGUUUUGAGUGAUCUGGCCGGAAAACUGGAAUUCGGCGGACUUACCGGGGAUGGAAAAUGGUCGGGGAAGCUGUUGGAGUCUGCUGGUGCGGACGUCCGUAGCAGAGACGGACUGUAUAUAUAUAUAACAAAGGCAAGGGUUUCGUUAUUCGUAGUGUACGUCCAAUUUAUAUGAAAAAUUGAAAAUCUACUGUUUCAUUGCUACCAACGUACAACAUUAAUUACCAGAAGAGUUCUGAAAAUUAUAAAAAUAUCUUAUUGCAAGCGAAUGAAGAACUGAGAUUCAGUAACAAGGAAUUUAGGAACGCAUCAAAAACAAAAAAAACAAAAAACAAAAGAAGGAAUUUUGGAACUUGUCCUUACCAUCAUGAACUGAUACUAGUCAUACAAGAAGAGAUGAUAUAUAAAAGUGACAUGUGCUAAGCAAGCCCUUACAUUUCGAUUCUAGAAUCUAGAAAAACAAAAAGUUCUGCUGCACCAGCACCACAAUUUAUAUUCAAAUGUUAAUGAAUAGAUAAUUCCUGUAAAGUUUCAUCUAAUUGAGAGAUCAUUUGAGCUUUCGAAAUUGCGAUUUACACGAACGGUCUCUUUUUGACAGAUUUUGUUCUAUUAAUUCAUUUAAUCUAAUUCGAUACCUAAAUGAUAUCUAAAUUAAAUGAAAAUUUACACCCUUCAAUAGUUCAAUUAUUGUUGCUGUUUCUCACCGUACGUCAGUCCAUCAUACAUUUGAUGAAGCACAUCUAACAUAAUUUACUUUUCAUGAAAUGCUAGAAUAGAGUGAACUAGAAUAAAAUGGAAAGAAUUAUUUGUUAUAAAUAAUCGAGUAGCCUCUUGUUACUGUGAGAUAACUAGCACUACAUAUUAUAUAUACGGUAUAUACCUCUUCGUCCAAAAUAUCUAACAGAGCUAUUCUGUGCAAGGUGCCAUUAUGGGUUACCCGAAUGUCUAUAGUUCUUCGUCUUUUUCUAGCUUGCAACGUCCAGCUGCAUGCUGAGAUAACUACCCUGUGGCUUCUGUCGAGCGAUCGAGAAGAAGAAGAAGUAAUCUGUCCAGCGAGAAAUGGGAAAAACCUCUGGUUUCGAAAAGGAGGAAAAAAAGAAAGGAAAGUGGUCUGCUGGCGAAGACCAGAUUCUCAAGGACUAUGUAGAGAAGCACGGUCCAGGCAAAUGGGGCAAAAUAGCUAAGGAGAUUGGCAAGUUCAUAAUUUCCUUCAUAAAUAUUUGCUUUCGACAUACAGCGUUGUGAUAAAUAAAUAAUUGUAAUCGCCAUUGUUUAUGAAAUUAUUUAAUUAAUUCAGUUAAUUAACGACGGCCCUGUGUAGCUUACGCGGAAUUCGCCUGCCUGUAUUGGAAGCCAGAAUUACAAAUUUACACCAAUAGCGAAUGGAUUGAUUGGUUGCUUAAUUAAUCAUUGGUUAAUUAAAUGCGUGUGCAGGUCUGGGGAGAUGUGGGAGGAGUGUGAGACUGAGAUGGUUGAAUUAUCUAAGGCCCGAUAUCAAGCAUGGCAACAUUAGGGAAGAUGAAGAAGAUCUAAUUAUCAGGAUGCACAAGCUUGUAGGCAAAAGGUCCUAAUAUAAUAAAUUUCUUCCUCUUAUCAUGCAAGUCCCGCAGAUCUAAUUUUCAAAUUUAAUUAAGCUUAGUAUUUGUUAUACUUAUGAACAUUUGCAUAUUUGGUCAAUAUUAGGUUUCAUUUUAUUAUUUUUAGAAUUCAAAGACAAUCUACUUGCCUCAUUUCAGAGCUUAAUACAAAGUAGACUUGUACAGGUGGUCAUUGAUAGCAGGAAGGAUUCCGGGCCGAACUGACAAUGAAAUAAAGAACUACUGGAUCUCCACUCUAAGUAAGAAGCUGGCAGAAGAAAAAAGAAAGAAACCAAAAGUGCCGAGAAACGAGACUGCCGAGGAGAGCUUGCCAUCCCCUAUUGAGGUCGACGAUGGUCAUCCAUAUCCGACAAAAUGCAAUGAAGUUCCUGGAGGAGGAGGAGGAUUGAUGUGUUUUGCCAGUAAUGUUAAUGUAGAAGAAGAUCAUCAGCAUCAGCGUCGUGAUACCAAUAACAGUACUACAAUGAGUGCUGGAAUGGGAGUCCGAAUCAGAGGCGUGGCAAACAAUGUUCAACCAAACGGGGACGAUCUCAGUUAUGACCCUGUGCCCUGGAACGAUUGGAUAAUGGAUCUGAAUGGAGGGCAACUCGACAUAUCUGAAUUUCUCCAAACUGGCUUUUUUAACUUUUGGGAAGAAUUAGAUAUGUUCAUGAACUUUGAAGUCGGAGGUUGCAGCACCAUUAACCAUGAGUGGCAAAAUAAUUGAGUUGGCCGGUUAAAUAUUUUCCUGGAGCUUUCUUCUUUUUNNNNNNNNNNNNNNNNNNNNNNNNNNNNNNNNNNNNNNNNNNNNNNNNNNNNNNNNNNNNNNNNNNNNNNNNNNNNNNNNNNNNNNNNNNNNNNNNNNNNNNNNNNNNNNNNNNNNNNNNNNNNNNNNNNNNNNNNNNNNNNNNNNNNNNNNNNNNNNNNNNNNNNNNNNNNNNNNNNNNNNNNNNNNNNNNNNNNNNNNNNNNNNNNNNNNNNNNNNNNNNNNNNNNNNNNNNNNNNNNNNNNNNNNNNNNNNNNNNNNNNNNNNNNNNNNNNNNNNNNNNNUCUCGCCGGUCGCCGGAAUCUGGCUGGUAUUUUUUUUUUUUAAUGUCACCGGACCUUGCCGGAAGUAUACCACACCAUUGCUGAAGUUUAAUUAAGGGGCAGUAAUAAUGAAAAAUGUUUUACUAGGGGGCAAUAAACUUCUACAAAUUUUUAGUUGGGGGGCAGUAAAUUUCUAUUGAGGUCAAUAAAACCUUAUUGGGGGCAGUAAUGAUGAAAAAUAUUUUACUGGGGGCAGUAAACUUCUACUGAGGGAGUAGUAAACUUUUGCUGAGAUUUUACUAGGGGCAGUAAACUUCUACUGCGGUCAAUAAAAACUUAAAUAGAAGGCAAAAAAGAUGAAAUAUCACCACAACAUCCCCAAAUAAUGUAUACAAUGCAGUGGACCAGAUUUGAAGAACCUGACCGAAAUCUCUGCAACUUACAAAUAAUUCUAGAUUUACCAGCCAAUUUCUUCUCUAAUGUCGGUGGAAGGGUGGGACAAUAGAUGCAAGAGUCUCCACCGGCCCUUCCCGCCAGCGAGGCCAGUACUGGUUGAACCUCAGACUCUAAAUGAUUGCGAGGCUAGAUCUCGCAAGGGAAUAGCUCUGGCGACGUCGUUCGAGCUCCUCUCGUCGACAAACACGUGAUGAUCAAAACCUCAAACGAAUGUGAAAAUGCCUGGCAGCCCGCGCAUUAAGUUGGACCACCAGCACCUCAGACCAUAACCUCCCUUCGUCUCCUUCUCUAAAUCAGAUCUUAUCGGAGCCAGAUUCUAGACCUGCGGCGAGGAGUGAUGUCGCACAACCAGAUCAGCUCUUGAAAACGGACCUUAGGAGUCCAGAUCUGAUCGGUGAUGGUUGUCGCUGAUGAUGAGAUAGAGAGAGAGAGAGAGCCGGAACCGCGACGAGGAGCGAUGUCGCACAACCAAAUCAACUCUUGAAAACAAACCCUAGGAGUCCGGAUCUGAUCGGUGAUGAGAGAGAGAGAGAGAGAGAGAGAGAGAGAGAGAGAGAGAGAGAGUACUUNNNNNNNNNNNNNNNNNNNNAAUCUCUAGUUCUUCGUUCCCAGCUGCAUGCUGAGAUAAGUACCGUGCAGUUAGGAGCAAGAUCUCUUGAGCGAAAUUAUAGGAAAUAACAUAUGAUCGACAUGCUAUAUAACAUUAGGAGGAUUUUUUUUUUUUUGGUUGGCCUGUGUUUACUGUAAUACCAAAUUCUCCAAAUGUUUAUCUUUAAGGUAAGAGUACAUGUGUGGGUGGAGAUUGUUGGUUACGGGACUUAUGGACCACGAAUAAAAAAAANAAAAAAAAAAAAAGGCCAACGCCAAUGCUGGUAUGCAAUGGUGUAGCUAGCUAGGGGCGAGAGGGUUCAAUUGAACCCUCUAAAGUUUUAAAUUUUUUAAUUAGCCUUAAUGAAGAUUGGAUGUUAAUAUAAUGAAUCAUAAAUUGACCAUUCUUUUUUGAGUAAAUCCUUAAUUAAUCAUAAAUAUUCUUCAACACCAAUGAAAUGAAAUAAAAAUUUAUACUGUUAAAAUACUUAAUCCAAAUUAAUACAAAUCAUGUCAAUGGUUUUUUACCACACUGAUAUGUACUUUAAUGCUUUAAUUUCCAUUUACGAUUUUUUUUCUUUACAAAUAAGUUAAAUGGAAGCAACACAUUAAUGUUUGUCAUGCAUUGGCACUAAAGAAAAAGCAACAUAUUCUUUUCAAUAUUAAUCGUGCAUGAUAUGCAAUUCUGAAAUUUAUUUUAGAUGAUUAUUUACUAGUCUUUUCAGGAACAAUGUUGAUUACGAAUUUGUAAACAAACAAUUGAAAUUAAGUUUGUGUCAUUUUUUAAAACAAAAUUAUGUCAUUGUUAGAGAGCUGAAAAUGAAUUUAGUUGCUUAGUCAAUAAAUCUUGGCCAUUCUAAGUGGGAUUUCUGGCUACGCCACUGCUGGUAUGAAAUGGUUCAAGGAUAUCAGUCAGACCAUUUCGAGAGAAGUACCAAACUACCGAUAGCAGUAAUUCAACAUCAACCGAUUCUUUUUGAAAUUAACAAUGUUGUGGCUUGGUUGGUUAAAGUGUUUAAUUGAUAACUUUGAGGUCACGAGUUCAAACCUCAUUGACAUAUAUAGGGUGUGUGAGUUAUUAAUAAAAUAUUUAUAAAAAAAAAUAUUAAAAAAAAAAUGCUGUGGAAUGUGUACUUUUUAGGGCUGUGCUCUUCUUAUAGCGACAAUUUUACUCUUGUCAAUUUUCAGGUACCGCGAUUAGGGUAGUCCUUCUCUUGCACCAAAACACCAGCCUUGAGUGUGUACUCAAACGCUUUAGUCAUCAGCCCCCCACUACAGCUCAUGUCCACACGAACCAUAUUCUUCUGGAUCACACUGCAAAAUGUACAGGCUCAUUAUAAGAAAAUGCCAUCAAAAGAUUCAAAACAACCAAGUCAUACAUUGGGCAUCACCAUUCCAUAGAGAUAAGAAAGCAACCAAUCGGUCUAAACAAACACAGAUUCUAGAUACCACCAGUACUGAAAAUUCAGUAUCUUGAAGAACAUAUGAAUCAUAGAUCAACUUAAUAUUCCAUCAGCAACAUACUAAUACAUACAUGAUGGAGAUUAAGAUUGUGCAUGCCGAACUAAGUAGGCUCAAAACCUUAUACUCAGUUAAGCAAUUAGCUAUAACUUGACCCUUUUAAGUUUUGGGAAAAAAGUUCAAUACUUUAGGGAUAAACAGCACAGAUCACAUUUAUACAUACAGACACACAAAUGACUGUAAAAUAUGAGCGAACCUCAUGAUGGGAGUCCAACUAAAUUUUCUUCAUUUGCAACAGAGGGUUCAUCUUGUUGCAAAUUUUCUUAAAGAUGAGCCCCCAUGAUGUUCUAAUGCUUGUAGUCUUGUUGGUUUUCCUCUCUUUGAUUCAAUAAAAUUUCUUGUUUUGUCAAGACAUGCUGCUGCAGUGCUGCUCGCUGAGACUCGCUCUAGCUUCCUUGUUUCUUCAAUACUACAAGCAAUAGAUCGAACAUCCUAGCUUGUGAUUCAUAUUGCUACAAGAGUUAAAAACCUAAAAUAAUACCUGAACUAUUACGAAAUGUACUUUUUGGUACCUAUGAAUUUUUUUUAUUUGAAAUGGUACCUUAAGUAUUGCUCUAUCACCUGAUAUGGUACCUCCGUUAGUUUUUCCGUUAAAUUCGCAUAUGUGACAUAUAUUUGAAUGGUAUAGAUACCCAAAAUGGUACCUAGGCUAUUGUGGAAUGAAUUUUUCGAUAACUGUAUUUUUUUUACCUCAAAUGACACCCCCAAUAUCUGACUGUAUAUGAUCAAUAGGUAAACCGUAAACAUAAUAAACAUAUUAUCACUAUAAUUCAUAAAUAUAUUAUAUUUUUUAAACAUAAUAUUUAUAUAUAUAUUAUUUCUCUUAUGAGCAAUUUGUUUAUAAAUAAUUAUAAUAUAUUACAUCGUUACUACAUAUUGGAUUUUCUUUAUAAAUAGAAUAAACUUGUAGAUCUAUUUUUAUGUAAGAAAAUAUUUAUGGAUAAAAUACUAAUAAUAAUAUGUUUAUGAGUUUAAUAUAUAUAGAUCAAAAAGUAGUUUAGAAUUUUUAUUUAAAGUAAAAAAGUUUAUAGGCACCAAAAAUUGUCUUUCGUAGUAGAUUAGGUACCUUUUUAGGUAUUUACCCUAUCCAAAUGCAUGCGACAUAGGCAACCUUAACGAAAAAACUAAUUGAGGUACCAUAUCAAGUAACAGAGCAAUACUUAAGGUACCAUUUCAAGUAAAAAAAUAUUUGUAGAGACCCAAAAAUAUACUUUUCACAAUAGUCCAGGAACUAUUUUAGAUUUUUAUCCUUGCUACAAUCAGUGUGAAUUGCUUCAAAUAUCAUAACAAACAUGUCAUAUAUUAAAUCAUAUCGGGAUUGUCUAUGGUAUUAAGAUGCAUGACAUACACUCGUUUUACAACUAAUUUAACCUAAAUUACUAGCUAAUUAAACUUGGUGGUUACAUAGUUGAUGAAAUUCAUUAACGAUUCCCUGAAUUUUUGUGUCUACGUACGUAUAUCGUAUAUGACUAAGCUUUGUAAGCUUCAGGCUAUCAAGGAAGGCAGGUUGUUGCUACUUAAUUAGAACAUUGGCCAGCUCUCUCAACGUGCACUUCUGGAAUUCUUGUAGCAAAACGUGCAACACAAAUUAAGCUGAGAGAAGGGACAAAAUAAAUAAUUUAUGAAAUUUGUCUUGUUCACUUCAUUGCUCAAAAAUGGAAACCCCUAGCAGUCCCUUUGAUCGAAUUAUAUCUUGAAGGAAGGUGAGGACAAGCAAAGUCGUUCAGACGAAUCAUGAUGAUUCUAUGUCCCCAUUUGAGGCAUCUUUGCACGUGAAAAUUACACCUCAUGCAGUACUACUGCCUGCUGGGCCUAAUUUCUCUUUCACAUCAGAAUUCACAUGCAUAGGACUGGGGGACAGAGAAAUCGUCUUUUUACCUAUUUGCUUGAAGAAAAGUUAGAAAAAACUUGGAUGUUUUUAUUUUUAUCCUCAUUUUUAUGGUGUAAGACUUGUUAACUACAAGCAAGAGCCUGUAGAGCAACCGACAAAUUUACCGUAGAACAGUAUCGAGGACUAUUUAGACUGUACCGUCCCAACUUGGCAAGAAGAUUAGCAACGAAAGUGGCUUCUUAAAAUUUUGAUGCUUAGCUAAUUAGUAAUUACUAUGCACCAAAUCUGAAUUACCACGUACCAAAUCUGCUGGCUUGUCAACGCAUUUGAACUAAAUAGAAGAUUUGAUUUUGAUUGAGGGAGCUUUCAAAUAAAUUAAUAAAUUUUAAAAAUAAGAAAAAAAACCCUUCUUUAGGCUAUUUUUUUAAUAUGUAGAAUGCUACGUUCACUUUUGAAUUAUUUUUUUUUUUUUAAAGACAAAUAACUUGAUUUUAAAUAGUCAUUACAUAUCAAUUCGUUGUCAUGUAUAGACAGUCCUAUGACUACUCACCCAUCAAUUCAUGUUCCCUUGUAGACAAUAAUAAACAAUUAACAAAGGAUAGAGAAAAUAGAAAUUAGACUAAGCUAAUAUAAUUCAUUUUUGAAUGAUACAAAAUGCAUAGUUGGUAAUAAAGUUUUCUCAAAUUUACGAUAUAUUAUACCUGCAGAUAUAUGGACACCAAUCGAUCUAGAAUGUAAUUAUUAACUUAAACUUAUAUGCAUGCAAUUAAAUUAAGGAAUUCUUGGAUCUAAUUUUGUUUUAUUUUUUAAGAUCACUCUUGUUUCAUCUUUCUCUUCUCACACAAGUUUGAACACGAAUUAAGAAGAGAAACCACUAGUGUAAGACUAAGCAGAUGAAUUUAACUAUUAUCAACUAUUGGAAGAACCUCAUCAAUCAUUACGCAUUAUUAAAGGAAGGAUAACUUUUUCAAAGUAUUCCCCCCAACCAUACCAACUCGCAUUUAUUUUGUCUCCUUACAAAUAAUGUACAAGAAAUUAAACAGUGUAUGAACAUUUAAAGUUUCAUAACACAUGCUAAAUUGCUAAUUAACCAAAGAUAAAAAGCAGAGGGUUUUCACAUCCCACGCAAAACACAUGCAUGGGAGGGAAAGUAGCGCCAAACCAUAUGGAUAGAGCACCGUGUGAAGUCGCUUGUCCAUAUCUUUUGAGUUGCAGUGUCUUUUUUUCCCAGAAAAGACUGGAGCUUGCGCGCAUAUGCCAGUAAAGGCUGACAAGUGAUCGAAUCCACGAUGAUCCACGUAUAUGUAUCUGGAGCCUUCGCUUGGAGAUUAGUAAAUACUGCAAUAUAUAUAUACGAAUAUUGCAGUUAUUUGUCUAGCUAGCUGUAGUAGUACUCGAAGACACAAUUUCUAUAGUGUUUAUACUUCAAAGCUAAAACCAGUCGUUGUUUUCGCACCCUGCGCAUAGAGCCCUACGUUAAUCAUCAUUACUACCGUGUAUACUUGUUUGAAAUGAAAAAAAAAAUAAAAUCAUAAAUCGAGAAAAGAAAUGAAUCACGUUAUUAAUUUUGAACGGUUGAUUCAUAAACUCAACUCAUGCUAUGUAAUCAUUCAGUUCCAGUCCAUUCCAAGAAAAUAACUAGUAUAAUUAUAAUUAUUUUCUUUUCCUGAAAUUUGUCAGCGUGUAUGAUAGCUCUAGCAAGGUACGUUAAUCGUCACACAGUCAUUUUCUGAAGGUUCUUUCUCAUUUUGGGUGAAGCAGGUCAUUUGAGUAUUUGAUAAGGAACAUCUCUUAGCGGAGGGAUAAUAUAUUGCAUUAAAAUCACACGCCGAUUUAUCUUGGAAAUCCAGACCGAACAGGUGGCAUGAUCAUGUAGAAACAGAUUCCACUCGAAGACUACUAUACACAGCCUAAAUCUGGCUAUAAAUAGAGCAAGCAUGUUGCAAGAGAAAAACCACUAACAGCAAACACAAGCUAUACGCCAUAAGUUAGCCUUGUUCUCUCUAUCCGAUCUUUGCCUUUAAGCCAUCAUCACCAUGCUCGGCCUAGCAAACAAUGUGACUACCAAGGUGGCCUCAGUAGUCCACUCUACUCAGCAGACCAUUGCUGGGGAGCUUAGCCUGUUUGCUAUGUCUGAUAAGAAAAUCUUGGAUGAGAUUUACACAACUCAUGUCCAUGCUGAUGAAUCAUUUGAUGAUGAUUCUCUCUUCGUCAUUGUUGAGAACAUUCUUAAGCGUGCAACUCAAACGGUUGACAAAAUUGUACAGGUAUAAACCACAUUGUAUAAUGAAGUCCUAUGCAAAAAAUGACCAUUUUUUGAUCUGCUAGAAACUGCCUUUUUCUUUUUUGGUAGUGACUGCUACGUACAUUCUUGUGGUUGUUGCAGGGUACCCAAGUGCAUGUGGAAGACAUAGAGGAGAAGAUCCCCAAACCCAACUUCAGUGUACCACUGUGCACUCUUAAGGGAAUCUCAUGCGAGGUCCAUUAUACCAGCGAAUUAAACUCAAUAACUUUAUAAAUUAGUUGUUAAUUGAUCGUUAAUUACAUUCUAUAAUUUCAGAUGCAAUGCAAGCCUCCUGGUGAGGAAAUCGCCCACAAGACAACACUGGCGAUACUCAACAAGCUGUCACAUUAUUCAUGGGAAGCGAAGGCAUCACUGACCCUAGCAGCUUUUGCCAUGGAAUUUGGUGAAUUCUGGCUCCUCGCAGACCUUCGCGAAUCAAACCACCUUGCCAAAUCAAUUGCAAUUCUCAAACGAGUCCCUGUUCUCCUCAAGCCUUCUCAGCUGCAAAAGCGCAGGCAAGCAAUACUUGAGCUUAACAAUCUGAUCAAGGCAACAUUGCAAGUGAUUGAAUGCAUCGACCAGUUCGGCAAGCUUUCCGUUUAUCCCCCAAAAGAUGUCCCUGCUUUGUCGAUAGCAUUGGAACACACCCCGGUGGAUAUCUAUUGGGCUAUCAUGACUGUUGUGGCUUGUGCCACUAAGGUCACUUUACUCACUAGUGAUGAGUAAGUUCUUCGAUCUCCAUCGUUUUUCAAAGAAUUGACCUUGUGGUUUGAAAUCGACAUCUGUUUAGUUUUUGUGGUUUUAUUUUAAUCUGAAUAGUCAUUAAAGUCAUAAUUUUUCAUCAAAAUAAUCUUUAUUAUUUUAUUUUAAUCUGAAUAGUCCUUAAAAUCAUGAUUUUUUAUCCAAAUAGUUAUUCUGACAAUUUUUUCAGUUAAAAAAUCAUGAUUUUUCAUCUAAAUAGUCAUUUCAACAAUUUUUUCAGUUAAAAGAAAAAUCAUGACUUUAAGGACUAUUCAUAUUAAAAUAAAACCAUAAGGACUAAACAGAUGUCGGCUUCAAACCACAAGGACUAUACAAUAGUUUACCCUUUUUCAAAAUAUAUUUCGGAUAACUUUACAACGGAU